UACACCUUAGCAGUCUUCAAUGUGUCACACAACAACUUGUCAGGGAGUAUUCCGUCUCCAAAAGCUCAAUUUGGAACCUUUGAUGAAAGCAGUUAUGUGGAGAAUCCUUUUCUCUGCGGGCCUCCCCUGCAUAAAAAUUGCAGCGACCUUGAUUCACCCCCGACAACAGCACCAAAGAGCUCAAACGAGGAAGAAGAAAGUGGUUUGAUGGACAAGUAUGUUUUCUGGGUGACCUUUUUUGUUUCUUACGUGAUUGUGUUACUGGUUAUUGUUCUCAUCCUGUAUAUAAAUCCUUAUUGGCGACAAGCAUGGUUUUCUUUUGUUGAACACUGCAUCAAGACUUGUCAGUACUUUCUUCUGCGAUUUUCCAUCUUCAAAAGGAGUGGGUAGCCUUGUAUUUUGGUGGUUUACAUUUGUAUGUAAUUUUCAUCACUCUUUUUUUAUUUUUCAAAGUUUGAUUGGAUUAUCUGCUUCUAAGUUUUUAGAGCUAGAAUGCAAUAUAUCUGUUAUGGAAAGCAAUAUAUAAAGUUAUGCAUUUUCAAUUAAAACAUUUAAUAUUGCUUUAUAAUUUUUAGUGUUCUGAUAAGAUGAUGUUAAAUUCAACAUAUUGUAGCAUAUAUAUUAAUAAAACCUAUAUUCAUCUAUACAAAUUUUUUAGUCAACCAAACCAUUGAUGUGGUGGCAAAAACUUCACAUUGUUUUCAAGUCUUCAUUGACAUUAGGUUGAGGUUUCAAACCCUAGCGUAAAAGAGGGGGGAGAGGGGUUGUCUGAACCAAAACUUCAUUUCAACAGAUAUCCUUUACCCACUAAAUCAUAUGCUCAACUGAAACUUUUAUAUAUAUAUAUAUCAAACAUGAAUGAUAUAAAUAGUCUUUAAAUUUUUAAAUGAUAUAAAUAUAUAUAUAUUUUUAAAAUGAACAAAAAUUAUAAUAAUUAAUAUGUAGUUUCAUUAUUUUAUUUAAACUCAAAAUAAUAAUAUUUAAAAAUUGAGUUUACGUGAUAUUUAUUUACUUUAAAAUUAAUAAAAUGUAAAUAUAAACUUUAUUUUAUUUUAUUUAUAUUCAAAUUUAAUAAAUGUUUAUCUAAUUUAUUUAAAUUUAAAUAAAUUAAAUAAAUAAGCACACAAUUUUUUUUAGAGAAAGUGAUGACUCUUUUUUAAUGAUGAGAUGUUAGAAGAUUUACCAUAUGUGUAAUGUGGAGACAAUAACCCUAAUAUGUAACUUUUGCACAAUAACCUUAAUUUAUAAUUAGUGAAUCAUCAAUUAAAAAUUAAUUAAUUGAGUAUUUACACUUGUCCAACCAUAUUUUAUUUAAUAAGUGUCAUGGAUCAUAGGUCAAAUAAGUAUCACAAUAAUCACAGUAAUACCUGCAAAAAUUGAAUCCAAAUAAACAUAUCCAUAAAUUGUUAAUGAAAAUUUGUUCGCAGCGAGAACCUUAACUAAGAUUGGAAGAAUUUAUAUGUUUUUGUCUUUUUGCUAAAAUGAGUAUAAAACAUAUAAAAAAUAAAUUAUGAAUGUUCAUUUUUUUAAUAGUUCAAAAAAAUAUAUUAUAUAUAAUAUAUAUUAUUGUUUUGCAUUUGCUCCUCAAAGAAAAUGGAAACAAUCGUAAGCCUAUGGCAUCAUUAGAAACACCAUUAAUCUUGAUGUGUCGCAAAUCUCUAGAAAGUUAGCCAAAUGAGUAUUCAGAUCUUCAUCUUGCAACCUAUCAAACUGAACAUAUUGUUGUACCAUCUGAAUUGUGUUCGACUUUAGCUCAAAAUUAUUUACAGCAAUAGUCAGUCUGACAAUACUCGAUUCAACCCCAAUCAGAAUAGACUUAGCAUAAUCAUACAUAGUCCGAAGAGUAGGAGCUGCAGGAAGCUGUUGAUUAUUUUUAUGAUUAUCCAUCUCCACAUUAAUAUCCUUUUCCUCUUGAUCGUCUACUAAAAUCUAUUUAUCUUGUCUUUUGCUUUUCUAACCUCUCUAAGAUUUCUACGAGCAGUCUUUUCAACUUCACUAUAAAAAAUUAAUGUUUCUGACGAGUUUCCUCUAGUCAUAAACCAAAAGACUCUAUCAUAAUAAAAAAAUGAAAAAUUAGAAUAUUGUAAAAGUUAAAUUAAAAACAAAAAUAUCAAAAUAAAAAUAAAAAUAGCUAAAUUAAUAGAAAUAAAGUUUUCCUAAUAUUUUAGUCCCCUGGCAAUGGCGCCAAAAACAUGAUGCAGUCAUAAACCAACUAAAAAUCUGACUAAGGCAAGUGUACCUAUCAAUUAAUUGUAUAGUUACGAUGAGCAAAUAAAUCGUUCCCACAAAGACUAAAAGUAGUAAUUACUGUCUUUCUAUUAUUUAAUCGAUAAACUCGAGUAAUUGAUUAAAACUAAAAUUAUUUAAAUUAAUUAACAAUGAAUGUGACAAAUAAUAAAUCAGGAAAAUAAUUGAAUAAUAACCAAGAAGCAAAACAAUACCUAGGAAAAAAUUCACCUAGAUUUCAUCUGUCAUUAUCAAUCUAAAUUCCACAAUUUCUUUACUUAGUAUCUUAAUUCAUAGAAAUCCCUAAAUCAUGCUAAUAUCUCUCUUCAAGAAUAAGAGCAAUAACUUUAGGCUGGUUAAUUGAAAUUUCUUUCUAAUUAAAACCCUUAUUAUCGCAUUAAAUCGCUUUAUGGAUUUCCCAAUUACAUUUGACUCUAAUUCGGUGGAUUUAUAUCAUCCUAUUUCUAAGAUUGCAUGCAACUUCACUCAAUUACGCUAGAUCUACUCUUAAACAAGGUCUAUUCCUUCUCUGAUUUAAGCACAACAAACAUGGAUCAACAAUCUAGAAAUAUUAAACCAAGAGUAAAAUACACAUAAUUGAGAGCAAGAUCUAAGUAUUUAUUGUGUAAAAAUAGAAAUCAAAUAAUAUAAUUCAUCCUAAAGCUUAUCUCUCUAGGUAUUUGGAAAAUUAGUUCAUACUUGCAAAUAAAAACAUCCCAAAGACAAUAUAACCAAAAGAAAUAAAGAAGCUCGUGAUAAUCUCCUAAGAAAUCAACUGUGAGUCUUCAAUCUUGACUAAAAUUUGCUUCAGAAUCGGCUUCAAUGGUGUUUUCGAGUUGUUUUAUUGAGCAUUCUAUGACGGCUCUCUCCCCUCUUCUUAUAUUUGUCAUAUAUAGGUCUUAGAAUGCUCGAAAAACCUAAACAAAAGUGUUUUUCCGCAAGUUUGAAGUGUGACUCGUGAUUUCUACGUAGUCUCGCACAUGACCAUGUAGAAGCUCGUGUGGCCACACGGUCGUGUGUCCAGCCCAUGUGGCUCCUGAAACUUGCUCCAAUUUUCACUUAUUUUUCACUCUUUUUGCUCUAAAAUGCUACUAAGUAUAGAAACAUGAAUUUAAAGGAUUAGGAGCAUAAAAUUCACCAUUUUAAUUCGAAUAAUAAUCCAAAAAUGCAUUAAGAAUGAGGCUAAAACAUGUUACUUUUGGCAUUUAUUAAUUUUGCCAACACCCAAAAUAGUUGCUUAAAGGUACAAAUUUAAACAACCCAAAAAAGGGUCAGUAUAAUCCAAAAAGCGUUGUGUUAGGCUUUUCAUAUGAUAACACUUUUAUAUAGUUGGGAAAGGUAUAACAAAAGUCGGCAUAGUGUUGGAUAAAACUGAUUCUUAUUUAAGCGUUGCCUUAGGCAUGCAUAUCCCAACCUUUAUACAAAGAGUUGGCCAAAGCGUAUGUUAACAAGUCUAUCCUAACACUUAGGAAAGUGUCAGCAUAAUGUUGGACAAACUCGAAUCUUAUUUAAGUGUUGCCUUAGGCAUGCAUAUCUCAAACCUUAUACAAAGAGUUGGCCAAAGCAUACGUCGACAAGUCUAGUUAUUAGCUCAAUAGAUCAAACAGGAAUUGCUAAGAGGGGUGAAGUGGCUUUUAAAAAAAUGUGAAAGCUAGAAAGAAAAUUGAAAGAUGAACAUAAUAAUUUAGAAUGGUUUAGCCCCAAUUGCCUACCCCACUACCUUGACUUUCCACAACUAAGGAUUUUCCAAAAUUCACUAAAUUGAUAACCUUUAAGGAUAAGGUUUAACAUUACAACUCUAUUAAGAUUUCUGUAACACCCCAAACCCGGCUAGACGUUAUAACCGAAUCUGGCGAUGUCACAUGGAAUGGGAUUUGAAACCUCGUUGUUACGAUGAAAACAUUCCAUGCUAUUAUCUUUAGUAAACCUUUGUUAGAACUUAGGAAGUCGUCUUUAUUCAUUUAAAACAUUUGUUUUGAAACAUGCCUCGUUGUGGAAGCUUUAAUAAAACAGUCUAUGUGAUCAUGCGUUUAGAAAAUAAUUUAACUUUUUGAAAACGGAAUUUCCUAAGACCCGCAGGUAUAAAUCCAUAAAGUAAAAUAAAUAAAUAAAAACCCAAAUUUAAAACCAAAAUCCUAGAAGGUCCUUAAAUUACAUCCCAAAUAAUCAAUAAUAAUCAAAUCAUAAAUCGUAAAUUGAAAACCAUGAAGUCGAAAAAUUACGGUGGUUACCGCUAAGUCCUCCGUCGCACCGAUCCAUCUAAGUCUAGGGAUUAACUAUGCACAUUAAACAAAAAAUGUGAGUUUACGUAAACUCAGUGUGUAGUCCCGUAGAAACAAACAAACAAUCAGUAUUCACAGUGCACAGUUGAACAGUCUUGGGCCUAAGCCCUUUUCAGUAUCAGUGACAGUUUGGGCCUUAGCCCAUCUCAGUAUAGUGUCAAAAAUGCAGUAGGUCCUUAACCCAUCACAGUAUUAGUAGCAGUAACAAUUAUGCAGUAGCAAAAUCCUACCCAACCAGCCUCUACACACCAUCUUCGUCUAACCCUACAUUCUAUGUGGGGAUAUAAUCAACCUACCCAUCCCUUUUUAAUAAUAACCCAUGCUAGCUAAAUAUUCUAUGUUUUCACUAUUUACUUAUAUGUUCAUUUAAAGCUGUCUACUUGAGUCAUUGUCACUAAAUUAUUUACAUCUUAAGCUACAGAAUUCCAAAUUAAGAUCUGCUUGAUGUUUUCAAAACUGGACUCAGAUAUCUUUCUACCAUAAAUUUUCAAAAUUUAUAGCUUAUCAAAUAAGUACAGUAAAAUCUUCAAAGUUAUCCCUAUUCUGCCAUUUGACAGCUUCAACCUUUUCCUUACUAAAAAUUAUUAAUCUCUUAGUACGAAAUUUGAAUGAUGUUUCCAUUUGUUUCUCUUGAAAGUAGACUUAUUAAAGAUUUAAAUGUAUAAAUUUAAGCCCCUAAUUAUUUGUUUACAAUUUUUGAUAAUUUUCUAAAAUCAGAACAGGGGAACAAGAAAUCAUUCUGACCUUGUCUCAGAAAAUUUAUUAUAUCUCAUAAUUUACAAUUCUAUUGCUUACACUGUUUCUUCGAUGAAAAACUAGUCUCAAUAAAAUUUAAUUUAAUAUUUUAUUCAACCCUUAACUCAAUUUUCACUAUUUUUGAUGAUUUUUCAAAGUUAAACUACUGCUACUGUCUAAAACUAUUUUUGUGCAAAAUGUUGAUUUCCAAGGUUAUAACACCCUUAUUUCCUUUCUCUACAAUUUUUUUCGCAUCAUUUUCUCUUAUGUCUCGACAGCAAGCGAUUUUGACUUUUUGCUGAAUCCCCUUUUCUGCGUUUCGGGUACACACCUGGUUUCGUUAGAUGCUAAAAUAGUCCCCGAGCACUCCAAAGCCUAUAAUUGAACAAAUAACAUCAAUUUAAUCUCACAUAACGUGAUCCCAAAUCAAACUCAUAUCGAGGUUUUAACCCAUAAGCGACUAAACCUUACCUUCAACUGAUAAUAGUAGUUCCCACACAAACUAAGACUCCGAUUGGUGAUUACAAGCCCUUGAAUCAUCCCCUAAUAGGCAGAAACAAAACACUUUAGAAGAAAGUUAACAAAUAGAGACAAAUCACUUAUCUAAAACUUGUCGAACGAUCGCAGACAAACAUGGAGCGACACGAGGCAGAGUGGGAAAAAAAUCAAGAAGAUGAAGGGUGAAAGAGAGCAGAAAUUUGGCAAUAAUGAAGAGAAAAACAGCAAAAGGGUGGAGGGAUUUUGGGGAAAGUAAAAAAAAAGAAAAAAAAAAUUAACAGAAUAUUUGAUAACCACCCCAAUCCCUUAUUUCUCUCCAUCAAACUCCCCACAAAUCCACUACUCAGAUUUUUAGUCCAUCUCAAACUCUCUUGGACACAUGAGCAAAAAUAAUGCCUAUGCUAAGAUUCAAACACAAGACCUCUUUCACACCAACACUCUACUUAUCCACCAAACCAGCAAGCUAAUUUUGUUAAUUAUUUGCCAACUUUUACUUAAAAGUCUACUGACCAAAUAUAGGACUUAUUCAUAAAAAUACCAAAAUUUGCCCAAGUUCUGGCUUGAACUUGGGACCUCCCAAACACACCUAAAAUACUUAACCACUGAAGUAGAUACACAAUUGUGUCACACAUUCACAAUACCCAAAAUUAAAAUUUUUAGGUGUUACAGUGCUUCUUUUACUGAAUUAAACUAUAACCUUACUAACCUUAUAAAAUGCAUAAAAAACUAAUAAAUCACUUGAUUACAAACUCAUUAAGUAUAGAAUCAAGCUUAAUUUGCCACAACGAAUUGUGGUUAAUCAAUUGUUAAUAUGAAAUUUAUUUUUUUAGAACACCAAAUUCUUUCAACCGCAUUUUGAAGCAGUGGUGGAUCCUAGGACAAAGUUUGGAGGGGAGGCUAGUAAAAUUUUUAGGAAUUAUAAUAUAUAUAUUUGCCAUAACCAUCUAAUACUCAUACUUGUUUAUGCUUAUAAUAUAAUUUUUGUAACUAGUAUAAAAAUAAAUUUUUAAAAUGGGAUUUGAGUGUAAUUACGUAUGUAAUCAUUUUAAUUCUCAGUCCCCUAAGAAUUAAAAAGUGUAAUUGAGUGCUCUAAUUACAGCCAAUUCGUGGGACUCACCAAUCAAUGGUUACCCAAACAUGUCAUCUUUGUGUAAUUACUAGCAAUUACACCCAAAUUCAAUUACUAGGUGAUUUUCCAAACACUGUGUAAUAUGUCGCGACAUCUAAGCCCUUUUGUUUUGUACUUUUUUUAACUUAAUUUUUAAGAGUCCAAGAAAAGUAAAUUACUUAUUUGGUAACACUUAUAUUUAGUCAAGCUAAAAAUAGCUUAAUAAAUUGAUGUUAUUUACUAUAUUUGUCAAACCAUUUUAAAACUAAUUUUGGCUAAGUCAAAAUCACUUUUUAUUCAACUUACCUUUACUAUUUUUAGCCAAUUGAAGUCUUAUAAAUACCUUGUUCAUUUUCAUAAUAUACACACUUGCUCAUCCUUUCCAUCCUUUUAAGAUUGCUAAGUAUUUUUUUGUUGUGAUCUAUUAUUGAUUCCUACUCCCUUUUUAUAAUGAAAGAACUUAUUAAUACCUUAAUAUUUUACUAUUGGUUCUUUCUCACUUUUGUUUUAUUUUCAUCACUUUUAAAAUGUUAUUGUAGCGACCUAAAACUUUCUGGGCACGGGCGCUAGUCGAAGUAAUUAUUGAAGGUUUGAAAACAGUGUCUCGAUUUUAUUCGAAAAAGGGAGUCGCCACCGAUCUUUUUUUUUAGGUGUGAUCGGACACCUACAAAAUUCCCUUUUUAGAAGAAAAAUUUAUUUUUAAGCUUUUCUAAAAAGAGGUAAUUUUAGGUCCACGUAAAAAUCCAGAGAAAAUUAGGGUUCGGGAGUCGGUUACGCGCGAGGAAGGUAUUAGCACCCUCGCGACGCCCAAAAUUGGUAUCUCGUUAAACGCAUGUUGUCUUAACUUUCAAAAAUACGAGUUCCAUUUAAUAUUUAGUCGUGAUCCGAUUGAAACACGAGAAUUUUGAAACACAACAACCCCUUUUUUUUGAAAACACGAAAUUUUUUUAAAACGCAAGAAUUUUAGAAACACGAAAUUUUUCUUUAAAAAAACACGAAAAUUUUGAAACACGAGAAUUUUUUCAAAACACGAAUUUUCUUUUUGAAACACGAAAAUUUUGAAAACACAAAGUUUUAUUUUGAAAACACAAAAGAUUUGAUAAAUUACGAAACAUGAGAUUUUUUUUGAAACACGGAAAUUUAUGAAACACGGUCAAUUUUUGAAAACACGAAAAUUUUUGAAAGACGGGAUUUUUUUUUGAAAACACGAAAAUUUAUAAAACACGGAAAUUUUUUCUAAAAACAAGAAAAUUUUCGAAAAACGAGAAUUUUUGAAAACACAGGAAAUUUUUGAAAACAUGAAAUUUUUUGUUACACUAGAAUUUUGAAAACACGAAGAUUUUUGAAACAUGAGGAUUUUUGAAAACACGAAGCUUUUUGAAACAUGAGAAUUUUUUGAGAACAUGAAAACAUGAAAAUUUGUCAAACACGGGAAUUUUUUGAAAACACGAUAACAUCAAAGAGUAGUCAAGAGAGUUUUUUGAAACACGGAAUUUUUUUUGAAAAAAAGAAACACAAAUAUAUUUUUUUGAAACACGAGAAAUUUUUUGAAAAAAAGAAACACGAAUAUAUUUUUUUGAAACACGAGAAAUUUUAUUAUUAUUAUUUUGAAACACGAGAAAUUUUGAAGACAUGAAAAUUUUUGAAACACGAUUUUUUUAAUAAUACCAUAUUUAACACGAAUCGAUGAUAUUCACCCCGAUAUGGUGAUGAAAUCGUCGUAUUAGUGUCAAAACAAAUCAAAUUAAUAUUUAAUCAGGAUUCUAAUAAAACACGAGGAUUUUUAUUAAAACACGAGGAAUUUUGAAUAUUUUCGAUUUUUAGAAGGGCGUCCCGUAUUUAACACGAGCCAUCGAUAUUCACCCAACAUAGCGAUGAAUUCAACGGCUUGAUGCUAAAUCGGUUCGUUGCCUUAUGCAUUAAAAUAUUUUUUCUAUAAAAAAAAUGCAAAUAAAAUUACAUAUAAUAAUAUUUCUAAACUAUUAAAAAACUAAUUUAAUUGUAAUGGGGAAAUAUUUAAAUAAAUGGACUUAAUUAGAGUGGGUUUAAAAAAUUACCAAAAGCCCAAAGUUAUGGGCUUGAAUUUUGGGCCUCCCUUUUCUUUUUUUUCUUUCUCUUUCUUUCCUGGGCGUUGGGCUGCCGGACUGGGCCGAGUCUGCUGGCCCGCUGGUUGUUGAAACAGGCCUGCUACCGCUGCUGGAUCGAGUACAGGCCUUCGUGCGGGUCGGGUCUGCCUCCUGGACUGGGUCGUGGCCUGCUGUCACUGCUGGGCUGCUCUGCUGCGCGUGGGCCUGGGCUGCUGCUUAGCUGCUGGAGUGGCCUGCUGUUGGCCUGCCCAAGAUGGCCUAUUGCUUGCUGGGCCGGUCUGCCACUGCUGCUGGUGUGGGUGGCCUGCUGCUGGCUUGUUGCUGGCUGCUGGCUGGGUUGGAUCCGGGUCAUCGGGUCGGGUUGGCCCGGCUGUUAUUUUUUUUCUUCUAUUUUCUUCUUUCUUCUUUCUUUUUUUCUUUUUUUCCUCAUUUCUUUUUCUUUCCUUUUUCUUUUUCUUUCUUUUCUUCUUCCUUUCAAACCCUAGCCACCGUCUUUUGCUUGGUGGCGCGACAGUGCCGGCGCUUCUCCCUUCUCCCUUCUCCCUUCUCCUCCUCUCUCUUCUUUCUCUCUUUUUCUUUUUCUUCUCUUCUUCCUCUCUUCCUUACUUCUUUACUGUUUGGGUUGCUGUUUUUUUUUGUUUUCUCUUUGCUUGUUUGUAUAGGUGCGACGGUGGUGGUGGUGUCACAACGGCGGUGCGACGACGGUGGUUGCGGGAGGAUGGUGGUGGAGGCUUUCGGCUUGCUGCUAUUUUUUUGUUUUUGAAUUUUUUCUGCUCUUUUUCUUUUGGUUGCCGAAAAACCUUUUCUUUUUGUUUCGGUUUCCCUUGGCUUUCUAGGUGGCGGUGCGGUGGUUGCGGUGGCGGGGUAGUGGCGCGACGGUGGCGAUGGCUUUUGGGCUGCUGUUUUUUGGAUUUUUUUGAGUUUUUCUCUGCUCUUUUUCUAUUUUUUUUUGGUUGCUAUCCGACCCCCUUCCUUCUCUUUUGAUUUUCUUUUUAAUCUCUUCAUUUUUUAUCCUCUUUCUUCUUGUUUUCAGAUGGCAUGGAGGUGAGGAGCAUGGCUGAUUGGCGGUGUCAGGCGUAGGGUGUGGUGCACGCCCAAAUGCUGGUUGGGGGGCAGUCUUGUCAUUCCCAGAAGGACUGAAUUGUAGAGUGUGCAAAGUUUUUAGGGCAAAAAUGUGAUUUUAGGAAAAUAUAGGGACAAAAUGUAAUUUCUAGAAAGUUUAGGGGCCUGACUGUAAUUUAUAAAAUAUUAGGGGUCAAGAUGUAAAUUUAGACAAAGUUAGGGGUCAAAAAAUAAUUUUUGAAAAGUUUGAGGGCCAAAAUGUAAUUUUUAUUUUUUGUAUUUUUAUUUUUUUCAAAAUUUUAUUAUGACUAUUUUAUUAAUAUUUAAAACAAAAAUUAAAAACGGACUAAAGUAAUUCCAAAAUUAAAUCCUAAUGGGCUCGAUCAUUGGGCCCAUACGAGACCGACCCGGCCUAAAAUUCAAACCGGGCAAAAUUCAGUGAUUACAGCUGCCCCUCUUUGCUCAUCGCUGUAAAACAGGGAUAGAGCAAAGACUUAAAAGCACUGAAUUUUGCUCGAUUGUCUAAUUUUUUAUAUUUUUUGAAAGCCUGAAAUUGAAAAAAAAAAGCUUGGUGUGCGAUCCGAAGUUCAACUCACUUUUCAGAUUAUAAGUUGACCUUUGAAAAAUAAAAAAUAAAAAUACCUCAGCUUGACUCGAGGCUCAACUCACCUCUAGGAUUAUGAGUUAAUAAUUUUUUUUUUUGAAAACAUAAAUUGAAAAUACCACAGCGUGACCUGAGGCUUAACUCACCUCUCGCAUUAUGAGUUGAUUUUUGAAAAACGAAAAAUUGAAAAAUACCUCGGCAUGUGACCCGAGGCUCAACUCACCUCUCGUAAUAUGAGUUGAUUUUUUUUGAAAAACAGAAAUUUAAAAUACCUUAGCGUGCGACCUGAGGCCCAACUCACCUCUCGCAAUAUGAGUUGAUUUUUGAAAAACAGAAAUUGAAAAUACCUCAGGAUGACCCGAGGCUCAACUCACCUCUCGUAUUGUGAGUUGAUUUUUGAAAAAAAGAAAAUUUAAAAGAAAUACCUCGGCGUGACCCGAGACUCAACUCACCUCUCGCAAUAUGAGUUGAUUUUUUUGAAAAACAGUAACUUAAAAAUACCUCAGCGUGACCCGAGGCUCAACUCACCUCUCGUAUUAUGAGUUGAUUUUUGAAAAACAAAAAUUAAAAAAUAUAAUUCUUGAAAGAAACAGGGUUUCAAAACAUCAGGUGAAACUAAAGCCUUCUUCUUCGUUGAUUCUGUGCAACUUUCUCUCAGUAUUCCCUGCUCUACUAAGAUACCUGUAUAUGUCAUGUAUGAUGUUAUUAUGAUAUGCACGUGUUUGACCUAAAUGCUUUUAUGCCUACAUAAUCAUGCCAUGAGCCCUGGGCUGUUUGUCUCAUGCCUCCUUUUCGUGAGGGACUGCAUUCAUUGCCUCAAUCAUUGACUUCUCUCUUCGGUUUUGUACUCAUCUUCAAGUUUGUCGGGUGACCCACAUGUCCAUAUUUCCCCUUCUUGCCCCUUUUGUUGAACUUUGUUCCUGCUUUGGGGUCCUUGUACUUAUCAAAUUCUCAUCCAGGUAAUGCUCAACAUUCAUUUUGUUUAGAGUAUGUCAUCUUACUAUUUAUCAUUUAAAUGAAUCAAACACAAGAUGCAUAAAUAAAAUGGCAAAGUAGGCAUGAAAGAAAUACCUCACAUCCAUUUCAUUUUCAAAACCAUCAAACAAAGAAAAUUGACAAGGAAAAAGUUCAAAGAAAGCAUCAUAUAGAAAGGAAAGUGAAUUCAAUGGCCACAAAUGCUCUAGAUAUCCAACGUAUGAACUUCUCCACGUUUCUUCAUCCUGGAUCCUUUCGAGCACGGCUUCUUGUGUAGAAGAUUUCGAGCUUCUGAGAAUGCUUCAAAUAUUGCGACUUUGUCAUUCAACUCUCCGUUCAAGUCACUUUGCUCCUUUAAGCUCGAGCCCACUUCAUUAGGACGCCCUUUCAGGUUUCCAUCCUAAUUCUUUUUGUUUAUCAAAACGCCCUUUUCAGGUUUUCAUCUUGAUUUUCUUUUUCUUUUCUUUUUUCUUUUUUUGUUUUUGUUUUUGUUUUUUUUUGUUCUUUUUGUUCUUUUUGUUCUUUUAUUUUUUUAUUUUUUUUUUGUUUUUUUAGGCAUAAUAUUUCUUUACAGCAUCUGAGUUCACUGGAUUAGGUAACUCUUUCCCGUCCAUCUCAGUGAGAAUCAGAGCCCCUCCUGAGAAUGCCCUCUUUACAACGUAUGGUCCUUCCCAAUUUGGUGACCAUUUUCCUCGAAAGUCCUUCUGUAUUGGGAGAAUCUUUCUCAGUACGAGCUCUCCUUCGCGAAAUUCUCUUGGCCGCACCUUUUUAUCAUGGGCCGUAAUCAUUCUCUUCUGGUACAUCUGUCCAUGACAAAUUACCUUCAAGCGUUUCCCUUCAAUAAGGUUUAGCUGAUCAUAUCGAGCUCGAACCCACUCUGAUUCCUCUAACCUUGUCUCCAUCAAGAUGCGCAGGGAUGGGAUCUCUACUUCGAUAGGCAGAACGGCUUCCAUUCCAUAGACUAGAGAAAAAGGAGUUGCCCCCGUAGACGUCCGUACCGAGGUGCGAUAUGCGUACAAAGCGAAUGGUAGCUUAUCGUGCCAGUCUUUAUAUGUCUCAGUCAUCUUCCCAAUAAUCCUCUUAAUGUUCUUAUUAGCGGCUUCUACUGCUCCGUUCAUCUUUGGGCAAUAGGGCGAAGAAUUAUGAUGUUUUAUCUGGAAUUGCUCACAUACUUCUUUCAUCAUCUUAUUGUUCAAAUUUAAAGCAUUAUCUGAAAUGAUUCUUUCAGGCAGACCAUAUCGGCAUAUAAUCUCCUUUUUUAAGAACCUACAGACUGUAGCCUUUGUCACAUUAGCAAACGAAGUGGCUUCUACCCAUUUUGUGAAGUAGUCUAUAACCACAAAGAUGAAUCGAUGCCCAUUGAAAGCUUUCGGGGAAAUUGGCCCUAUAACAUCCAUGCCCCACAUAGAAAAAGGCCACGGAGAAGUCAUGACAUGAAGGGGUGACGGAGCUGCAUGAAUUUUGUCGCCAUAAAUUUGACAUUUGUGGCACUUUCGUGCGUAACCAAUGCAAUCCCUUUCCAUCGUCAGCCAAUAAUAACCAAGUCUCAUAAUCUGCCUGGCCAUGGUGAAACCACUGGCAUGUGUUCCACAAAUUCCUUCAUGAACCUCUUCAAGUAUCUUUCUAGCUUCAACAGCGUCCACGCACCUCAGGAGCACUUGAUCUUUUCCCCUUUUGUAUAGAAUAUCCCCGUCAAGAACAAAUCCAAUCGCCAUUCUCCUGAUUGUUCUUUUGUCAUUCUCGUUUGCUUGCUCGGGGUACCUUUGAUUCUUGAUAUACUCCAAGAUAUCAUGGAACCAUGGUCGUCCAUCUGACUCCUCCUCAAUACUAAAGCAGUGUGCGGGGGUCUCAUAUAUACUCAUUUGGAUGGGCAUUAUCUCAUUUUCUCUGUUUGCCUUGAACAUCGAAGCCAAGGUGGCUAGGGCAUCAGCCAGUUGGUUCUCCUCUCGUGGAAAGUAGUUAAAAGUCACUUUAUAGAACUCCUUGAUCAGCUCUGCAACGAGAUCAUGAUAUUUGACUAAUUUUGGAUCUCUCACUUCCCAAUCUCCACGAAUUUGAUAAAUGACUAAUGCUGAGUCCCCGUGUACCUCUAAAAUUUUGAUUUUUCACUUGAUAGCUGCACGAAGUCCCAUGAUGCAAGCCUCAUAUUCCGCUAUAUUAUUUGUACAGAAGAAAUUCAAUCUGGCAGUAAGCGGGUAAUGGUCCCCUUCAGGUGACACUAAGACUACUCCUAUCCCAUGCCCCAAUACAUUUGAUGCACCAUCAAAGCUCAUCUUCCAUGACUUUCCUUUUGAUGACUCGCCCUCUUUUUCUGAAAUACACAUCAAAUCUUCAUCUGGGAACUCAAAUCUCAAAGGCUCGUAUUCCUCCAUUGUUCGACUUGCCAAGAAGUCAGCUAUUGCGCUUCCUUUUAUCGACUUUUGGCUCACAUAUACAAUGUCAUACUCAGUCAAUAGGAUUUGCCAUCGGGCCUUUCUCCCUGAGAGUGCAGGUGACUUCAUCAUGUACUUUAUUGGGUCCAGUUUUGAAAUUAACCAUGUCGUGUGAUACAGCAUGUAUUUUCUGAGCCUUCGAACUGUCCAAAUCAAUGCACAACAAAACUUCUCAAUUGACAGGUACUUUGCCUCAUAUUCUGUGAACUUCUUGCUGAGGUAGUAAAUUGCCUUCUCUCUUUUCCCUGACUCAUCAUGUUGUCCCAGUACGCAACCCAUUGAGUUCUCAAACACGGUCAGGUACAAUAUUAAGGGUUUUCCAGGGGUCGGCGGUACUAGCACAGGAGAAUUAGAUAGAUACUGUUUUAUCUUGUCGAAGGCCACUUGGCACUCCUCGUUCCAUUCUCCCGGAUUACGUUUUCAAAGGAGUCGAAAAAUUGGGUCACACUGAUUGGUAAGUUGAGCAAUGAAUCGAGCAAUGUAAUUCAACCUUCCUAAAAAACCUCUGACUUCCUUUUGUGUACGCGGGGGAGGCAAUUCUUGUAUAGCUUUUAUCUUAUCUGGAUCAACCUCGAUACCUCUUUCACUAACAAUGAAACCUAGCAGUUUUCCUGAGGUAGCCCCAAAUGUACAUUUGGCCGGGUUAAGCUUCAACUGAAACUUUCUUAAUCUUUCAAACAACUUCCUAAGACUCCCAACAUGCUCUCUUUCUUCCCGAGAUUUGGCAAUCAUAUCAUCGACAUAAACUUCUAUUUCUUUGUGCAUCAUAUCAUGGAAUAACGUCACCAUGGCUCUCUGAUAUGUUGCCCCAGCAUUCUUUAAUCCGAACGGCAUUACCUUGUAGCAGAAGGUUCCCCACAUUGUUAUGAAUGUAGUUUUCUCCAUAUCUUCGGGAGCCAUCUUUAUCUGAUUAUAUCCUGAGAAACCAUCCAUGAAAGAAAACAGAGAAUGCUUUGCCGUAUUAUCCACCAAAGUGUCGAUGUGCGGUAAAGGAAAGUUAUCUUUAGGGCUUGCUUAAUUCAGAUCAUGAUAAUCCACGCACAUUCGCACCUUGCCAUCUUUCUUCGGCACUGGGACUAUAUUAGCUACCCAUUCUGGAUACUUUGAGACUUGUAGGAAGCCAGCGUCAAAUUGUUUCUUGACUUCUUCUUUUAUCUUUAACAGCAUUUCGGGUCUCAUCCUUCUUAAUUUCUGCUGAACGGGCUUGCAUUCUGGUUUCAGUGAGAGCUUGUGGACCACAAUAUCCGUGUUUAAUCCUGGCAUAUCUUGAUAAGACCAGGCAAACACAUCCUUGUAUUCAUGGAGCAAGGCGAUCAAAUCUUGCCUUGUGUUUUUUGAAAUCGAAGUCCCAAUCUUCACUUCUUGUUUCUCUUCUUCAUUCCCCAAGUUCACUACCUCAACAGAUUAUUGAUGGGGUAGGAUUUGUUUCUCUUCUUGUUCCACCAUUCUCAGUAAGUCAGGAGAUGAGACACAAUCUUCAACAUUUUCGUCAGCUUCGAAUUCUCCUAAACAAAUAACCUUCUCAAAAUUGAUUUCAGGAUUCAUAACGGGAUUAUUCAUGCCAUUGAUAUCUGAACACCUGAAAGGUGAAUGGAAAAAGGAUAUAGAAGAGUAUUGAGGUAUUGUAAUCAACACACAAUGAUAUGAGAUGAUAUGAGACAUAUGCCAGAAAAGGAUAUGAACAGAAGGAGUAGUCGCAAAGUUAAUGAAAAGAAUAUGACAAUAUAAAACAAAAUGCAUCUUCAUUAAUGUUCAUUGAAAUGAUAAAGAGCAAACAUAAGCUCUUACAAAAGGAACCCUACUGUUUAAGGACACACAAAAUGAAGGGUUAACAUUGAGCAUUACUCUGAAGGGGACUUAAAAACUACAAGGAGGUCCUCAGCAGUCCAGUUGUUCAAAACAUAUCCUGGAGGACAAUGGCGUAUCAUUGAAGCAUUCUUAAUUUCAUCAUUCUCAUUGUCAAUAGCAUUUAGGCUGAGAUUCUGAAGACCCUUUUCAAUCAAUAAUGUGGCUUGCAAAUUGUUCUGCCCUGGGUACAUCACUCCUGCUGAUGUAAAUGUUCUCGACAAAGGAGGAUACGCCAACGGCCCCCAUUCUAAUUCCUGGCCCGAAGCUCUUGCGAUUCUUCUUUCUCGAUUUUUCUGAAAUUGUUUUUAUCUUUGAUGUACAUCUGGCUUGAACCCCAAACUGUAUCGACCCUUAUGGUGCGUUGGUUUCAAAGCUCUAACCAUCCUUUGUUGAUAUUUUCCCAAACCUUUCCUCGCUCGAGCUCCUUUUCCCACAGUCAGCUUAAGUCCCAUCUUGGUAUUCCUCGACAGUUUGGGAAUGGGGAUCUUAUUCCCUUCAGUAACAAAUGCAGCAUUGAUAAAUUUCAAGAAGCGAAAAGAACAUUCUACAGCAUCUUCGCUUAUUUCGAUGUAGGGUGCAUCAGUAGAGAUAGAUGCGACGAUGUCUUCCUCGCCACCAACAGUAAUCAAACGACUAUCCAUGAUGAACUUUACUUUCUGAUGGAGAGAUGAAGGAACUGCCCCAGCAGAAUGGAUCCAAGGUCUUCCUAACAGGCAAUUGUAUGAAGGUGUGAUGUCCAUGACCUGAAACUCGAUAUCGUAUGCACAUGGCCCCACUUUUAAAGGAAUUUCGAUAUUUCCCAUGACCUCUCGCCGUGUCCCAUCAAAUGCCCUUACUAUAGAAUGACAAGGCCUCAGAUAGGACAUAUCAACCGGCAUCCUAGAAAGCGUGGCCAAAGGCAUAACAUUGAGUGCAGAUCCAUUGUCGAUGAGCACAUUUGGUAAUAUGUAACCUUUGCAAUUGGUUGUGAUGUGCAAUGCUUUUAUGGAGCCCCUUCCAUUUGGCGGUAUUUCGUCGUCACUAAAGGAGAUGAAAUUAUCUGCAUUUAGAUUAUUUGCCCACCUAUCAAGCUUUUCCACAGAUACAUUGUUCGCCACAUAAGCUUGAUUUAACACUUUUAACAAGGCAUUCCGAUGUGGCUCUGAAUUCAACAAUAGAGACAGUACCGAGAUACGGGCUGGCUGCUUGUUUAAUUGUUCUACAAUGCUAUAUUCACUGUGCUUAAUGAACUUUAAGAACUCACAUGCUUCCUCCUCAUUCACAGCCUUUUUAACUUCUUCCUCGGGUGGUAUUUCAACAUCAUCCUCAGCCUCAUACAUUGGUGCUUUUCUUUUUUGGCUCGGACCAGCAACCUUCUUCUUUGGCUCAACCGUCUCGGGAGAAUAACAUCUUUCGCUACGAGUAAAAUGUCCUACUCCGCUAACACCUUCACUCACAACCUUGGACUUUUCACCCUCAGGUACAAUGAUAUUGACAUCAUAAUUCUAAGGCACCGCCUUGUUGUCCUUAUAAGGGAAAGGAGCAGGUACUUCAAUUAUCAAACUUGGUUUAACUUCUCGACUAACUUCUUCCUUCUUUGUCCCGUAAUAAAUCACCAAAGGUCUAUCGACGCUAUAAAGGGAAGCCAUUGAUUGAUUAUUAGAGGCACAUAUUUCUCCUUCUUCGGCCCCCUCCACCCUAUCAAAGACCUUGACCUCUUUGUUAUCCAUCAUGUCUUGAAGUAAUUUCCUAAAUUCCUUACAAGAUUGGAUGUCAUGCCCUUGGACGCCAUGAAAAUCACAGAAACUCUGGUCUUUUGUACUUUCUUCUUUAAGAAUCUUACUAGACGGACAGAGCAAGCCAUUUUCAAUCAUCAUCUCCCAUACCUUCCGUAAAGGUGUCUUUACUUCGGUAACACAACCUUUGGCUUGACAAUUGUCUUCAUUUGUCACCGCAUUUACAUUCCCGUCAGUAUGGUUAGGAAGAGGAUUUCCUGUCACAUUGCUAACAUCGUCGAACCGUAGAACACCGGCAUCAAUAAGACCUUAAACCCUCCUUUUAAAAGCAAGACAGUUUUCUGUAGAAUGUCCCUGAUUCCCAGCGUGAUACAUGCAAUUAGCGUUAGGAUCAUACCACUUCGGGUAUGGAGGCUUCAGGGGUGCCAUGUAAUGUGGGGAUAUUAAUUGUUUUUCCAACAGCUUUGGGUAUAAUUCUCCAUAUGAUACAGGAAUUAGAGUAAACUGAGGUCUUUCAAGAUUGGGUCUUGCCGGUCUUUGUUCAUUUUUGGGUUGGCUUUGUACAGGUAUGGUGUUUGGCGGGAACACGGUGAAUGGUCUUUGGUUAUUCACAGCAUAAACGGGGUAAGAUAGGGGUGCUUGAUAGUAAGGACUUUGAGGAGGAAAGUAGAAGUUUGAAGGUGGGCGGUAAUGAGGUCGUGGUUGGGUGAGGUACGGAUUAGGGGUACAUUGGCUUUCAGUCCCAACCAUAUGGGCCUCUGCCUCCUUUUUCUUUGCGGGUACUGUCCUCUUCGAACUCUCAGGACCUUCCAUUCUCCCACUCUUGACGGCGUUUUCGAUAAGUUCCCCGGAUAUUACAAUAUCUGCAAAGUCCUUUGUGGCACUUCCCACCAACUUAUCGUAAAAUGGCGCUUUUAGAGUGUUGAUGAAGAGGACCGUUAUCUCUGUCUUAGUUAACGGAGGCUCCACUUGAGCCGAGAUAUCCCUCCAUCUUUACGCAUAUUACCGAAAAGUCUCUGUCGGCUUCUUUUCCAUCAUUUGUAAGGUUAGUCGAUCAGGCACCAUAUCUGUUACAUGCCUAUAUUGCUCACAGAAUGCUGAAGCCAAAUCCUUCCAUGAUCGGAUUCUCUCUCUACUGAGUUGAUUAUACCAUCGAAGGGUUGAGCCAAUCAAACUAUCUUGAAAGUAAUGCACCAACAAUUUAUCAUCGUUUACAUAACCAGUCAUCUUUCGGCAAAACAUGAUCAGAUGCGCCUUUGGACAUCUUGUUCCGUCAAAUUUCUCAAAAUCAGGUGCCUUAAAUUUUGGUGGUAGGACCAAAUCAGGUACCAAACUGAGCUCUUUGGCACUCAAAGCAGAGAAAACUUCAGCGCCUUCUACUGCCUUGAUCCUCUAUUCCAGGACUCUAUACUUAUCCUGAGCGUUAUUGUCAUCAAUUCUCAGCCUUGCUACUUCUACAGGAUCAUCUAGGUCUGGAACAAUUGGAUCUGAAGGAUUAGCCCCAGGGUUCGAUACAAACAUUCCUUGUCCUAAAUGAGCAGAUGGAGCAGGAUGUUGUUCCAGGCCUGUAGGUUCCCUUUGGGGGUAUCCUCUUUGCAUUGCGUGGACAUGAGGUGGAGUAAAUCCCGGGGGAUAAAGUGGGUCUUGAUUAGCUCUUGACUGAGGCGGUUCUACGACAUUAGGGCUCUGUAUAGGUCCCUUUCCUUUGACCAAAGCCGUCAUCAUUUCUAUCAUUUUAGCCAUUUGAUCCCUUUGCUCGAGCAAUUCUUCUCGAGAUCUCACCAUCAAAUCUCUUGCCUCUUGCUGCGACUUGGCCAGUUGCUCCUGCAACUCUCUUUGGGUUCUUUCCAUCCUUUCCAUCCUUUCAUUGAGUUCAGCAUCCAUAGCUCUAGCUCUUAAGCGCGUCCUAUAAGAGUGACGUGAUUCCAGACUCGUAGUGUAGUAACUGUGGAUUAGAUGGUUUUACCCUUAGCGAAUGAUUAAGGUGAUAUGAGAAUACAAUGAAUAAAUGAAUGAGUAACUAAUGAAUGUUAAUCAUGCGUAAAUAUGCAAAAAAGGGUGUUGAUUCCAAAAUGGCCCCAUACUUGGGCGUUUCAUUUAUCAAAAGAGUCCGUUACAAAAAGUUUUGCCAUCCUAGUUCAACAAUUACACGAAUUUCCUAGCCACAUCGCCUUGCUUCUUCAUACGUUCCAAGAACUCUGAUAUGCUUGAUCUUUGGCUAGGAGGGUAUUGGCAACUGAGAACUUCCGCUUCAUCUGAUAAUUGUACUAUUUGUGCAGCCGCCUUACGAAUUUCAUUGAUCAACCUACCGAGAUGCAUAUCCUUUUCUUGGAGGGCUCUUUCAUAAGCACGAAUGUCUCUGUCAUGCUGAUCAUUCUUCUCUUCUAAAGCUCUCAAGAGGUCAUCCAGAUGUUGCUGAUGAGCUUGCAGUGUACUCUCUAGACUUCAGAUUUUUCCUUUUAGCCCUUGAUGCUCAGACUGACUAGCCGUUAGUUCUGCAGUCACAGUUUCGUAUUCAACGUUCUUCUUCCUCAACUCUAUCAUAGCACAUGCAGCUCUUUCCUCUUCUUUCUUUGCUUUGGCUUUCCAGAAUUCCAUCCCACCUUUGAUAUUACUUAGUUCCUCUUUCCAUUCUGCUGAUGCUUUGCCCAAUCCACUAUUUCUUAUAGUGCCCCUUAAUUUCUUGUUUUCCAAAUGAAGGUCCCUUAAAUUCUUUCUCGUAACUUGAACUUCUUUUUGGACUUUUUCGGCUCUGGAUUUUUCAAUUUCGACAUCAAUCUUCAGCUGGUAGUUCUCCUCCUGAAGAGAUUAAUAUCUCGCAACAUUUUGGCCUUUUCACGUUCAAAUUCAUGUCUUGCAAUUUCUAGCUCGGAUGGGGUUUUCUCUGAGAACGGAUUCUGGCAAGCUUCAUUAAUUGGUGGGGUUACUUGACUCUUCACUCGUUGUUGCCUCCAUAGGUCAUAGUCUACAGUGAUAGUAUCAGCAUAUAGAGCCAAUUCCAUUAGGUAGAUUCGCCUCCAAGAAUUCGCAGUAUCUCAAACCUUUUUCAUGUAACCCUCACCCAUAAAGGCAAACUCCGAUUGUGCCAAUCCAUCGGUAACUGGUACAAACUGUCGCGAAGCGAACUGUCUUUAAACCAACAAUGGAGCAUAUCCAACUCCUCCCCAUAAUCCUAAUAAAGGUAUCCAGUCUUGGUUUCCACACUUGUAUAACAAGACAGAGGGACGAAUCCAAGGUGCUCUCCAAGUUAUAUCUUCGACACGGAGGUUCUGAAAGACCGAGACCCAGUGUUGUUCAGUGACAUCUUUCGGCCAAUCUUUUCCAAGGUGUGCUUCCAACGGGGCGAAUGUCUUUGAAAACAUGUGGAAAGGCGUACGCUCCACCCUCCAAAAAUGGCUAAAGAUCCAAACAUUCAGUAACUGAGCGCAUUCGAUAAAACGUCCUUCCCCUUUUCUCCUACAAGCAUUUAGAGAUCUAAAAGUCUCAGCCAAGAUGGCUGGGACCGGGUUAACUCUUUGCCUCAACUUUUCGAAGAAAUCCACAACCGCAACUUCAAUAUGCCCAAGAACCUUCGGGAAGACGACCAGUCCGUAAACAGCCAAGGCAAACAAAUCUACUCUUUUUAACACAUCUGGAUGAUUCUGAACUAACUCCCGCAGAGAAAACCACGGGACACAACUGACUUCAUUCUUCUUCUUUAUCUGUUUUUCAGCCCAUGUAUCAGUCAUUCCCGUCAACUUCAUUAGCUUUUUCUUGAAGGUCAUUGGUUUAGGCUCCUUCACAUAUAUCUUGUUGAGUUGCACAUUAUCGAUGCGAAGCAAAGCGGCAUACUCUUCUAUGGUCGGAGUCAUAUCUUCCUGAUUGAAAGUGAAACACUGAUAGGCUGGGUCCCAGAAUCGAACCAUGGCUUGGAUCAACUGCUCGUUCACAUCGAUUGCUAUCAAGUGAGCUAUAUCCCCAUACUUUUCAGUGGAGAUGCUUCUAGUAUCUGAGUCCCACUGCUUCCAAAUCCUAGUCAAGUCUUCGAGAUCAUUUUGACGAGCAUUCAAAGUCACACGCUCGGGAAGAUCAGAGGUGUAUCCUUCCUUCAAACUGUCCCCUUUCACUUUUUGAGUUCUCAAAGACCAAUCUCGGACUACAGCAUUUUUCUCGGUUACUCGUGUAAUUGACUCCUCCAUCAGAAACCCGUUUUUGGCAACCAAUAUUUAACCAACACCUUCCUAAUGAGAUGUCUACGAUGCAUGAUGGAAAAUAAGAUGAAAAACAAAUAACCUUGGUUAGAGAUCACAACAGAUAUAAACAAAAGAAAAAUGAAAAAUAAAGACUAUGGAAAAUUUAACAAAUUAAGCUAUUCAAUCAUGCAAUUUGGUGGAACAGACCCACAUUUUUUUUUGCCCCAACAUGCUUUACAAGAAACCUACCCCACAUACCAUCAGACCAUCUAUCCGACCCAAUUUAUUGAAUAGACUCAAUUUAUCUGCAAAUAAGUGUAAAUGUAAAAGAAAUAAAAGGUAAGAGGCGUUUCUCCCGUGCACUUAUUUUGGUAACUAUCAAACGGACAGAGGUUCUGUAUGGCUCUACUCGGGUGGCCUAUACGGUUCACUAUAUGUAGUUUCGGUUUUAGAAAGGUACUCGAAUUGUCCAUACUAUCACCUACUAAGGUUAGUACAGAGCUUCGGUUAUCGCCCGUCAGGGCUCGCGAGCUCAAUUCGAGGGAUUACAUUUACUUAUGCCUAUGCGGAGGGACAAGUUAACUCACGAAAGCAUAAGUCAUAUGUAACCCGAAAGUAAUUACUAGCCUGUGCGGAGGGACGAGUUAACUCACGAAGGCGUAGCGUUUACUUCCACUUAAACGGACAGAGCCCGGGUAGAGAGCUCAUGUUAUGCAAAAAAUGCAAGUGCACUGUGUGUGGAGAGAAACUCACAAACCUUUUUAUUUUUACUUUUACUAAAAAAAACAAACUAAAACCAUAAAACUUAAAGCUGAAAAAAACACGAAAAUAAAAAAGGUUAGAAAAAUAUUAAUUUCAAAACUGAAUACGGAUGCAUGAUUUUUUUCAAAACAAAAUUCAAGGAUCACGAUUAAAAAUUAAUUUGAACAAGAAAAUUUGAAAAUUUUGACAACACACGUUUAACAUCAGACUCGACUCUCAAAAAAAACUCCCCAGCGGAAUCGCCAGCUGGAGCGACCUAAAAAUUUCUGGGCACGGGCGCUAGUCGAAGUAAUUAUUUAAGGUUUGAAAACAGUGUCUCGAUUUUAUUCGAAAAAGGGAGUCGCCACCGAUCUUUUUUUUUAGGUGUGAUCGGACACCUACAAAAUUCUCUUUUUAGAAGAAAAAUUUAUUUUUAAGCUUUUCUAAAAAGAGGUAAUUUUAGGUCCACGUAAAAAUCAAGAGAAAAUUAGGGUUCUGGAGUCGGUUACGCGCGAGGAAGGUAUUAGCACCCUCGCGACGCCCAAAAUUGGUAUCUCGUUAAAUGCAUGUUGUCUUAACUUUCAAAAAUACGAGUUCCAUUUAAUAUUUAGUCAUGAUCCGAUUGAAACACGAGAAUUUUGAAACACAACAACCCCUUUUUUUUUUUUGAAAACACGAAAUUUUUUUAAAACGCAAGAAUUUUAGAAACACAAAAAUUUUCUUUAAAAAAACACGAAAAUUUUGAAACAUGAGAAUUUUUUCAAAACACAAAUUUUCUUUUUGAAACACGAAAAUUUUGAAAACACAAAAAAUUUGAUAAAUUACGAAACAUGAGAUUUUUUUGAAACACGGAAAUUUAUGAAACACGGUCAAUUUUUGAAAACACAAAAAUUUUUGAAAGACGGGUUUUUUUUUUGAAAACACGAAAAUUUAUAAAACACGGAAAUUUUUUCUGAAAACAAGAAAAUUUUCGAAAAACGAGAAUUUUUGAAAACACAAGAAAUUUUUGAAAACAUGAAAUUUUUUGUUAAACUAGAAUUUUGAAAACACGAAGAUUUUUGAAACAUGAGGAUUUUUGAAAACACGAAGCUUUUUGAAACAUGAGAAUUUUUUGAGAACAUGAAAACAUGAAAAUUUGUCAAACACGGGAAUUUUUUGAAAACACGAUAACAUCAAAGAGUAUUCAAGAGAGUUUUUUGAAACACGGAAUUUUUUUUUGGAAAAAAGAAACACGAAUAUAUUUUUUUGAAACACAGGAAAUUUUUUGAAAAAAAGAAACACGAAUAUAUUUUUUUGAAACACGGGAAAUUUUAUUAUUAUUAUUUUGAAACACGAGAAAUUUUGAAGACAUGAAAAUUUUUGAAACACAAUUUUUUUAAUAAUACCAUAUUUAAUACGAAUCGAUGAUAUUCACCCCGAUAUGGCGAUGAAAUCGUCGUAUUAGUGUCAAAACAAAUCAAAUUAAUAUUUAAUCGGGAUUCUAAUAAAACACGAGGAUUUUUAUUAAAACACGAGGAAUUUUGAAUAUUUUCUAUUUUUAGAAGGGCGUCCCGUAUUUAACACGAGCCAUCAAUAUUCACCCAACAUAGAGAUGAAUUCAACGGCUUGAUGCUAAAUCGGUUCGUUGCCUUAUGCAUUAAAAUAUUUUUCUAUAAAAAAAUGCAAAUAAAAUUACAUAUAAUAAUAUUUCUAAACUAUUAAAAAACUAAUUUAAUUGUAAUGGGGAAAUAUUUAAAUAAAUGGACUUAAUUAGAGUGGGUUUAAAAAAUUACCAAAAGCCCAAAGUUAUGGGCUUGAAUUUUGGGCCUCCCUUUUUCUUUUUUUUUCUCUUUCUUUCCUGGGCUUUGGGCUGCCGGACUGGGCCGAGUCUGCUGGCCCGCUGGUUGCUGGAACAGGCUUGCUACCGCUGCUGGAUCGGGUACAGGCCUUCGUGCGGGUCGGGUCUACCUCCUGGACUGGGUCGUGGCCUGCUGUCACUGUUGGGCUGCUCUGCUGCGCGUGGGCCUGGGCUGCUGCUUAGCUGCUGGAGUGGCCUGCUGUUGGCCUGCCCAAGAUGGCCUAUUGCUUGCUGGGCCGGUCUGCCACUACUGCUGGUGUGGGUGGCCUGCUGCUGGCUUGUUGCUGGCUGCUGGCUGGGUCAGAUCCGGGUCGUCGGGUCGGGUUGGCCCGGCUGUUAUUUUUUUCUUCUAUUUUCUUCUUUCUUCUUUCUUCUUUUCUUUUUUCCUCCUUUUUUUUCUUUCCUUUUUCUUUUUCUUUCUUUUCUUCUUCCUUUCAAACCCUAGCCGCCGUCUUUUGCUUGGUGGCGCGACGGUGCCGGCGCUUCUCCCUUCUCCCUUCUCCUACUCUCUCUUCUUUCUCUCCUUUUCUUUUUCUUCUCUUCUUCCUCUCUUCCUUACUUCUUUACUGUUUGGGUUGCUGUUUUUUUUUGUUUUCUCUUUGCUUGUUUGUAUAGGUGCGACGGUGGUGGUGGUGUCACAACGGCGGUACGACGACGGUGGUUGCGGGAGGAUGGUGGUGGAGGCUUUCAGCUUGCUGCUAUUUUUUUAUUUUUGAAUUUUCUCUGCUCUUUUUCUUUUGGUUGCCGAAAAACCUUUUCUUUUUGUUUCGGUUUCCCUUGGCUUUCUAGGUGGCGGUGCGGUGGUUGCGGUGGCGGGGUAGUGGCACGACGGUGGCGAUGGCUUUUGGGCUGCUGUUGUUUGGAUUUUUUUGAGUUUUUCUCUACUCUUUUUUUAUUUUUUUUUGGUUGCUAUCCGACCCCCUUCCCUCUCUUUUGAUUUUCUUUUUAAUCUCUUCAUUUUUUUGUCCUCUUUCUUCUUGUUUUCAGAUGGCAUGGAGGUGGGGAGCAUGGCUGAUUGGCGGUGUCAGGCGUAGGGUGCGGUGCACGCCCGGAUGCUGGUUGGGGAGCAGUCUUGUCAUGCCCAGAAGGACUGAAUUGUAGAGUGUGCAAAGUUUUUGGGGCAAAAAUGUGAUUUUAGGAAAAUAUAGGGCCAAAAUGUAAUUUCUAGAAAGUUUAGGGGCCAACUAUAAUUUACAAAAUAUUAGGGGUCAAGAUGUAAAUUUAGAAAAAGUUGGGGGUCAAAAAAUAAUUUUUGAAAAGUUUGGAGGCCAAAAUGUAAUUUUUAUUUUUUGUAUUUUUUUUAUUUUUAUUUUUUUUUCAAAAUUUUAUUAUGACUAUUUUAUUAAUAUUUAAAACAAAAAUUAAAAACGGACUAAAGCAAUUCCAAAAUUAAAUCCUAAUGGGCUCGAUCAGUGGGCCCAUACGAGACCGACCCGGCCCAAAAUUCAAACCGGGCAAAAUUCAGUGAUUACAGUUAUUUUAUUAUCUUAAUUAUUUUUCAAAAUUAAUAGAAUUUUAUUAUAAAUUAGGGCAGUUCUCAUUUAAUUAAAAAGUUUAUAUAUAUUAAAAUUAUAAAAAUAUAUUAUUUAGUAAAUUAAAAAAUAAACAAAUACAUAGUUUAAUUAACAGUAAUAUUGUAUUUUCUCCAUUAUGUGGUAUUUUCCCUAUAAAUACAUAGUUUUAGGUUUAUACCUAGAGUUAGCCACCUUAGUAUUAUUUUGCUUUAGUGUUUUCUUUUGUCCAUGAAUUUCUAAAUCAUCUUUUCUAGUCAAAGGGAUUUUGAACUUUGAUUGUAAUAGUUUGUAAGAUCUAAUUGCUCUUCAUCUAUUCUUUGUUCUUUAGCGCUUGCAUGUGUUCUAUUUUAAUUACAAAUAUUCAAGUUUGUUGGAUAUUGGUACCAUAUUCAAUUGCUUAGAACAUAGUGACAAAUAACAUGAUUACAUAUAAACUAUGUAUGCAAUUCAUGUUAUGUGGAUACCCGAUUUAAUCUAAAUGAACCCCGUUGGUGUGUGUUAGUUGGUCAGAAAUAGGUUUCUCUCAUUCUUAAUACUACCUAUAAUUAAGCUAAAUCCUAGGCACGAAGUUAUAGGGCCUCUUGGUUAUCGAAAGGUAAUGAGAGAUUGUUUAUAUGGUUCUUAAUGCUAGGUGCGACAUGGGCAACUAUAACUAAUUUAUUAAAAACACUAAAAUUAUAUUUGCAUCAUUGAUCAAACUCAUGAAUCAAAAUUGAGAUUUUACCUUAGUUAGACUCUCAUUAUAUUGAUUUUGCUAUAUUUUAUUUUGCAAUCUUUUUCUUUUACAAAGUUUUAAUUUUAAUUUUAAAAAUCCUUAUUUUUAUUUUACUUGUUUUUUUAAAGAAUUAGAACAAUCACUAGUCUUUGUGGAUAUGGCUCUACUCACAGUCAUCUACAAAUUUAUUUUUUUAGUAAGAAUUUAUUUUUCUAGGUCACAACAACCAUACAACUUUUGACACCAUUGUUGGGGAUUGGUGUCAAUAAUUUUAUUUCCUUUUAAAUUCAAAUAAGAAUUUUCAAGAAGAGUGAAUGAGGUAAAUAUUUCUUUUUCCUAAUAAUCAUUGAGACCAAACGAUAACAUUAAUGAUGACCUUGAUAUUUGUGGGUGUCGAAAUAUCCCUUAAAAAAAUGUAUUUCAAAUUUUAACUUUCCUGAAAACAUAUAUUAUAAAUAAUAAAAUAUCUAAUAACAUAGUAAAAAAAAUCCAAGUUUUGGUUCCCCUAUAAUCGAUGGCCCAGUUUGCCUUUAACGAGCACUACACCAAAACAGGCUUUUAGCGGCGUUUGAAUAAAAAAUGCCUCUAAAGAUCGAGCAUUAGCGACUCUUUUCGGAAAACGCCGCUAAAUAUCGAACUUUAACAUCGCUUUAUGGAAAACGCCGCUAAAUAUAAGCAUUAGCGGCGUUUUCUAAAAAGCGCCGCAAAAAACCUAUGCUUUCGGGGUUUUAGCGGCGUUUUUAAUGAAGCGCUGCUAAUGCUCAGGGCUUUAGCGGCAUGUUUUGGGAAGCGCCGCUAAUGCUUAGGGCUUUAGCGGCGUUUUUGAGAAAGCGCCGCUAAUACUCUAUUUUUAGCGGCGUUUUCUAAAAUGCGCUGCUAAUGCUCAGGGAUUUAAAAUAAUCUAAAAUAUUUUUUAAAAAUGGAAAAAUUAAAAUACUAUAAGUUCUUUUAAACAGAAUAUAUGGCAUAACCUAUAAUAUGGAAUAAAAGGCGGCAUCACGUGUUAAUUUAAUUUAAUUAUUAUUUAAAAAUUUAUAUAAAUAAAAUAGACAUAAUGAUUUAUUUAUCCUUCUAACUUUACAAAAAAACCAUUACAACCCUUUAUUUAAUUUUUAUCUUUUUAACCCUUAAAUUUAUAUUAUUUAUUAAAUCAGCUCAAAAUAGAUGGGAAAAUUAUUCUUUAUUAACUUUACUAAACAUGGAAGCCAAAGGCCCUGAAAUGAAAACAAUUUUCACCAAAGCGUUUUUAUAACUUAUACACUUUUAAAUUAAUAAUGAUAAAAUUACAUGUUAACCCCCUAAAAAUGAUAAAAAUUUUAUUUAAUCCUUAUAAAAAUAUAAUUAAAAUGGUAAAAUUACAUUUUUAACUAUCCUAAAAUAUACAAUUUAAUUCCAUCUCCUCCAAAAAAUAAAAAUAAAAGAAAAACAUUACCGUUAACCCAGUUCAUAGGAGGCUGAAAGUGAUACCCGGUUCGAUGAAGUUGUUUUACAGUAAAUGCAGUUUUAGAUUAUAAAUGUGGAUGAAUCUUAUGAAAUGCUUCAACGAUGCCAUUCUUACUUAUUAUCUCACAAAAACACCCAAUUAUUAAAUAAACUAACAAAAUAUUUUUUGUAAACUCCAUUGAAAUUUCGAAAGCCGAAUGUUGAAACAGGAUGGUGAUUCAUUUAUAUAGGACUGAAAUUUAACAAUUUCAAAAAAAAAAUAUAUAUUUUAAAAUGUUUAGAUAAAAUAGUUUUUUAUUUGAAUUUACCAGUAAUUUAUAAUAUCAACAUUAAAUCUACAAUUCUUGAUUUUCUUUUUUUAAAAUAAUUAAAAUUUUAUUCUUAUAGUAUUUAAAUAAUUAGGGAUUAUGAAUUGUGGUUUAUGGUUUAAGGGUUGGGGUUUAAGGUUUAGGGGUUAGGGGUUAGGGGUUUAGGGGUUAGUGCUUGCUGAUUUUUUUUAUUGAUCUUCUACCCCUUGUACCUGGAUCCGACCUGACCUGGAUUGUUCCUUGUGUUCUUUUUCUGCUUUCUCAGCAGGGAGAUCCCAUUCUGCAGACAAAGAAGAACACAAAAGAUCAAAGGUAAUUUUAUUUCAAUUUGAUCCAUUUUUCUUGGUUAUCUUUUCCGUGUUUUUUUAUUUGUAAUUUGUUAUGUUUUCUGGGUUUUGCUUAUAAUGUCUGCAUUAAUAUUCAUUUCACAUUUUUUGUUUGUAUUUGCUUUUGUUUCUUUUUCCCAUCACAAUCAAAGUUCUAAACUAAUUUUUUCCCUGUAAUUUCAUUUUUAGAUUCAAAGUUUCUUUUUUUUUUUAAAUUUUUUUAUUAAUAGCAUUGACUUUUAAUAUUUAUUUUGAUAGUUUUUUUGGGGGAAGUGUGGGGGGGGGGGUCAGCAUAUUUGCUUUUGAACAUAAGAUUGAUUCUGCCUGUGUUGUGUAUUUGCCAAAUUCCAGUCCUGGAUUCAAAGUUUGUAUGUGUUUCUUACCAUUUUCUAAGAAAUAAAAAAUAUGUUAUUAAUAUUGUCUUUGUUAAGUCUUUUUCACAUAAUAUUCUUUGAAGUUUGAACAUUGUUUUGCUCCUUUUCAUUAUGGAAAAACAAAUCUUUUUUUUCCAAUUUAGUCUUUGUUUUUAAUUAUUUUAUAUAAUUAAAUUACUCAAAGUUUAUUUCCCUUUUUUUGAUCCAAACUUUUCUUUUGUACAAAAUUACUCUCUUUCUUAACUUUUUAUAUUAUAUAUAUGUUUUAUAAUAUUAGCUUUAGCUCUCAGUUUUCACUUUCACAUUGAGUUAUUUGAGCAUUUUUCAUAUUUCUUGCUAAUGUGGGACAGAUUUCAUUUUCUUAAAAGGAAAAAAAUUAUGUUGUUUUUGUUGCCUCAAUCCUCUUUAUUUGUCUCUUUAACCUCAUUGGAUAUGGAGUCUAUGUUGUCUUUUCUUUUCAGUUUUUCCAUUUUAGAUUUAUAGGUAAACUUCAAAGUGGUUCUUCUUCAAGUUAAAACAGUGGGGUUUUUUACAUUGAUCAUCUUAAGUUUUCAGAAAAUAUUUUUCCUGUUGAUUUGGAUUUUUUAAGGUUAUUUUUGUCUUUCCUUCCUAAAAUACUUUUUUUUGGAUGAUUUAAUGAAUAUGGCAGGAUUAAGCUUUAGAAAUCCAUGAUUAACUGAGGACUCUAUAUUGGGUCCUCAGUUCAGUUGUUUAAAAUCUAUAUAUUUUUUUAUAAUAUGCUAUGUUAUUCGGACUUGGAUAUGUCCUUGGAGGAUCAUAUCCCGGUACUUUUGUUUGCAUAUGUGCUGGACACAGAUGCUUUAAAUAAAAUGAAGAGUGCUUGCUGUCAACUAGGAGUUUUGAUGAUUAUGAUCAUGAUUGUUUCAUAUAUAUAUAUAUAUAUGCUCUAUUUUUCACCUAUAGUAACAUUAAUUUUGUAAAGAUAUUUUCUUCAAUUCUGAAACUGCUUUAAUAUCUCUUAUCUUAAAAGUUUUGUUUAUCUUGGUAAACUUAAUUUUGCAGCUGCUACUGGAUUUUUUGAGCUUCUCUGCUUCUAGCUUUUCAUCUAUGGCCAGAUACUCAGUUGUGACUGAUAAGGUCUCAAUAGAGGUUGUUGAAGAAUUCAUUCUAGUACAGUUGAAUCUGACAAAAGGCACAAUAUCUGAAAUUAAGGUACCUAAUUCUUUUUUUUCCUUCUUAGCCAUUAAUCAUUAUUGAGUGUUGACAUGGGGGAUCUAUGCUACUAUAUCUAUGUUACUCUAACUCAUCAUUUUUUCUGAAGUGCUCAUGUUUGACACUUGUGUUUGAUGCAUAUUUGGACAUGGAUACAUGAACAUGAUCCUCCAAAUAUAUGAAAAUCCUUAAAAAAGUUGAGCAUACCUAUGUGGGAUAUAUACCUUAUCUGAAAAUAAAGGUUAUGCCUUUUUAAAAACCUGUUUAAUACAUUAUAUAAAUUUCUUCUUAAAAGUUUGUUAGGGCUGAAGCAUGCAUUAGUCUACUAUAAUUUGCUGCAUAAAUGGAAAUUAGCUAGGUGUCCACUGCACAACCUUCAAUUAGACUUUACAUAAAAAAAUUCAUUAUUCAAGGCAAACUGCCUGGCUUGCUGAAAAAUGAUAGUUACAAACUGCCUUCAUUUCUCCCAUAAAGAUCUGCCGAAAUAUGUUUCAUCUAACAAGAUUUUGAUUGACAGCACAUUCAUUUGACAGGAUAAUUUGGAAACCCUGUUGCAAGAGGACAUUCAGGCUGAUCUAGUCUGCUGCUUGCAGCAUUUGCAGGUAUUUUGUGUAGUUUAAGUUGUGAACAUUGGGUUUUGAUUUGUCAUGUGAACAAAUAUGAUGAAUCUGAAGUGCAUUUCUAUUCUUCUAUUUGCAGUUAAGAUUUGAAAUUGAAGACAAAGCAAGGAGACCUCUAAGUAAUGUGUCAUUUUUGUUGAAACCAGGGGGUUAUUUUUUCGGUAUUACUCCUGAAAAAGUGAUUGCCAAAAACUGUUGUUUCUGGAUUUAUGUAUUUUCCUUUUUUUUUCUUGUGAUUACUGCUGCACCUGUUUCUGGGAGGUGAUUGUGUAAACAUUUUAGUGUGCUUUAAUUAUUGUAAGAAUAUUAAAUUUUAACAUUGUUAAUUUUAAUAUUAUUGUAAGAAUAUUUUGAAUUAUAAUUCAGUUAUCAAUUAAUAUCAUAUAUCUUUCAUUGAAUUUGAAGUAUCAUUUAAAUUUACUGUUUUUGGUUGGAUUUUAUGUUACAAGAAGAUUUGUAUAUGGAUGAAAAUCGGCAAAUUUGUCAAAAUUAGUGGCGUUUUCCCAUAAACGCCGCUAAAGUACGUACUUUUAGUAGCGUUUGUGAUGAAAGCGCCGUUAAAGAUAAUGUUCUCUAGCGGCGUUUGUGGGUCAAGCGUCGCUAAAGGUCAUGUUCUUUAGCGGCGUUUGUGUGUAAAGCGCCGCUAAAGCUCAUGUUCUUUAGCAGCGUUUGUGGGUAAAGCGCCAUUAAAGGACAUGUUCUUUAGCGGCGUUUGUAGCUAAAGCGCCGCUAAAGGUUAUGUUCUUUAGUGCGUUUGUGGCUAAAGCGCCGCUAAAGAUUAAGUUCUUUAGCGGUGUUUUUUUCACAUAAACGCCGCAAAAGUUAGCGACGUUCUCAAUAGCGGCAUUUUUUGCGGCGCUUUUGUGUAGUGGAGGAUGAUGAGGAAAGUCUUGACGAUGUUGUGGAUAGCUCGGUUCAAGUUUAGGGUGCUUCUAAUAGUGCUAAUGUUUCUUCUAUUGUUCCAUCGACUGGGAAUCCUUCUUCUAUUAGUGUAGCUGCUGAUACAGUUACCUCUACUUCAAUAAGAGAUGAGACAAUACAGAUUGCCUGGGUCAUGUUUAGUCUUUUUGUAAAACUUUGGUAUUUAAUGCAAACUUUAUCCCUUAUUUGGAUUCCGUGUUUAUGUUAUGCAUCCUUGCAUUUCUUUAUCAACUUAUUGUAUUGAUCUUGUGUAGCUUUAUCAAGCUUUUAUUUUUACUACUUGGAAGAUGUAGGGAAUUUUAUUCUUUCCUUAUUUGUUGUAUUGUGCUUUUAGAUUAACUUAGUGAGAAGUACCCUUGGCUAAGUCUUUCAGAAGGCUAGUAGUUUUAUUUGCUAUUAAUUUAACGGGCAGUAUCCUUGGAGGGUCUGUGCUAAAUUAAUGGGCAGUAUCCUUUUUUAGUUGCAAUGUGACACCUCACACUCGAUUCGGACGACGAAUUUAUAUAUAAAACAUCACAUUCAUUAUCGAAACAACUCAAACAAACAAGAAACUGACGUCAAAGCCAAAUCAAGAAGCAUAGCACAUAAUUCAUAAUUUCCAAAACGCUAAUAAUUAAUUUGUAACUUUUUUUAAUAUAGUUAAUUUAAUGACUAAUGCCGUAAUUAGUCUCACUUAAAAAGAGCCCACCAUUUGACUUGACGCAGAGGUCAAGAGAUAUCUCUAAAAAUGGGAAGCAAUAUAUGAUGUUUAUGGUUGAUAUUGUUCUAUGUGAGGUGUUCAAAUGGUUGAUUGAUCAGUUAACUAAAUCGAACUAGUAUUAAUUGAAUUAAUCUAACUUUUUAAUCUUUAACUGUUAAUUAAAUCGAUUUUUUUUCAAAAAGAUUAACCGAACAAAAAAUAUUUCAAUUAAUUCAAUUGGUUAACCAAAAUUUAUAUAUAUUUUUUGUUUAAAAUGAAUAUAAAACAUAUAAAAAAAUUGAUAAUGUUCAUUUGACUGAAUUAACCUAAUUAAUCAAAUUAGUAAUAGCCUAAUACAUAUGACAUAUAAUAUUAUUUAUUAAGUUCAGUUAAUUCGGUUAAUUACUCGAUUUCGAACUGAAUUAACCAUUAACUGAAAUUCCAAAAAUCAUUUAAUCGAUUUUUAACCAAAUUAAAUCAGUUAACUGAUCAAUUAACCGAAUUAAAUCAAUUUAAUCAAUUAAUUUAAUUUUAACCGAAACUUAAACACCUUUUUUAACUCUAUGAAUGCCAAAAUCCAUAUAUAGACUUAUUUCGGAUGUUAGAAUUUUCCACCAAAAACCAAGUCUUUGUGGAAUUAAAGUUUUGUUGCUAAGACCCACUGGAUUUUUCAUAACCACUAUAAUUAGAUUAGAACUAUCUCUCCGCGUAUGCUCGAGUUUAAAAUUUUUUAAUUAAAUUUUAUUAAUCUAUUUUUUAAUUAUUAUAAUAUUAACAUAGAAAUUAAAAUUGUGAUUAUUGUUUAUAAUAGAAUAUAAAGUCUUAAAUUAUAAUGAUAAAAUCAUGGAGAAGAUAUUUUAAUUUAAAAAAUGUAUAAAAUUUAUAUAUUAUCUCUUCAAUAAUUUAAAUUAUAAUGAUAAUUUUUAUAUAUUAAAAUUAAUAUAUUAUCUCUUUUACAAUUACAUAAAAAAUUAUAUUAAUAUAUAAAAAUGAUAAAUUAAAAGAAAUUCUCUUUUAAUUGUUUGCCAUUAGAUAUCUAGUGAACUGAUGCCACUAAUUUAACUCUCAAAAAAUGGAAGUUUGAGAAAGCUAAAGGUUGUUAAAUUAGACAAAAAGAAACAAGAAGCCAUGCCAAUAAUUCCGUUAACAAUUUAACCGGACCAAAGUAGAACUAAAUGAUAACAUUAAUGAUGAAAUUAAAAGUUUUUUGUAGUUCAAUGACAAAACAAAAAUACGCUAAUAAUUGAGCCAUUCAUUGUGCAAUUUAGACUUAAUUUAUUUUUGGAAGAAAUUGUAUUUAUGUGAUAAUAAUAAAUUUUAAAAAAAUAUUUAUUUUGUCAAAAAUUUGUAAUUAUAAUCAUUUAAAUAUAUAUAAAAAAGUAUCCAACAAAUAUAUCAAAUUAUUGCAAUAAAAGGAUGAAGAAAUCAUAAUAUAACAAGACACCAAUUAGAAAUAACUUCAUUUCAAAUAUAAAUGAAAUUUAAUAAUGAAACAAAUUUUAUUAAAGGCAAGGACUAAAUUAAAAAAAUUAAAAUCAAUUAUAGACUAAGGGUGAGUUUGGAUGGGCGGUGUGUUUACCUGUGGUUAGAGUAAAAACAGCGGUGGUGGUGAGAUUAGAUACUGUAGCGAUACUGUAGCGUGAGACAAAAAAUAAGUUAAACGCACCGCACCGCACCCAAUCGCCCAUCCAAACUCACUCUAAGAUAUGAAUAUAUAAAUAGUGAAAAGCGUAAUCAUAAACUUUUAAAAUAAAAAUAUUCUAGAAAGCAAUUAUUUCUAAAAAGUAAAAAUCAUCCACCCUCUUUUGUUUAUUAUACUUUUAUAUUGAAUAUACUAUGUCUUUUUACUUGCUGAAAAGGUUACAAAGUUAUCAUAAAUUUCCUAAAAUCUUAUAGCACUUUUCCAAAGAUCCAAUACAGCAUGAUACAAUAGCUGAAUUAUACCAUUAAUUAUUAAAUUAUAGAUAAUCAAACAAGAUUAUAAUUUAGUCAUUAAUAUUUUCAAAAUUAUUUUUAUGGUCACCUGAUUAAGUGGCACUUUUUUUUGUUAGUAUGAUAAUAAUUUUAUUCUUUGAUUUUUCUAUUAAUUUGACUCUGAUUCUAAAUAAAAAUUAUAAAUAAAUAAAUAAAAAGACAAUUUCAAAAAUAGUGGUAAUCAAAUUGUAACGUUUUUAGUUUAAUGUCAAAAACAAAAAUUUAUCUAUAAUUAAUUUAACGCAUAUAUACCCUUUAUUUUUUGAAAGGAAAUCUUACUUAAAAAUAUCCCACCACUUGACUUACACACAAGUCAAGUAAGGAAAGCAAUAUUUGAUGUUUACUGUUGAUAUUAUUUUAUGAAUGCCAAAAUCCAUAUAUAGACUUAUUUCGAGUGUUUGAAUUUUCCACCAAAAACGAAGUCGCUGUUGAAUUAAAAUUUUGGUGCUAAGACCCACUGGAUUUUUCACAACCACUUUUAUUAGACGAUAAUUAUCUCUUCACGUAUGCUGGGGUUUAAAAAUUUUUAAUUAAUAAAUAAACAGAGAUAAUAAAGAACAAAGAAUAUGAGAGUUAACAAAAGAGAGUGUGUGUUUUAUUGAUCAAUCAGAAUAUUUACAAAACUUUUUCAAAAUCUUUAUUUAUAGGUAUAAAAAGUAUAAAUGAAGUAGAGAUCUCCGGAUGACUAUUAAAAUUUAAAGUACAUCAAAACUUUUCUCGGUUUUAAUGGAUAUCCGUUUAAUAAUAUAUCCAAAACAUUUAUUUAUUUUUAAAAAAUAUUAUAAUAUUAACAUAGAAAUUAUAUUUGUGAUUAUUGUUUAUAAUAUAAUAUAAUAUAAAUGAUAACAUCAUGGAUAAAAAUAUUUUAAUUUAAAAAUUGUAUAAAAUUUAUAUAUUAUCUCUUCAAUAAUUUAAAUUAUAAUGAUAAUUUUUAUAUAUUAAAUUUAAUAUAUUUAAUCUUCCUUUAAACGAAACAAAUUACUUGUUGAGUUAUUGUAUUUAUUCUAUGAAUUAAUUUUAAAUUUUAUUUGUUAAUCUUCACAAAAUUAUUAGACACUUUGAGCAGUUUAGAAAAUCAUUUAAAAGUAGAGAAAUUCUAUUGAAGAAUGAUAUUUUUGAUUAUUGAAAAUAUUUGCUUAUUGAAGAAUGAUAUUUUUGAUUAUUGAAAAUAUCUGCUUAUUAUCAGACGGAUGAUAUUUUAAAAACUCAAACUAAUAAAACAAUAAUUUGAAACAGUGAAGAAACUUAUAGAAAGGGUGUAGCAAGAGAGCUAGAGGGUUGACACCAGAAGUCAAGAGAUAUCUCCAUAAUGGUCACUUGUGUUGAGUGGUCUGGGGUGAUUGAAUUUUGUACAUUGAAAACGAAGGUAGAGGACAAUUGCUUUCUUGUCACUAUUGCUACAAAUGCCAUUGAAUUUCCACAAGAAAUUUAUCCCAUAUUUAGUUAAGGGAACCUCACUUGACUUGACACGUGACACAAGUCAAGAUAUAUCUCUGAAUGUAAGUAUUAUAGAUUUUUAUUUUUUUUCUAUUAUAUCAAGUAAAUUUUUUAUAUUUAUGUCAUGUAAUUAUAUUAUGCAGUAAAACGUACAAGUCUAAUUCAUAAUGACUUUCGAUAUUGCCUCACGUAUCAUCAUGCCUAUGCUAUUUUUGUAUUAUCCUUGUUUUGAAGGCUAUAUAUAUUUAUAUAAAUUUUGUUUUAGGUAGAUUUUAACAUGUUUUUUCUUCAUCUCAAGUACAUUUUUUUUUAUUUUUUUUUUCAUAUUUUAGUUAUUGAAUGUUGGGCUUAAAAUAUUAUAAACAUUCCUAAUUAUAUAUUAAUUUUACAUUAAGUUUUAACAGAUAAAUUUAGCAUUAUUAUAUUAUACUAUAAUAAAUUUCUUAGGUCAAAAUUAUCUUUGAUUUUUUAUCCAAUUAGAUAUUCCUACACCUUUUUUUUUAUUUCUAAUAACAAAUUCAAAAUUAUCUAUAUCUAUCUAUAGUACAAACUGGCUCUUAAGAGAGUUUUAAGAGUAAAUGGGUUGAUAAUAGUGUUUUUCAAUUUUAUACAUAUUCACAAUUUUUAUCUUUAAAGGUGUCAAGGUUCGUUCAUUUAUUUUCAUAUAAUUAUGUUCAUUUAUCUUCAUACCAGGCUUUCUUGCAGGCUUACAAUCUACUCUAGCUUAUUAUUACUUUAAUGCAAGCUGCAGGACAGGAUUAUGAGUGUAACACCCUAAAUUCGGCCUAGACGUUAUAGUCGUAUCUGGUAAUGUCACACGAUAGUGUUUUUGAAACUUCAUUGUUACGAUGAAAACAUUCCAUAUUUUUUAUUUUAUUUUUUAUUUUAGUAAACCUUUGUUAGAACUUAGGAAGUCGUCUUUACUCAUUUAAAACAUUUUUUUUGAAACAUCCCUCGUUAUAAAUUCAUAAAGUAAAAUAAAUAAAUAAAAACCCAAAUUUAAAACCAAAGUCCCAGAGGGUCCUUAAAUUACAACCCAAAUAAUCAAUAAUAAUCAAAUCGUAAAUCGUAAAUUGAAAACCAUGAAGUCCAAAAAUUACUAUGGUCACCGCUGAGUCCUCCAUCACACCUAUUCAUCUAGGUCUGGGGAUUACCUGUGCACAGUAAACAAAAAGGCGAGUUUAUGUAAACUUAGUGUGUAAUCCCAUAGAAACAAACAAACAAUCAAUAUUCACAGUGCACAGUUGAAUAGUCUUGGGCCUAAGCCCUUUUCAGUAUCAGUGACAGUUUGGGCCUUAGCCUAUCUCAAUACAAUGUCAAAAAUGCAAUAGGACCUUAGCCCAUUACAGUAUUAGUAGCAGUAACAGUUAUGCAGUAGUAAAAUCCUACCUAACCAGCCUCUACACACCAUCUCCGUCCAACCCUACACUCCAUAUAGGGAUAUAAUCAACUCACUCAUCUCUACACUCUAAGUAGUACCGAAUGAGGCACAAAACAGUAGUUUGCAACUGAGCUGCCAGUAAAUUUGGCUAAAAGCCUUUCAGUACACUUCUUCCGAAUAACAACCCCCAAUCCAAUGCAAUGCAACAUACAAUGGAUGACAUGCUAUUAUGCAAUUUCAGUACAUAUAUUCAAUUCAAAUAUUUUCAUACUCAGUACAGAUAUCAUUCAGUCAAUUUCACACAUUUAGGGAUCUAAGUAGCGUUUACCGACCCUACAAUAGGUUCACAGUCGACUUGGGUGACCCGUGCAACCUUAGAAACAUUUCGAUGAAAAUGGGCUCACAUACCUAUGUGAUCUGCCCCUGUGGGCCCACAGGCCUGUGUAGCCCACUCGGCCCAAAUUGGCCUUGGUCGUGUGAUCUAUUUUUAAUGUAACCCAUGCUAGCUAAAUAUUCAUAUAUGUUUUCACUAUUUACUUAUAUGUUCAUUCAAAGUUGUCUACUUGAGUCAUUGUCACUAAAUUAUUUAUAUCUUGAGUUACGAAAAUCCAAAUUAAGACCCGCUUGAUGUUUUUGAAACUAGACUCAAAUACCUUUCUACCAUAAAAUUUUCAGAAUUUAUAGUUUAUCAAAUAAGUACAUUAAAAUCUUCAAAUUUAUCCCAAUUCUGCUAUUUGACAGCUUCAACUUUUUCUUACUUAAAAUUAUUUAUCUCUUAGUACGGAAUUUGGAUGAUGUUUCUAUUUGUUUCUCUUGAAAAUAGACUCAUUAACGAUUUAAACAUAUAAAUUUAAGCCCUUAUUUAUUGUUUUUCAAUUUUUGAUGAUUUUCCAAAGUCAAAACAGGGGAACCCGAAAUUAUUCUAACAUUGUCUCACAAAAUUUAUUAUAUCUCAUAAUUUACAAUUCAAUUGCUUACAUUGUUUCUUCCAUGAAAAACUUAAUAAAAUUUAAUUUCUAAUUUUAUUCAACCUCUAACUCAAUUUCCACUUAUCUUGAUGAUUUUUCAAAGUUAGACUACUACUGUUGUUCAAAACUAUUUUAGUGCAAAAUGUUGAUUUCCAAGUUUAUAACACCCUUAUUUCCUUUCUCUAUAAGUUUUCACAUUAUUUUCCCUUAUUUCUCUUAUUUCUCGAUAGCAAGCAAUUUCGACUUUUCGCCGAAUCCUAUUUUCUGCGUUUCGGGUACACACCUGGUAUCGUUUUGCUGCAAAUACGCUCUCAGGCACUCCAAGACUUAAAAAUCGAUAAUUAGAGCCCAAUUUAGAUCACUAACGAAAACUCAAAACUAAAAAUCAUCUACAUCAAAAUCAAUAGCAAACCUAAACACUUACCGACAACGAACUAAAAUUUCUAACGCUCAAUUUGCUUGUGAAGCCGCAACUGAUUUCUGAUUUUCGCCUAAACCAAGAGAGCCAAAACAAUCCUUUUUAGGAACUAGCUAAGAAACGAUAAAAUAGAGACAAUUAGAUACUUACAGAACCAGUGUAUACAAUUGCUAGUUGGAAAAUAGGCUAGUAAAAAAAUCAAAUAGAGAGGGUGGGCUAGGGAACAAAAAUUUGGCAAAGCAAAGAAGAAGAGGACGGUAGAAAAAUUGGGGAAAAAAAGAGAAUGCCGAAAUUUAGGAAAAAUAAAAACCAAAUAGAAACUUAGAUGAUAUUAAUAACUACCCUACAUCCCUAAAUUUUCUCCCACCAAUCCUACUAACCUACAACCACUCCAGAAUUCCACUCUGCCGAAAUACUUGUCCAUCAUUGCGUAAAAAUAACGCCUAUGCUCCAGCAUAGAUUCGAACUCAGGACCUCAUAUAAUUAAACACUCUACUUAACCACUAGACCAGCAGACCCAUUUUGUUAUUUAAUUACCAACUAUUAAACUUAAGCUUUUUAGGCCAGGUUAAGGCUUUAUUUAUAAAAAUACUAAUAUUUGCCCAAGUCAUGGCUUGAACUUGGGACCUCCCACACACUUCCAAAACACUUACCCAUUGAAGCAGACAAGUACUUAUAUCACAAAAACAAGAAUUAAAAAUUUUGGUGCAUUAUAAUUCUACCCCCAAGAGAAAAUUUCAUCCUCGAAAUUUACCUGAUCAGAACGAAUGAGGAUGCUGCUGACACAUCGCAUCCUCAAGCUCCCACGUUGCCUCCUUAGUAUUAUGGUUACACCACAGAAUCUUCACCAGAGGGAUAGACUUCCUCCUCAAAACCUUUACGUCUCAAUCCAUAAUCUGAACCGGCUCCUCCUCAAAGGUUAAAUCUGGCCUAACCUCAAUCUACUCUAUUGGAACAAUAUGUGUAGGAUUAGAGAGGUAGCACCUCAACAUAGAAACGUGAAACACGUCAUGAAUUUGAUCCAACUCUAGAGACAGCUCCAAUUGAUAAGCGAUCGGUCCCACUCGUUUCAAAAACCUAGAGCUCAACUUGCUCUUACGACCAAACCUCAGACUCUUCUUCAUUGCAAAACCUUGAGGAACAUGAAGUCCCCCACGGAAUACUCAAUCUCUUGACGCUUUAGAUCCGCAUAGGAUUUUUAUCUGUCUGAUGGCAUUUUCAGACGAUCCCGAAUCAGUCUAACCUUAUCUUUAGUCUCCAAUACUAACUCAGGAUCCAGAACACGUCGUUUGCCCAACUCAGUCUAACAUAAAGGAGUGCGACACUUAUGACCAUACAAUGCCUCGUAAGGUGUCAUCUAGAUGCUAGACUGAAAACUGUUAUAAUAGGUGAACUCCGCCAGUGGCAGAUAAUCUUUCAAACUACCUUAAAAAUCAAUAGCACAGCUCUUGAAUUUGAGCCUUAAGCUCCACAAGCUCCUUCCGUGCCUUUCGAUAGGGAGCGAUGGACACCAGAGCUGUACCUGGAAGUAGCUCAAUCCCAAAUUCCAACUCGUGAUUCGGAGGUAACCCAAGUAGCUCUUAAAAAAAGACGUCUAAAAAAUAUUUUACCGUUUCAAUAUCCUUAAUUGUAGAAUCCUUAGAAUCCAAAACACUUACGGAAGCUAAGAAUGCCUCACAUCCCUUAUGAACUAUUUUCUCUGCCACCAGUAUAGAGAUCACAUUAGAUAAGUAAUUCUGGCAUUCUCCAAUCAUGACUACCUCUUUAUCCUUCUUAGUCCUUAGUACGACCCUCUUAGUCGCACAGUCUAAGCUAACACGAUGCUUGACCAAUCAGUCCAUCCCUAGAAUUAGGUCAAACUCCCCAAAUAGAAGCUCCAUCAAAUCAGCCAAGAAGAUUGCCCCUUGUACCUCUAAAGGAAUGUCCUUAUACAGUUUACUAACUCUAACAGAUUGCCUUAAUGGGAUCAGUACCGUAACUUCACUCGUAGUGCUCUCAACUGGAAUUGUUGACACCAUUUUUGGAUUAAAAACGGGGUCGACUUGGGUUUUGAAAAUGAAAAUGAAUAGAGGAGUCGCCACCAAUCCUUUUUGAUGAGGUGCGAUCGGGUCACCUCGAAUUAAUCAUUUUAAUAAAAGUUAAGAUUUACUAAAACGAUAAUUUUUUUUGGUCUACGAAAAUCAGAAAAUGAGUUCGGGAGUCGGUUACGCACGAGGAAGGAUUAGCACCCUCGAUACGCCCAAAAAUUGGUACCUAGUUGAUUAAUUAGUGUCUUAGUUUCGAAAAUUGAAAACUUAAAAUACUUUGAAAUACGAUCCAUCUCUUUGUAAAAAAAACUCAAAUAUUAAAGACCUUCUCAUCUCUAAGUGAUAAAAUAUCACAUCCAGUAAGUUAGGACACGACAUCUCGAGCUUUUGAGAGUGAGUUUGUCUUUAUUUAAAAUUCAUGCAUUUUAACUUUUUUUUAAAAAGGAUGUUCGGUUAUUUAGGGUAAACGAAGAAAGUCGAAACCCAGUAAGUUAGGGUACGUUUUCUCGAAUUUCCUAAAAACGAAAUAUUGCCUUAUUUUGAAUUUUUUUUUGAAUAAUAGCAAAUGCAACAUUUAGAUAGUGUGCAUUAUUUGUUUGGAUUAAAAUAAAACAAUUUAUUGGAUAAAUGCAACGAGACUUGAUUCAUGAAGCGAUGAUAUAAAAUAAAAAUAUAGUAAUAAGCCUAGAACAAUGAUACAUGAACACAACAUUAUAUGGAUGAAUCACAAUAAUGCAAAAAUACGAAAUAAACAAAUUAAAAUACACAAAGACAAUAAUCAUACAACAUUUAAAUAAUAACAUCGAUAGAUAAAAGACCAAUGAAUUAAAUAAUAAUUUUUUAAGAAAAUAAAUGGCAUAAAAUAAAUUAAAAUAAAUAAUAUAAAACAUUUUAAAAUGACAAUAAUAAGUUUGAAAUAAAUAAUGUGAAAAAGGAAAUUUAAAAAUCAAUAACACACUAAACGAUAAAAAAUAUGUUUAUACAAAAAAUUAAGAUAAACAGUAUGUAUAUAUAUGUAUAAAAGUAUGAAGUGAAUGAUAUAAAAAGAGCAAAUAAUAGCAGUAAAACAUUUCGGAAUAAAUAAAUAGGAUUCAAAAUAAGAUACGUAUAACAAUUUAAAAUAAGCAAUAUAUAAAUAAAUAGAGUUUAAAAUAAAUGAUGUAAAAAAAAAAAUUUAUUUAAAAAAAAGGAACAAUAAUAUACGAAAAAGAAAAAAAGAUAUAUGAAGAAUAGAAAAUAUUUAUAUAAUAUGUGCAAAGAAACCAAAAUAAAUAAUGUAUGUAGAGUAGUUUAGAAUAAACAAUAUAUGCAAAACAACUUACAACUUUGAGUAAUUGAUACAUAAAAUUGGUUAAAAUUAAUAAUAUAUGAAAAUGAACCGUAUAUAGAAUAUUUUAAACACAUACAAUAACAGUUCCUUUUUUAAGAAAAAGAAUUAAACAGGUGAAGGAUUAAUUCGAAAACAAUACAAAAUUCUAGGUAAAAAAUAAAAAGAUACUGCCAGGAUUAAAAUGAAGUGCACCUAAAAUCAUAAGGACCAAAUGGGAUAAAAACCAUAGCCCUAACAUGCGCAUGAGGCCCGACAGAUCAAAAGACUGAUUUAAAAAACAAGCAAAAUCUAACAACUAAAUUAAGAGAAAAAGCAAAGAUAAAAUAGGGCCUGAUCAAAGGACGCUAAAGAUGGAGGGACCUCGUGUGCAAAUAUCCUAAUAAUUGAGGAUACAUGAAUCCCCAUCCCCACCAACGGCACCGUUUUGUUUGGUGUUUAAAACACCCAUUCUCUUUAUUAUUUCAGCCCUAAUUUCAUAGAAGAAAAGAAAAAAAGAACAAAAAAAAUAGAAUGUUAAAGCUUCUCUCCCUCUCCUCUCUUACUGAAUCGUGAGCCCGUCGCCGUUGCAUCACCGCGCCCCCACCGUAUCGGUGGCUGGCGAUGCUCAAGGGUGGGUUUUUAGCCCCCGAUUCAACCAGGUAUGAAGGCUAAGAUUUUUUAACCAAGAAAACCCGAAAAUGAAGGGAUCUCCACCCGUUUUGGGUUCGGCUCCGACGACUGAGGGAACCGCCGACGGUGUGACCCAGGGGUUCGGGUAAGUUUUCUCCCCGUCUUCUUUUUAUUUCUUGUUCUUGAAGCUUAAAAGCAAAAUCAAAAAUGAAAAAAGAAAAAAAGAAAUCAGAAAUUGAAAAAACGUAACCUUUUUCUUUUGUUUUUGCUCUUUUAUUUCUGAAAUAUGCGUGUGUACAAGAAUGGGGAUCCCUUUUUUACAAUUGCUUUCGGCUUCUGUUUUUAGCCGAAUGAGAUAGAAUCCAAAAUCUCCCCCUUUUACAUUGAAAAUGAAUGGCUCUUUAUAGCCGAUUAUACAAAGUCCUAUUGUUGUUUUGUUACUGUUUGCUGCGUUUCUGUUUCUGUUGCUGCUUCCGUCAUGUUUGCAGGUGUUCAAGGAGGUGAUGGGAGCAGGUGGAGGAGAGAUGGCGAUGGGACGUGCGGCUGACAGAGAGCAGCGGCAAGUGGGAUACUAGGGUUUCAGUUUCUGAAACCCUAGUCUGAUGUGGGCUUGGCUGUUGGGCCAGGGUGCUGGGCCUUUUAUUUCUUUCUUGGGCCCGGGCAAAUGGGCCUGCAACAGCUGCCCCUCUUUGCUCGUUGUCGUGUAACGAUAACAGAGAAAAGACUAAGAAAGGCCCAUUUUGCCCGGUCUCGCCGAGUCUUGACUUGUUCUGGUACUUCUCCAUUUCAAGUAGUUUCAUUCCAGUCCACUAGGUCUUGUUGCUUCGAUCCAUUCCACUGCAUUUUAGAGAGAUGCGUCCUGUAGCCUUUAUCUUCUUCGUAGCAACUUCAGGGGGACGAGGUUUGUGGUUUUCAAUCUAUUCCACUGCAUCUUCAGGGAAAUAAGACUUGAUGCGACCUACUCUGCUGUAACCUCAGAGAGAUAAGAUCCUUUAUUUUAACCCACUCCACUGUAACUUCAGGGAGAUAGGAUAGUGUCUUCGAUCUGCUCCGCUGUAAUCUCGGGGAGAUAAGAUCUCUGGCUUCAAUCUGCUCCACUGUAACUUCAGGGGGACAAGAUCUGUAAUUUCCAAUCUAUUCCACUACAGGUCAGGGAUAUAGGACUUGUGGUUUGAAUCCGCUUCCUUACACUUGAAGAUAAGAUUUGCUGUCUUUGAUCUGCUCCGCUACGGCUUAGGGAGACAAAAUCUGUAACCUUUAACCAGCUCCAAUGCAACCAAUGGAGGCAAGGCUUUGUUUUUGAUCUGCUUUACUGUUAAUGCAGGAAGGCAAGAUCUGCUUCUUUAACUAGCUCCACUGCAAUCGAUGGAUGCAAGGCUUUGUUUUCGAUCUGCUUCGCUGUUAAUGUAGGACGGCAAGAUCUGCUUCUUUAACCAGCUCCACUACAACCGAGAGAGGCAAGGUUUGUGUCUUCGACCUGCUUCAAUGUCAAUGCAGGAAGGCAAGAUCUUUUGUCUUCAACCAGCUCUAUCACAACCGAAAGAGGCAAGGUUUGUGUCUUCGAUCUGCUUCGCUGUCAAUGCAGAAAGGCAAGAUCUUUUGUCUUCAACCAGCUCCAUCACAACCAAAGAGGCAAGGUUUGUGUCUUCGAUCUGCUUCGCUGUCAAUGCAGAAAGGCAAGAUCUUUUGUCUUCAACCAGCUCCAUCACAACCGAAAGAGGCAAGGUUUGUGACUUCAUUGAUCUGUCCCUUGGGGAACAUGACCUGUAUGUUCUAUUUUAUGAACCUAAUUGUGCCUAGUGAUUAGGAUGACAUAAUCAGAAUGAAUCAAAUGCUCCUAACUAGAUAUGUAUGAAUGACAUUUGAAUGAAUGCAAAAUGUCAUGAAGAUGAUUCCUUAAUGCUUAGGUUAACAUCACGUAAAAACUUAUUAAGGUUUUAUCACUGACGUACUACAACGCCUUUUUGCUCGUCUGGUAUAUCCAAAGAAACACUUAAUCUGGUUGCCCCCCACUGUAAACCUUAAAGUUUAAUCUAUUAGGGCACAAAAUUUGUACCAUCAUUCUCCCACUACAAUCCAAGGGUAGAAAUAUGGUUUUUCCUCAAUCCUCUUUUAUCACAAUUCAAGGAUAUAGGAUCUUAAUCUUUCUGGUCCCCCUUUACACCAUUUCCAGGGUGUCGUUUCAAAGACUCAUGCACAAAUGAAGGCUCUCUUCUCCGAGGUAACCUCUUCCUAUUGCCUAGUGAUCAUUGCUUGCUUGUUUAUUUAAGCUUUUUCAUUGACACGACAUCUUGUCAUUUUGUUCAAUCAAUGCAUUUGUCAACAAAAUCCAAAGAGAAAGUCUAAACUUAGACUCUUCCUUCUCAAAUUUCCAACCUUCAAAUUUGGCAUGUUCUAAACAAUAGUCCUGUUUUAGGUUCCUGUAUUAUUUAGAAACUUUUCAGAGUAAUAUGCAAAACUUCCUUUGUGAAAGUUUUAUUAGUCCAUUAAUCAUUAUUCCAAUGCUUGCAAAAAGGUCAUAACAAUGGAUAAGAAUAAAGUUGGUUCUGAGCAUAGCUCGAAAGAACAAAUUAUCGAAAAUAGUGAAGAAGGACAACAAAAGAAUUAAUUGGGAAUGUAUAUCUUGGAAAGAAAGAAAAAGUAUUCCAAGAACAACAAAUAACAUGAGAAUUGGGUGCCCCAGAUAUCACAGCUUGAACUUCUCUAUACAAACUUUCUGAAGACCCUUUUGAGUUGGACAUGUGUUUAGGAGAUCUACAAUGCUCUGUCGAUGCCCCCAAGAUGUCGCCUAUCCUUUCCUGUUGAUUCAGGCAUGGCAAGAUCAACACAUGCCUCAAUAUGAACAAAACUUGAGCAGCUUAUAUCACCCCAUGCCCCAUUUUGAUCAGUAUUUGAGCCGCCCUUUUCGGGUUUUCAGCUCAGAUCCCCUUUGGCCUAAGGCGCCCUUUGCGGGUUUUCCCCUUAGCCUCUCCAUUUUACUCUUUUCAUUUUCCAUUUUCAUUCUUCAUCUUUUUAUUUUUUUUGAACUUCAUUGUCUUACAAUACAGUGACAAACUGUGAUGUCUGAUUUUGAACCGAUUACAGCCCUCAACUAUCAUGUUGUCAUUCUAGUUCAAUACAUUUUCCCAUACCAUCGUCUCUAGAAUUCUAUAUUGGCAUAUGAUGACAUUGACGCAUGCUGUAGCCUUUAUCCAUUUGAUGAAGUAAUUAAUGAUCUCAAUAGUGAAGCAAUGCCCAUUAGAAGUCUUCGAUAAUGGUGAUGUCCAUGCCCCAUUUUGCUCAAAAUUUGAGUCACCCUUUUUGGGUUUUCCACUCAAAACCACUUUUGGUCACAAAGCGCCUUUUUGGUUUUUCGCCUUGGCCUCUCCUUUUCUUUUCUUUGCUUUUCGUAUUUUUAUUUUGACUUUGAUUGAUUUCUCUUUGUUUUUAUUUUUUAUUUUGAUUUUGAUUUUGAUUUUGUUUUUUUUUUUCAUUUUUCCUUGUUUUUUGAAUCGGAUCUAAACUCUUGGGAUUAGGCAAGUCUUUGUUAUCCCCUUCAAAGGAUCUUCUCUGAUAUCGAAUUUCCUUUAUAGAGCCUUUUAGGGCAAAACUACAACUGGAAACUUUUGAUCUUCUUCUUCCAUCGGGAUAAAAUCUAGCAACAUCUUGAAGGAAUAGAAACUCGACUUCAAACGGGCAAAGCUAUGCUGAAUUGACGAGAACGGUAUUGCCCCGGCAAAGAAUUGUAUCAUUCAUACGAGUUUGGACAUCGUGUUGUUGUGCAGAUUUCAUUAUCAGUGCUUAACCCAGCAUAUCCUGGUAUGAUCCUACAAAGACAUCUUUGAACAAGGUCUUGCUUCAUUUUUAAGGACAAGUCAAUUCCAAGCUCAGAAUUCCUAGUGAUCUGUCUAUCCUCCUACUCAACCAUCCUCAAUAAGUUUGGGGGUAAGCUACUAUCUAUGUCAUUUCCAAAGUCAUGAGAUCCAUCUAAGCACAUGCCUCACUCAAGUGGAAAAUCUGAGUUUGCAGCAGUUUCAUUCAUGUUAUUGAUAUCUGAGGACUCAUAAUAAGCACCGAGGAAUAUACAAAAGAAUGUAUAAAUUUAUGAAUGAUUAUUUACAAUAUGAUUAUGAAUGAAUGUUGUGGAAGAAAAUCCAACAGAAUGAAAUAAUCAAAAAUAAUUAUUAAAAAGAAUGAAAGAAUAUUGGCUCAAAAAGGAACGCAAAGAUGUAUUUUAUUAGAAUAAUAACGUUCAGACAUUAGCCUAUUUCACAAAGGAAUUUCUAUCGCUUCAGGCUAAAAACAGCAAAAAUGUUCUGAACAUUACUCUAAAUAAGCUCUAAAAACUACAGGGAUUUAUUCUACAAGCCCAUUGCUUGGAACACUCCAGGUUUAUAAGGGCAGACAUCUAACAAGAUCCCUUUUCAAUUAUGCCUUCAUAUAUGGUAUUGAUGUGAAAACUUCCCAACACUUUCUCAUAUAUUGCGUUCACCCCAUUGUUAAUCAUGAUUGGGUGGCGAAUUUUCUGCAUUAGAUGAGUCACCAAACUUGACGACACCCAUGUUGAUGAGCUUUUCAACCAGUUUCUUGAAGGCUAUGCAGUUCUCUAUGGAAUGCCCCGUAUUUCCCGCAUGAUAUUCGCAAUGUGCAUUCGCAUCGUGCCAUUUGGGGUACGGUGGCUGUGGAGGUUUUGAGUAGAAAGGAGAAACAAUGCGUGCAUCGAAUAACUUUUGAUACAGCUCAUUAUACGACAUCGGGAUUGGCGUGAACUGGAGGUUCUCAGUACCUUGUUUCACACUAAUUUCUUGUCUAGAUGAACCUUGCUGACUAGCAGUCACCUUUCUUGGCUGUGUAAUCGAUUUGUUGUAAGUGUUGACAUUGCUCACAUCAUUUUCCUUCUUCUUUAAGUCUGACCUUCUAUUAUUCUCCCCAGCAUCAAUCUUUCCACUUCUCACGGCACUUUCAAUCAUUUCACCGCUCAUGACUAUGUCUGAAAAACUCUUCGAAGCACUUCCUAACAUGUGGGUGAUGAACGGGGCCUUCAAUGUGUUGAUGAAGAGCAUCGUCAUUUCUUUCUCUAGGAGUGGCGGCUGAACUUGGAUAGCGACCUCCCUCCACCUUUGUGCGUAUUGCCUAAAACUUUCAUUAGGUUUUUUCUCCAUAUUUUGCAGGGUUAUUCUGUCAGGGACCAUAUAAGCUACAUGACUGUAUUGUUUCAUAAAGGCUUGUGCUAAAUCCCUCCAAGAACUAAUCUGGAUACGCGUCAAUUGAUUGUACCACUUAGACGCUGUCCCUGUGAGGCUAUCUUGAAAGCAGUGUAUGAGCAGUUGGUCGUUGUUGACGUAUCCGGCCAUACGCCUACAGAACAUAGUAAUAUGAGCUUCUGGGCAGCUGGUCCCAUUAUAUUUCUCGAAUUCCGGCAUCUUAAAUUUGUAAGGGAGCACCAAGUCCGGAACCAAGCUCAGAUCCUUUGCAUCUAUUCCAUAGCUUUCGAUGCUUUCUAUUGCCCUAAACUUCUCUUCUAUCCAUUUCCAUUUCUCCUCAAAUUGUUUUGGAAAUUCCUCCUUCGCCUUAUCCUUUUCAACCAUCUCGUCAAGAUCUGGGACAGCAAUAUUAUUCGGGCUAUCACCGGGAUUAAAGCCCGCUCCGGGUUGAAAAUUCAUUGGAAUUGAAGCAUCGCCUUGGAACUGCUGGGGCCUAACCGACACAGAGGGUCUCCGCGGAUGCAGCUCAGUCUGUACUUGCGCAUGCGGAGGCGUGAAACCUGGAGGAUAAAGUGGUUCACCAUUGUUUUCUUCUUCACUAACAAUCACAGGACCUUUACCCUUGUCUACUCCCUUCAAUAAUUGCGUCAUCUUAGCCACCAGAUCAUUUUGGGACUCCUCCAUCUUUUGCACCAUGUCACGCUGAAUCUUUUCUAUUUGCUCUUUCAUUUGCGCCUGCAACUGGUCUUGCAUUUCUUUUUGAAGUCGCUCUAGCUUCUCCAACCUUUGGUCCAUAAUUUUUGUCUUAGCUCGGGUGCCGUAACUUUGUUGGUUUUCCAGGUUAACUGAAAUGAUUUUAUUCGAUUAGGUUUUUAAUGGUCAUUAAUGCAUGUGAUGUGAUGCAAUGCAUGAAAAGAAUGCAAAGAAAAAGAGGCACUGAUUCUAAUUCAACUUCAUUAGAAAACUUUACUAGAUAAAGAGUUUCUUUACAUAAAAUAGACUACAUAUAUGGCUUUGCCCUCACACUCAAAGCCUUAACCUUUCUAAGAAGCCAAGCUAAUUCUCGGCCCCUGUCCGACUCUGACUCAUACUUCAAACUUAAUAGAUCAGCCUGAACCGCUAGAGUUUGCAGAUGAUCAGCUACUUCGCGCACUUGAGUCACCGCCUCUCCCAUAAUAUAAUCUCUUUCUCCAAUCUGCUCUUGAGACCGACGGAAUUGUCUUUGCCACUGCUCAUUACUUUCUUCCAGAAGCUCUAUCCGGAUUUCACUAUUUUGUAAUGCAUUCUCUAGCCCUCAUAUCUGUCUUUUUAAUUCUUCAAUUUUGUCUAAGCUCACCCUUAAUUCAACCGUAGCAUUACGAUUACAGUACUGGUGAAGCGAUCUUUCUAGUUCAGUUAUCCGGACCUUCAACACCGUCUUCUCGUCUUGGCAAACUAGUAGACUCUUUCCCAAGGCGACUUCUCGAGCCCGAGUAUCCUGAAAUUUCUUUUCCCAUUGAUUAGCUUUUGUCUUUUCCUCCUGAAUUUCUUGUCGCCAUUGUUCUGGUGUUUUACCCAAGCCAGCGGCUCUUACCGACUUACGCAACUUCUUGUAAUCUGUCUUCAGGCUGUCCAAAUCUUCUUCUGCCUUGUUCUUUCCUUUUCUCAAUUUGUUGGCCUCUAAUCUUUGAAUGUCCACAUCCAGUCCUAACUGCAUUUUUUCUUCCUCUAGUUGUUCUAUCUUCUUCCCUAAUUCUAAACUUCUUUUUUCGAAUUCUUGUUUGAUGAUUUCUAUUUCAGAAGGCAAAACUUGUAAGUGUUCCUCUAAAGAUCGAGCAGUUUCUGAAUUUGACGCCGGGAUGUUGUCAUUGAUCCUUUGAUCACGCCACUGACCAUACUCGGGGGUAAUUGUCGGACCCACGGCUAAGAUCUUCAUUCGACGAGUCUGGUUCCAGGCACUAGAUAUUUCUCGAACCUUCUUCUUGUAAUUGUCCUUCCUAUAGGAAAAAUCACUAUAAGCCAACCCCUGGGUUGCUGGUAUGAAUUGUCGUGAUCUAUACUGUCUUGAUACGAGUAGAGGAGCAUAUCCGAUAGCUCUCCAUAUCCCGAGCAGCGGAACCCAGUCAAAAUCUCCACAUCGGUACAAUAUCUCAUCAGGAAUUAACCAAGGAGCCCUCCAUUCAAUAUCUUCAUCUUGGAGAUUCUGGAGUAUCUCUAUCCAUUUUUCUUCUGAAAUAUCAUCUCGUCUUGGCGUGGCCACCAAUUCUCCUAGAGGGGAGUAGCUAUCAGAGAAUACCCGAUAAGAGACCUUUUCGACUUUCCAGAAGUGGCUAUGGAACCAUGCCAAUAAGAGCUGCGCGCAUCCAAUAAACCUUCCCUCCCCUACUUUUCGACACGCAUUCAAUGAUCUAAAAGUUUCAGCGAGUAUUGCCGGAACCGGUGUAACCCCUUUACUAAGCCGAUCGAACAAAUCAGAUACAGCCUCGUCUAUGUGUCCUAAAGCUUUGGGGAAAACCACUAGUCCAUAGAUACCUAAAGCGAAAACAUCGACCCUUUUCUUUAAGUCAGGAUGUACAAGCACCAAAUCUCGCAAACUUUUCCAAGGAACACAUUUACUGUCGCCCUUCUGUUGGAUCCGGGCAGCGACCCACUGCUCGCUCAUUCCAGUGAUGUUCAUUAAUUUCUUUAACAACGGAGGGACACAAGCAGCUCUGGAAUAAGCCUUGUCGACUUGAAUCUUUGGGCACCGAAGCAAGGUCGUAUACUCCUCCACAGUAGGCGUCAAAUCUACCUUCCCAAAAGUGAAACAACUGUAGGCAGGAUUCCAAAACUGAGCAAGGGCUCGGAAUAAAUACUUGUCCACUUUGACACUAAGCAGGUAAGGUAGGUCACCGUAGUUACAAUAGAACAGCUGCUUGGCCUCGACAUCCCAUUGAUCCCAGACUUCUUUCAUUUCUCGAAGGUCAUUUUGGAUUACACUGAUACGGGUAAAAUCCCACAAUUCUGACACGUACCCUUCGGUAAGACUAUCGCCUUUCUCCCGUUGUGUCGUUUCAGCCCAUAUUCGCACAGCCGCAUUAUCCUCUACUUUAUCAACAAACCCCUUUUCCAUGAUAAGCUUUCUACCAAGAAACUGAACGUAAAUCGACACCUCUUUUAGAAUGAAGAUGCCAUGCAAUCACAAACAAAGUAAAUUAGCAUUAAACACAGAAUAAGAUUUAAAAUAAGCGACAAAUAAAUACAACAUUCAUUUAGGUAAGCACUAAAAAUUUAGAGUAGCUCUACCUAGGUUGGUUCCUAUGGCUCAUUACAUGUGGUUUGGUUCUAAAGUAGGGUACCUGAACCAGCAAAUUCCUCGAUCCUCACCCAUUAUAGGCUCAUACGGACCAAGUUCGAUUCAGGGGGAUACAUUUCCCUAUGGCCAUGCGGAGAUGAAAAUCUCACGAAGACAUAGGUACGGAUGUAUCCCGAAAGCGAUUCACUAUCCCAUGCGGAGGUGAAAACCUCACGAAGGCGUAGUUUCUCACUCCCACUUAAAAGGGUGUGACCAACGGUCAUGCAAUGCAAUGUGCAGAAAGAUACAAAAACUUAAACUAACACAACAAUUAUAAACCACAACGAUGAAAAUUGUAAUAAAGAGCAAUGAAAUGCGAUGAAAGGAUCGUAUAUUUAAACCAAGUUUUGAUUUUCGACAAAAAGACAAAAAAUAAUCAACUCGUGGCCCGACUCACUUAUUGUGGUUGUCCCCAGUGGAGUCGCCAAGCUGUUGACACCAUUUUUGGAUUAAAAACGGGGUCGACUUGGGUUUUGAAAAUGAAAAUGAAUAGAGGAGUCGCCACCAAUCCUUUUUGAUGAGGUGCGAUCGGGUCACCUCGAAUUAAUCAUUUUAAUAAAAGUUAAGAUUUACUAAAACGAUAAUUUUUUUUGGUCUACGAAAAUCAGAAAAUGAGUUCGGGAGUCGGUUACGCACGAGGAAGGAUUAGCACCCUCGAUACGCCCAAAAAUUGGUACCUAGUUGAUUAAUUAGUGUCUUAGUUUCGAAAAUUGAAAACUUAAAAUACUUUGAAAUACGAUCCAUCUCUUUGUAAAAAAAACUCAAAUAUUAAAGACCUUCUCAUCUCUAAGUGAUAAAAUAUCACAUCCAGUAAGUUAGGACACGACAUCUCGAGCUUUUGAGAGUGAGUUUGUCUUUAUUUAAAAUUCAUGCAUUUUAACUUUUUUUUAAAAAGGAUGUUCGGUUAUUUAGGGUAAACGAAGAAAGUCGAAACCCAGUAAGUUAGGGUACGUUUUCUCGAAUUUCCUAAAAACGAAAUAUUGCCUUAUUUUGAAUUUUUUUUUGAAUAAUAGCAAAUGCAACAUUUAGAUAGUGUGCAUUAUUUGUUUGGAUUAAAAUAAAACAAUUUAUUGGAUAAAUGCAACGAGACUUGAUUCAUGAAGCGAUGAUAUAAAAUAAAAAUAUAGUAAUAAGCCUAGAACAAUGAUACAUGAACACAACAUUAUAUGGAUGAAUCACAAUAAUGCAAAAAUACGAAAUAAACAAAUUAAAAUACACAAAGACAAUAAUCAUACAACAUUUAAAUAAUAACAUCGAUAGAUAAAAGACCAAUGAAUUAAAUAAUAAUUUUUUAAGAAAAUAAAUGGCAUAAAAUAAAUUAAAAUAAAUAAUAUAAAACAUUUUAAAAUGACAAUAAUAAGUUUGAAAUAAAUAAUGUGAAAAAGGAAAUUUAAAAAUCAAUAACACACUAAACGAUAAAAAAUAUGUUUAUACAAAAAAUUAAGAUAAACAGUAUGUAUAUAUAUGUAUAAAAGUAUGAAGUGAAUGAUAUAAAAAGAGCAAAUAAUAGCAGUAAAACAUUUCGAAAUAAAUAAAUAGGAUUCAAAAUAAGAUACGUAUAACAAUUUAAAAUAAGCAAUAUAUAAAUAAAUAGAGUUUAAAAUAAAUGAUGUAAAAAAAAAUUUUAUUUAAAAAAAAGGAACAAUAAUAUACGAAAAAGAAAAAAAGAUAUAUGAAGAAUAGAAAAUAUUUAUAUAAUAUGUGCAAAGAAACCAAAAUAAAUAAUGUAUGUAGAGUAGUUUAGAAUAAACAAUAUAUGCAAAACAACUUACAACUUUGAGUAAUUGAUACAUAAAAUUGGUUAAAAUUAAUAAUAUAUGAAAAUGAACCGUAUAUAGAAUAUUUUAAACACAUACAAUAACAGUUCCUUUUUUAAGAAAAAGAAUUAAACAGGUGAAGGAUUAAUUCGAAAACAAUACAAAAUUCUAGGUAAAAAAUAAAAAGAUACUGCCAGGAUUAAAAUGAAGUGCACCUAAAAUCAUAAGGACCAAAUGGGAUAAAAACCAUAGCCCUAACAUGCGCAUGAGGCCCGACAGAUCAAAAGACUGAUUUAAAAAACAAGCAAAAUCUAACAACUAAAUUAAGAGAAAAAGCAAAGAUAAAAUAGGGCCUGAUCAAAGGACGCUAAAGAUGGAGGGACCUCGUGUGCAAAUAUCCUAAUAAUUGAGGAUACAUGAAUCCCCAUCCCCACCAACGGCACCGUUUUGUUUGGUGUUUAAAACACCCAUUCUCUUUAUUAUUUCAGCCCUAAUUUCAUAGAAGAAAAGAAAAAAAGAACAAAAAAAAUAGAAUGUUAAAGCUUCUCUCCCUCUCCUCUCUUACUGAAUCGUGAGCCCGUCGCCGUUGCAUCACCGCGCCCCCACCGUAUCGGUGGCUGGCGAUGCUCAAGGGUGGGUUUUUAGCCCCCGAUUCAACCAGGUAUGAAGGCUAAGAUUUUUUAACCAAGAAAACCCGAAAAUGAAGGGAUCUCCACCCGUUUUGGGUUCGGCUCCGACGACUGAGGGAACCGCCGACGGUGUGACCCAGGGGUUCGGGUAAGUUUUCUCCCCGUCUUCUUUUUAUUUCUUGUUCUUGAAGCUUAAAAGCAAAAUCAAAAAUGAAAAAAGAAAAAAAGAAAUCAGAAAUUGAAAAAACGUAACCUUUUUCUUUUGUUUUUGCUCUUUUAUUUCUGAAAUAUGCGUGUGUACAAGAAUGGGGAUCCCUUUUUUACAAUUGCUUUCGGCUUCUGUUUUUAGCCGAAUGAGAUAGAAUCCAAAAUCUCCCCCUUUUACAUUGAAAAUGAAUGGCUCUUUAUAGCCGAUUAUACAAAGUCCUAUUGUUGUUUUGUUACUGUUUGCUGCGUUUCUGUUUCUGUUGCUGCUUCCGUCAUGUUUGCAGGUGUUCAAGGAGGUGAUGGGAGCAGGUGGAGGAGAGAUGGCGAUGGGACGUGCGGCUGACAGAGAGCAGCGGCAAGUGGGAUACUAGGGUUUCAGUUUCUGAAACCCUAGUCUGAUGUGGGCUUGGCUGUUGGGCCAGGGUGCUGGGCCUUUUAUUUCUUUCUUGGGCCCGGGCAAAUGGGCCUGCAACAGGAAUCCCCAAGUUUCUAGAUAUGUUGCUAGCUAUGUAUGAGUGAGUAGACCCUAUGUCUAUCAAGGUAAUAUAUAGUACAUCAAGAAUAAAGAACGUACCCGUGAUGACGUUCGGAGCAUCUCUAUUCUCUCGGCGACAAGCAACAUAUACUAGGGCCGACUGCCUUGCCUCAGCCUGUCCAACACCUCUGCUUCGGUGCUCUCUACCUAUGACCCAUACCAUUACCACAUCUGGCCUGUCUAUGGCCCCUCGGUGGUUACUGUACUACCUUUUAUAACUAUACCGUACCAGUACCCGAAGUUUUCAUCUGAUCGGCCCUUAACGAACACUCCUUACAGUACUCUAAUGACUCAUACCGCAAGCACACCUCAGUCUUUCUCUAACACUCGCCCUGAUGGCGUCUACCACAAUCAGUACUUAGCUGCAGUUCAGUAACAGUAACAGAGGGCCCAGCUCUAACCGACCCAUCAACUCUGCCCUUUUUCUUAGGCCUCUGUGCAGAACUCGAAGGCUCUAAAUCCCUCUUAUUCUUACCUCUCUCACAGUAAUAGUUCUGGCGCUCAGCGCGCUUAAUCUCAUCGGUGAUCUUCGCCUUCUCCACUAGUGUAGAAAAAUCACCUCUCUCUACGGAGCUAUCAAGACUCUCAAAUUAUCUCUGAGCCCAUCCUCAAAACGAAUACAUCGCUCAUACUCAGAGGCCACCAUACCUCGCGUAUAGCGGCUCAGUCACAGGAACUCAGCCUCAUACUCGGCCACUGAUCAAUUUUUCUGAGUCAAAUUUAAGAAGUUCCUUUUACGGGUAUCCACGUAGCUCGCCCUCACAUAUUUCCCCUAAAAGGCAGUUUUAAAGAACUCCCAGGUUAGAUGUUCGGGCUGAGUGCCCUCCUUAACAAUGAGUCAUCACUGAUAAGCCUCAUCCCUCACCAGUGAGACUGCACCCUUUAAUUUCUGCUCUAGGGUGCAGUCUAAGUCAUCCAUGAUCCUCUCCGUGGCCUCAAUCCAGUACUCGGCCAUAUUAGGGGCAACUCUAGUGACACCCCUGAAAAGCUCAACUCCAUUGGACUAGAGUCGUUUCGUAUUCGAUCCUCGGACCCCUAAUCUAGUAUUGAUCCGAGCGACCCUCUCCAAAAUCCUUAGCAUAGCUUGGGAUAAUGCGUCGUCCUCAGCCAUGCGAUCUUGAGACCCAGUCUCAGUAGUAGGCGACACUAGCGUCUCACUAGUAUCCAAAUUCGGUAUGCUACCCAAUGAAGAGGACUCAGAUCGAGCUCCUUUGUGACCUCUACCUCAGCCUCUAGUACCCCGUCCACAGAUACAUCGUAUGCUCAUUGUCUAAUCACGUUUAUCUGUAUUAACAGUUUUAUGAAUCAGUUACGGUUUCAGUGUUUAUUAACAAAUGUUUUAUGUAAAAUAGUAUCGGUUAUUCAAAGUUCGUUUUGUAAAUCACAGUCUUACUAUAGUUUUUAGUUUUUUUACAAUUUUUAUUAUACACUAACUAGAGUGUUUUCAGUACAGUUUACUACCUAUAGUAGAUUCAGAAUAUACUAUCCAUAACAGUUUCAGUUUAAAACAAAUCACAGUUCAAAAUACUUACAGAAUCGACACCGGAGACUCGGUGUACCACUUACUUAGUACAAACAUUUCAAAUCAUUUAGAAAUUAAUCAACUUUUCGAAAGCUCAAUUUUUACAAAACCCAUAAUCCACUAUCGAGUUCUGUAACUUGGCUCUGAUACCACUAAAUGUAACACCCCAAACUCGGCCUAGACGUUAUGGUCGUAUCUGUUAAUGUCACAUGAUAGUGUUUUUGAAACCUCGUUGUUACGAUGAAAACAUUUCAUGUUAUUAUCUUUAGUAAACCUUUGUUAGAACUUAGAAAGUUGUCUUUAUUCAUUUAAAACAUUUUUUUUGAAACAUCCCUCAUUGCAGAAGCUUUAAUAAAAUAGUCUAGGUGAUCAUGCGUUUAGAAAAUAUAACUUUAUGAAAACUGAAUUUCCUACGACCAGCAGGUAUAAAUCUAUAAAGUAAAAUAAAUAAAUAAAAACCCAAAUUUAAAACCAAAGUCUCAAAGGGUCCUUAAAUUACAACCCAAAUAAUCAAUAAUAAUCAAAUCAUAUAUCGUAAAUUGAAAACCAUGAACUCAAAAAAUUACUAUAGUCACCGUUGAGUCCUUCGUCGCACCGAUCUGUCUAAGUUUGGGGAUUACCUGUGAACAUUAAACAAAAAGGGUGAGUUUACGUAAACUCAGUGUGUAAUCUCGUAGAAAUAAACAAAUAAUCAGUAUUCACAGUGCACAGUUGAAUAGUCUUGGGCCUAAGCCCUUUUCAGUAUUAGUCAUAGUUUGGGCCUUAGCCCAUCUCAGUAUAGUGUUAGAAAUGCAAUAGGGUCUUAACCCAUCAUAGUAUCAGUAGUAGUAACAAUUAUGCAGCAGCAAAAUCCUACCCAACCAGCCUCUACACACCAUUUUCGUCUAACCCUACACUCCAUGUGGGGAUAUAAUCAACCCACCCAUCCCUACACUCUAAGUAGUACUAAAUGCGACACAAAACAGUAGUUUGCAACUGAGCUGCUAGUAAAUUAGGCUAAAAGCCUUUCAGAACAUUUCCUCCGAAUAACAACCCCUAACCUAAUGCAAUGCAACAUACAAUAGAUGACAUGCUAUUAUGCAAUUUCAGUACAUAUAUUCAGUUCAAAUAUUAACAUGCUCAGUACAUAUAUCAUUCAAUCAAUUUCACACAUUUAGGUGUCUAAGUAGCGCUUAUCAACCCUACAGUGGGUUCACAGUCGACUUGGGCGACCCGUGCAAUCUUACAAACAUUUCGGUGAAAAUAGGCUCACACGCCCAUGUAAUCUACCCGUGUGGCCCACUUGGCCCAAAUUGGCCUUGGCCGUGUGAUCCAUUUUUAAUGUAACCCGUGCUAGCUAAAUAUUCAUACAUGUUUUCACUAUUUACUUAUAUGUUCAUUCAAAAUUGUCUACUUGAGUCAUUGUCACUAAAUUAUUUAUAUCUUGAGCUACAGAAUUCCAAAUUAAGAUUCGCUUGAUGUUUUUGAAACUAGACUCAAAUACCUUUCUACCAUAAAAAUUUUAGAAUUUAUAGUUUAUCAAAUAAGUACAGUAAAAUCUUUAAAUUUAUCCCACUUCUGUUGUUUGACAGCUUCAACCUUUCCUUACUAAAAAUUAUUUAUCUCUUAGUACGAAUUUGGAUGAUGUUUCUAUUUGUUUCUCUUGAAAAUAGACUCAUUAAAGAUUUAAACAUAAAAAUUUAAGCCCAUAAAUAUUUUUUAAAAAUUUUUGGUGAUUUUCCAAAGUCAAAAUAAGGGAACCCAAAAUUAUUCUGACAUUGUCUCACAAAAUUUAUUAUAUCUCAUAAUUUAAAAUUCCAUUGAUUACACUGUUCCUUACAUAAAAGACUAGACUCAAUAAACUUCAAUUUCAUAUUUGAUUCAACCUCUAACUCAAUUUCUACUAUUUUUGAUGAUUUUUCAAAGUUAGACUACUGCUGCUGUCCAAAACUAUUUUAGUGCAAAAUGUUGAUUUCCAAGUUUAUAACACCCUUAUUUCCUUUUUCUAUAAUUUUUUGCAUCAUUUUCUCUUAUUUCUCUUAUGUCUCGACAGCAAACAAUUUUAGCUUUUCACUGAAUCUCAUUUUUUGCAUUUCGAGUACAUAACUGGUAUCGUUUCGCUGUAAAUACGCUCCCAAACACUCUAAGACCUAAAAAUCGGUAAUUAGAGCCCAAUUUAGAUCACUAACUAAAACUCAAAACUGAAAAUCGUCUACAUUGAAAUCGAUAGCGAACCUAAACACUUACCUGCAACGAACCAAAAUUUCUAAUGCUCAAUUUUCUUGUGAAGCCGCAUCUGAUUUCUGAUUUUCGCCUAAACCAAGAGAGCCAAAACAAUCUUUUUUAUAAACUAGCUAAAAAGCGAUAAAAUAGAGAAAGUCAGAUACUUACAGAAUGAGUGUAUACAAUUUCUGGCUGGAAAGUAGGCUAGUAGAAAAAUCAAACAAUGAGGGUGGACUAGGGAGCAAAAAUUUGGCAAAGCAAAGAAGAAGAAGACGACAGAAAAAUUGGGGAAAAGAGGAGAAUGCCGAAAUUUGGGAAAAUAAAAACCAAAUAGAAACUUAGAUGAUAUCGUUAGCUACCCCACAUCCCUAAAUUUUUUCCCACUAAUCCUACUAACCUACAACCACUCCAGAAUCCCACUCUGCCGAAAUACUUGUCCAUCACUGCGCAAAAAUAACACCUAUGCUCGAACAUGGAUUCAAACUCAGGACCUCAUGCAAUCAAACACUCCAUUUAACCACUAAACCAGCAAGCCCAUUUUGUUAUUUAAUUACCAACUAUUAAACUUAAGCCCUUUAGGCUAGGUUAAGGCUUUAUUUAUAAAAGUACUAAAAUUUACCCAAGUCAUGGCUUGAACUUGGGACCUCCCACACACACCCAAAACACUUAAGCAUUGAAGCAGACAAAUACUUAAUAUCACAUAUACACAAAAACAAGAAUUAAAAAUUUUGGGGCGUUACAAUGAGAAGGAAAAACUUAACGAAAGAAAUUGAAGUUUCUUGGGGCUACCUUUGUAGAAAUAAGAGAUCAAUAGAGUUUCUUGGAAUUGAAGUUACAGUUUCAAAUUGUAUUAGCUUUUAUGUAGUACAACAUCAAUAUCAAUGUCCAUCAUCUUAUGUACUUUUUUAUUUGUUUACUUUUGUACAUUGAGUUGAAUGUUAGUGGUAUAUGUUAGUGGUAUACAUUUUAGCUAAAUGUUAGUGUAUUUUAAUUGUUGGAUCGAUUUUUGUAGUGAAUAUUAAAUCUUUAUUUUAAUUUUAAUUUUAUAUUUUUUUGUUGUAUUUAUAGCACAAUUCCUAUCAUUAUUCACUGUAAAUAUUUAUAAAAAUAUAUUAAUAUUGAAAUAAUAAAAAAUAGAAAAAAUUACAUUAUACGUGUCUAUUCCAAUCUUUUUAAGAUUACCUUAGACGGGUUUAUCCCAACCUUUUUUUAAAGGUUGCCUUAGACAAGAUUUAUCCCAACCUUUUUAAGGUUGCUCUAAACGGGUCUAUCCCAACCUUUUUUAAAAGUUGCCUUAGACAAGGUCUAUCCCAACCUUUUUAAAGUUGCCUUAGACGGGUCUAUCCCAACCUUUUUUAAAGGUUGCCUUAGACAUGGUCUAUUCCAACCUGUUUAAGGUUGCCUUAGAUAGGUCUAUCCCAACCUUUUUUAUAGGUUGUCUUAGACAAAGUCUAUCCCAACCUUUUUAAGGUUGUCUUAGACGGCUCUAUCCAAACUAUUUUUAAAAGUUGCCUCAGACAAGAACUAUAUCAACCUUUUUAAGGUUGUCUUAGAUAGGUCUAUCUCAACCUUUUUCAAAGGUUGGCUGUAACUAGGUCUAUCCCAACCCUUUUUAAUGGUUGGCCUUGACUAGGUCUUUCCCAACCCUUCAAUAAGGGUCGGCUUAUGUUGACUUAUGCUGACGUUUUUUCAAAAGUGUUGUGGAGCCUACGCCAACUGUAUUAUAGACAACCUUUUCGAAAGCAUCAGGAGAACCGUCGCGAAACUUAUGCCAACCUUUUUUACGUUGUCUUAGGUCAAAAAAAAGUGUCACGAUAGGCUUAUUUUAUUGUAGUGAUAGUAAUAUUUUUAGCUCUUAAAAAUCUAAAUUAUAUAUAAUAUGUAUUUACAACUCUAAAUAUUAAAGCUUGAUUAGAUAUAGGUUAUUUGAACUUUUCAUCUUAAAUAAAUUUGAGGAAAUUAAAUAUGGAAAUUUUAAUUAAAUUAUUUUAAUAUAUAUACACACCAUUAUUUUCAUUCAUUAAUAAUUUUAAACUAACAUUUUUUCUUCAGUAAAUUUCACUUUAAUCCCUUUCUUUACUUUUCUAAUGUUAUUUUUAUUUUUUUGUCCUUUAUUUUUCUUCUAUUUUAUAAAUUCUUUGAUCUUAUAUGUUUCAAGUAUCAAAGUGUAAAUAAAUAUAAAUAUUAAAAAAUGCCAAAUGUAACUCUAUGUGAUAUUAUUUAAUUGCUACUCAUUUCUUUUUGUUUCAAAAAACAAUGGAAAACUUAAGAAUUUUAAAGUUUUUGGUAUCAAAUAUAUAUAUCUAUACAUUUACAUUUUAAACUCCAAACUUAAAUAAAUAGAGAAAAUCUAAAAAUUUAAAAUAAAAAUAAAUAAAAAAUGAAUAUUUAACUUUUUUAGUACACAUGUAUCAUUCAGACAAUUUUAAUAUAACAAAUAAUCAAGUAAUUGGGAUUUAAUAUUUAAUUAAAAAUAUUCUUCUAAAAAUUGUAAAUCGCAUAACAUUGAAAGUCUUUAAAUAAUAUACUAAAGGGGUGAGCAUUCAAUCAAAUCGAAUGAAAAAAUUUUGAGUUAAUCGAGUUGACGAAUAAUAUUUUAUUAUCCUAACUAGAUUUAAAUUUUUCUCGAAUAGAGUCUAGUGAGAUGGAACUCGAAUCGAAUCGAAUAUAUUUGUUCGAGUUAAAUUAAGGUCCUUGUAAUCAUUGUCACCCACCGCAAUCAGAUUUGUUAUUAACUUUCACUCCCUCAUAAUUUAUUUAUUAAUCUUUUAUAUAGGGUUAGAUUCUUUGCUUGCUUAGUUGCUUCAAUUAUCUUCUGAUUUUGUCACUAUGUAUUCUGAAAUUUAAAAAUAUAUUAAAUGUAAAAAAUGUGAUUUUUUUAAUAAAAAAAUAUCUUAAAGGUAAAAUAUAAAAUUGAUACCAACAUAAAAUUUUAGCACGAAUAUUUUAUGCCAUCAUCAAUAAUUUAAUUUUAACAAAAAAAAUUAUAAAGAUUCAAUAUGAUAAAAUAAUUCAAUAAUAUUGAUAAGCUAUAAAAGUAACAUAUUUUAAUCUCAAUCUUAAUGUGUUUUUAGAUGAUUAAUUAUGCAAAUUAGUGAAUUUAAUGCUCCUAAUCCAUUAAAAUAAUGCAUGGUACUUUUGAUAUUGUAUAGUUCUUUUGAUGUCAAAAUAAUGCAUUAAAAUUUAUUCAACUGUCAAUUUAAGUGGAAAAAGUUGGAGAUGAAAUUUGUAAUUAAACCUUCUUUAAUUUACGUCUUUUUCCCUAAAAAUAUAUUUUUUAAAAAUAUUAAAUGUUAUAAAACUUGGGACAAAUAUUAAAUGUUGGAAAGUGGUUAAGAAAAUCAUUAUCAUUAUAAUUCAUCCUCAUUAUUGAUCAGUGUCACUGAAGCAAUGAAUUUCAAUGGGUUUGGUAAUGGAUGAGAGUUUGCUAAAAAUCUUCCUUUUGGUUUGUAACCAUUUUCACUUACAUAGUCUAGGAUAAGAAUGUUAAAAACCUAUGUUAUAUCCAUAGAAAUUGAGGGCUAUAUUUCUUAUCAUCACAACAAGCGCAAGCAUUGUUGGGGUAUAUCCACUUGUCUUAAACCACUAGAAUGUACAAGUAGCAAAAGAUAAUAAUGAUUAAAAGCUUGGGUAAUUAAUUUUGUAGUAUAUAGUCGGUCCAACACUGACUUAUAUCUAAGCAAAGUGCAUGCAUCAACUACAACAUUUUUUCUCUGAUUACCUUCUCCUUUCUUCUAUCAUUCUAGAGUGUAAACAAUUCACUCAAAGGCAAACAAUUUAUAGAAUUGUCUAACCAUGUGUAUUGCUGCUUUCAUUUGGCAAGCUCAUCCACUCUACCCUCUACUGCUUUUACAAAACAGAGAUGAAUACCACAACAGGUAUGUUUCCAUUUCACUUCAAUCAUUCUUCUCUUGAAAAUAUAUUUAUCUUAUUAAUAUAUAUGGGUGGAAUUGAAGGCCUACGAAGGCACUUGCAUGGUGGGAUGUUGAUGGUUGUGAGAUAUUAGGAGGAAGAGAUGAAGUAGCAGGAGGGACAUGGUUGGCUUGUUCAAGACAAGGCAGAGUUGCUUUUCUCACCAAUGUGUUGGAGCUUCAUCCCCGUCCCGACGCCAAGACCCGCGGUGAUCCCCGUCCCGACGCCAAGACCCGCGGUGAUCUUCCACUUCUUUUCCUGGAGGUAAAUAAAUCUAUAUGCCUUUUUUUUCUUCUUUUUAUUUGGUCGAAGCCAGCUCACCUAUCAAAAACGGUGGUCAUUCAUUAAAAGUAAACACACUGUUGUUGAUACAGAGCACAAAGAGCCCCAUGGAAUUUGCGGAGCAACUGGCCACCGAUGCUCAUCAGUACAAUGGAUUUAACCUCAUAGUGGCUGAUAUUCCUUCCAAAUCAAUGGUUUACAUCUCGAACAGGCCAAAGGGGGAACCCAUUAACAUUCAACAGGUUUCUCCGGGGCUUCAUGUUCUUUCAAAUGCCAAGCUUGACUCUCCCUGGCAUAAGGUACAUUAACUUGUUUCAUGUGUUAUAUUCCUAUAAAGUUAUGCCCAAAGGCAGAUGGACGCUGGAGAAUUGAUUCAUCCACUCCCAUUGUGCAGGCUUGGCGGUUAGGUAAAGGCUUCAAACAGAUGCUCAAUAGAUACGGUAAAAAUGAAGUAAACGUGAAAGAAAUGGUUGAGAAACUUAUGAAAGAUAAAGUGAAAGCUGAUAAAAGUAAGUUACCUGGCAUAUGUGAUCUCGACAUGGAGUUCAACCUUAGCUCCAUAUUUGUUGAAAUGGACACCCCACUGGUAAAAUUCCAAGUUCUAAACCAUCCUCCUACUAAAAUUUAUGUAGAACAAUGUUGAAGCCAAUAAAAAUUGUGGUUGUUUCAACUUACAUAUCCAUCUAUUUUCCGGAAUACAGGGGCUUUAUGGAACAAGGAGUACUGCAGCAAUAACCGUAGGUGCUGGUGGGGAAAUUAGCUUUUAUGACGAGUAUCUAGAAAAGGGUGUGUGGUUUGAGAGAACAGUCAAUUAUCAUAUCCAGAAGCUCAAGUAGAUUGAAUCCAUGUCAAAGCAAGGGAUUUUACUACUCAAGUUAUUUAUUGAUUUGCGAAUGUUAUAAGCAUUUUAAGUUUAUACUAAUUGUAACAUAGGAGUGAUGUAUGAUGUAUCUCAUUCUUAAUACUUUACAUUUUCACUUUAAACUCCAAACUUAAAUAAAUAGAGAUAAUCUAAAAAUUUAAAAUAAAAAUAAAUAAAAAAUGAAUAUUUAACUUUUGUAGUACACAUGUAUCAUUCAGACAAUUUUAAUAUAACAAAUAAUCAAGUAAUUGGGAUUUAAUAUUUAACUAAAAAUAUUCAUCUAAAAAUUGUAAACCGCAUAACAUUAAAAGUCUUUAAAUAAUGUCACAUACAUGAUUUUUUUUUUGUAAAUAUACAUGGUCUGUUUUUAUUUAUAAAACUUCCUUUUACCUCAUUUUUCUUCAUUAAUGUCUACAAAUUUGAAGGGAGUCAUGUACCGAUUAAAUUUGAAUCCUAUCAAGAAUGAGCUUUUGAUUGUUAUAUUUGAUGUUUUCCUAUUAGUUUAAGAUCCCCAAUAAUUAAGCAUGCUUUCUUAAUAAUUGGAAAAUAUUUAUUUAAAAUAUUACUGUAACAGCUUAAUUUUAGGCCUAGUCGGAACAGUAGUUUCGGGACCACGAAUCUGACGAGGAAAAUUUUAUUUUUUAUUAUAUUUUUAUAGUCUACAAUUUCACAGAAUGAUUUCGUGAAAAUUUUGUUCAAAAAUUUCGACGUUUGUGCACUCAAUUUAGCCAAAAGGACUAAAUUGUAAAAAGUGCAAAAGUUGAGUUCUACAUGUUAGAAGUGUCCAAUUGUUAUGAAAUUUUAAAUUGGAGGUCCUUAAAUGGUAAUUAGACCAUUGGUUAACUUUUUGGACAAAAAUGGACAAGAGAUAAGUGAAAUAAGAUAUUUUUAAGUUUGGGGCAUUUUGGUCAUUUAGUAAUUAAAAGAAUUAAAAAGGCCAAAAUAGCCAAAAAUUUGUCCAUCUUCUCCAUGGUGAACGAAAUCAGCAAGGGGAAGCCAUGGUUAGGGUUUUCAAGCUUCCAAGCUCCAUAGCAAGUGAUUCCAAGCCCCAUUUUUAAUGUUCUUUACAUUUUUGGAGUCUCAGUAACUUGAUUUAGCUUAUUCUAACAAUAAUUUAACCUAGGGUUCAUAUUUGGAAAAAUACCCAUAGGUGAAAUGUGUUUAUUUUGAUGUUUUAUGGUAGUGUAUGAAGCUUGAAAUUAUGUUAAAUAACUUUUGCUAGCCGAUUUUAAGUGAAAACGAGUAAAUUGACAUAAUCGAUAAAAAUACCUAAUGUUCAUAAGUAAGUGUUAGAGUGAGAAUUUGAUGUUGCCAUAGAAGGGAAAAAUGUUCAGCAUGUCAUAAAACAUAAGAAAAAGGAAUAACGUUUAAUCUCCGAGCCUAGGGGCAAAAUUAUAAUUUUGUAAAACUUUAGGGGCAAAAAUGUAAUUUUGCCAAAAUGUGAUUUUUGGACUGGAUUGAAUAAUGUGAGUGUUAAAUAAGUUAAAUAUGUUAUUAUAAGUCAAUAAAGACAAGGAAAUGACUUUGAUUAGUGAAAAAGAAAAAAAAAAGAAGAAAAACUGAGAAAUUUCCCGAUUGAACAUUCGGAAUAAAAAGGGAUAUGAAUGAAGUGACAGAAAUGAUCACAUGCGUGGCAUGGACUGUGUGUAGGCCACUAUGUGAAAGUGAAAGUGAUGGUCACGUGUGUAGUACUAUGUGCAGGCUACUACGUGUACCAGAAUGAUAGGUCGCAGGUGUAGUACUAUGUGCAGGUUACUAUGCGUACCGGAUAGCUUCGAUCACGUGUGUAGUACUAUGUGCAGGCUACUACGUGUAUCGGAUAGUGAUGGUCACGUGUGUAGUACUAUGUGCAGGCUACUAUGUGAACCGGUAUCAUUAAUUAUAAGGUGGUUGCUAUGUGUUAAUCCCACAAGAUAUCAUUGAUUACAAAGGGUAGUUGCUGUGUGCUGAAUCCAUCGUAUAUAUGUUAUUAUUCUAAACUGUUCAUCAGGAAAUUGACUAAGUGAAAAUACAUGAGAUCAUGUAAUGAUUAAGUGUGAUUGAAUGAUGAAUACAUGUGUGGAAUUGAAUUGAAUAAUGAUUGAAAGUGAAAAGUGAAAUUAUGAAAAAGUAAAACUAGCAACAAAUAGUUUUAGACAGUAACAAUAGUGUGACUUUGAAAAAUCACCAAAAAUGGUGGAAAUUGAAUUAAAGAGUGAAUAAGAUAUGAAAUGAAAGCUUAAUGAGUCUAUUUCUACAUAAAAGAAACAGAGCAAGCAAAAGAGUUAUAUAUUUUGAGAUAUUUGAAUUUUAGUGAGGCAGGGUUGGAUUGAUUUUGGAAUCCCCUAUUCUGAAUUUGGAAAAUAAUUAAAAAUUGUAAAAAUAAUAAUUAUGAGUUAUAAUUUAUAUUCUUAGAAUCCUUAAUGAGUCUAUUUUCAAAGGAAAUAAACAUAAAUAUCAUCUGAAUUCUGUAAAAUGAGAUAAUUUAUUUUUAGUGAAGAGAUGUCAGAGAUGCUAAGCAGUGAAAUAGGGGUGAGUUUAAAGAAUAAACUGUACUAAUUGGCUAAGAAAAAAAUUCUGAAAAUUUUAUGGUAAGAAUAUAUGUGAGUUUAGUUUUGGGUAAAAUUAACGGAACUUAAUUUGGAGCUUUGUAGCUCAGGAUAAAAAUAAUUUAGUGACUGUAACUCGACUAGAUAGCUUUUGAAUUUAAAUAUAAGUGAAUAGUGAAAUUAUGUAUAAUGCUAUUUAAGCAUGUUAUAUACAUAAAGGAUGUGGGAUGGAGAGGAGGAGGAGGACAAUAAAGCAUAUGCGUGUGGUAGAUUAGCAUGAAAUGAUGUCGUGAGUGGCUCAUGAAUUAACUCAUGUUGGUAAGUUGAUGCAUAAUUAUAGUAUUCAAAUAUAUUACAUAUUUGUAAUAUUUUGCUAUGUGAUUCGGAAAAAGGGGAAUAAAUAGCAUAAUGAAAAUUCGGCCAUGGUGCUAGUUUAUGUUAAAGGAGUGUUUUAUGGCAUAUCUUAAGUAAUGGAAUGUUAUGAAUUUUGAGAUUAAUUUGCUAGUCAAAUAAAUGACAAAUGAAUUGAUUGCGUAUUCGUAAUUUUGACAUAUGCUUGGUAUAUGAAACGUAAUAAUAUAUGCUUGAACAAACUUUAAGUAUUCGAAUGACAUGGAUUUGAUGGUGAUAAGAUUCGAACAUUGAAUUCAUGAAGCACAAGUGAUGUAUUAUUGUUGUGUGAUAGCUUGGUUUGAGAAAUUGGUUAGGUAAAUGGUAAGUUAAAGCAUUUAUGGAUAUAGAAGAAAAUUUGGAGUGAAUAUGAAAUUUAGCUCAAUUAAAUGAUUUCAUCAAUUAAACAUUGUGUAUACCAGAAUGUGUUAGUGAAUUACAUAUUCAUAAAUUGACAUUCGAAGUUCAGUUAGUGAUAUAUGAAAAUAACAUGAAAAGAUUUAUGAUUGUGAUUAAUAUUGAUUCUAACUUAAAGUGGAUUCUUCAAUAUUGGAUUGAUUUAACGGAUAUAUUGAGCAUAUGAAUGGGUAUGUAUUGGGCCUCGUAAACCUUAAUUAGCGACUCAAAGAUAAUAAUUUGAAAGUUUUUAAUUUGAAUGAAAUUUUAUAACUCAGUUUAAUAUGUUUAUAAGUGUAUUUAUUCUAAUAAUGCCUCGUACCCUAUUCCAGCGUAGAAUACGAGUAAGGGGUGUUACAAUGUGACAUCACUAGAUUCGGCCCUAAUGUUUAGGCCGGGUUUGGGGUGUUACAAUUACUUUUGAAAGUAUUUCUAUGAAGCGUGUCUCGUAUUUUCGGUCAAGCUAAAUGGCAAAGCAAAGGCAACAUUGAGACAUGGAGCAUAGGAUGUCACAAUGACGUGACGACAUUCGAAACUAAAUCGAAGCAGGGCCGACGUCACGAUGAGGGGACCUACGAUGUCGUGACGAUGCAACGAGGCAGCCACGUCUCUUGACAACUUAAUGGAUUUUCCUUCUCCCAGUUGAACUUUGAUUUUCGGUUCUCUUUUCUCAAUUUAACUCUAACUAUUCUAGGGAUAUUUUUGUAAUACCCUAUAUGUAGCACCUUUAACCCGUAUCCAUUGUCAGAUUAGAGUUACGAAAUAUUACCGAGUAAAACAAAACAUUUAACUUCACAACAGAAACAAUUAUAUUAAUUAAAUGUAAUCAUGGUAAAAAUAUAAUUACGGGUCUUAACUCGAGUUUACAGGGCCUUAAAAACAGUUUUGGAACAUUCAGGGAUCAAUUCGAACAAAUCAGAAAAUUUAAAAAAACAGGAAAAUUUUGAAAACAGGAAUCACACUAUCGUAUGACAUAGUUCAGAUCUUGUGGACAUUCGAAGUCUAGACACACAGCUUAUCCCAAGCCGUGUGAGUAUUCGGAAUAAGGCUACACGGACAUGUCAUAUGUCGUGUGCCAAAUCAUGUGUACUGUAAUAACCAAUUUUACCCGAGCUUAUUAAAAUUAAAUUAAAAUAAUAUAAAAAUCAAAUAAUAAUAAAAUGUCCAAUAACAGUCCAAUAAAAUAAACCCAUAAACCGAAUACACCCCAGCCCAAUAACCAAUUACAGGCCCAAUUCAAACCUAAUACCCAAAUUGCAACCCACAAGCCCAAAAGCAAGAAAAAUAGAAAACCCUAGACAGUAGCAGCUUCCAGCGCCGUUCUCCCUAUGUAGCCUCCGCGCGUGCUACGCCACCACCACGCGCGUUCCUCACAUGUGAACUAGGCCUCCACUCCAGCUUGCACCUGUAACAGACGUAACAAACUAGUAGAGAAAGCAAAGGAAAAAUGACAGCAAGGAAAAGGCAACACAGCAAAUAGGAAAGCAGUAAAUAAAAAAUGUAAAAAAUAUAUUUCGAUUGAUUUUAUUUUUAUUUUUAUUUUUAAGGAUUUCGGUUAUAAAAAGGCCAUUUGAGCACUAUAAAUGUGGACGCAUACAGAGAUUGAAUACAAAAAACAAAAAAAAAAUUCAAAGAAAAAGGUAAAUAGAGUUUUGUAAGAAAAAAAUGACAUUCUGCAUUCAUGCAAACAUCAUUCAUACAUUUGAAUUAUACAAGUCAUGUUCCCCCAGAGAACAAACCGGUGAAACUAUAAAGCCUGAGCAGCAGUGGAAUAGGUUGAAAAUAGCAGAUCUUGUUUUUCUGUACUGGCAGCGAAGCAGAUCGAAGAUAACAAGUCUUAUCUCCCUGACUUGCAGCGGAGCAGACUGAAGAUAGCAGAUCUUGUCUUCCUGUACUGACAGUGAAGUAGAUCGAAGACACCAGUCUUAUCGCCUUGAUGUUGCAAUGGAACAGAUUAAAGCUAAAGAUAGCGAAUCUUGUGUCCCUGCCGUUGCAACGGAGUAGAUUAAAGCUGAGGGCAGCAAAUCUUAUCUCCUUAGCGUUAAGACUUGGAUUAGCUGAAGUGGAGCAGAUUAAAGCUGUAGGCAGCGAAUCCUAUCUAUUUGGCAUUACAGUGGAAUAGAUUGAAGCUACAACAGCGAAUCUUACUUCCCUGGUGGUGUAGUGGAACAAAUUGAAGCUACGAUGGCGAAUCUAGUUUCCCCGACACUGCAGUUAAAUAGAUUGAAGCCAUAACGGUGAAUUUUACUUCCCUGGCGGUGUAGUGGAACAUAUUAAAGCUACGACGCCAAAUCUUGUUUCCCCGACAUUGCAGUUAAAUAGAUUGAAGCUACAACAGCAAAUCUUACUUCCCUGGCGGUGCAGUGGAACAGAUUGAAGCUACAACGGCGAAUCUUGUUUCCCCGACAUUACAGUUAAACAGAUUGAAGAUGGCGAAUCUUAUCUCUCUAAGGUUACAGUGGAGCAGAUUAAAGCCAAUAAUCCUAUCUCUCUGAGGUUGCAGUAGAGCGGAUUGAAGUGAUGAUCUUAUCUCUCUGAAGUUACAGUAGAGCAGAUCGCAUCCAAUUUUAUCUCCCUAAAGUUGUAGUGGAGCAGACAGAAGAAACCAAUCCUAUCUCCCUGAAAUUGCAGGGGAGCGGAUUAAAACUACAGAUCUUAUCUCUCUGAAGUUGCAAUAGAGCAUAUCACAACAGACUUAUCUUUUUAAAGUUGCAGCAGGACAAGUUGAAGCUACAAGUCUUAUCUCCCUGAAGUUGCAAUGGAGCAGACUGAAGAUAGUAAAUUUUUUUCUUUUGAAAAGACUACAAGUUACAAAUUGCAUCUCCCUAAUGUUACAGUGGAGUAUAUUGAAGCACCAAUUCCUAUACUUCUAAAGAUGCAGUAUGAUGGAAUGAGGCUACUUGAAGAAGAAGAGCACCAAGGUCCAGCAUGACCAGGCAAAAUUGGUCAUUUUUAAAGUCUUUGCUUUGUUCCCGUUACACGACAACAAGCAAAGAAGGGCAGCUGUAAUAACCAAUUUUACCCGGGCUUAUUAAAAUUAAAUUAAAAUAAUAUAAAAAUCAAAUAAUAAUAAAAUGUCCAAUAACAGUCCACUAAAAUAAACCCAUAAACCGAAUACACCCUAGCCUAAUAACCAAUUACAGACCCAAUUCAAACCUAAUACCCAAAUUGCAACCCACAAGCCCAAAAGCAAGAAAAAUAGAAAACCCUAGACAGCAGUAGCUUCCAGCGCCGUUCUCCCCAUGUAGCCUCUGCGCGUGCUACGCCACCACCACGCGCGUUCCUCGCAUGCAAACCAGGCCUCCACUCUAGCUUGCACCUGCAACAGACGUAACAAACUAGCAGAGAAAGCAAAGGAAAAAUGACAGCAAGGAAAAGGCAACACAGCAAAUAGGAGAGCAGUAAAUGAAAAAUGUAAAAAAUAUAUUUCGAUUCAUUUUAUUUUUAUUUUUAAGGAUUUCAGUUAUAAAAAGGUCAUUUGAGCACUGUAAAUGUGGACGCAUAUAGAGAUUGAAUACAAAAAACAAAAAAAAAAUAUUCAAAGAAAAAGGUAAACAGAGUUUUGUAAGAUUUUUUUAAAUUUUUCUUCACUUUUCUUUGUUUUUUUUUACUGCUUUGUUCAUUAAUAAUAUGUGUAAGGCCCAAUUUUUGUCCGGCCUGUUACAGAAAUAAAAAACCAAACAAAACCAAAAUGUUUCAGUCCAAUUUUGCUAAGCCCAAUAACCCAAUAGCACAGCCCAAAUCAAUUUAUCCUAAAACUAACCCAGCUACAAUCACCGAAACCCUAAAAUCCCUUAGCCACCGCCUCCAGCAAGUGUCCAAUCAGCGCACGUUUCGGAACCAGCCCUCUUCUCCGCGUCGUGCUCUCCACGUCUACCUGCGAAAACGGACUAAAAGAGUCCCAAUAUUGUAAAAUAAAAAUACAAAGUAUUUUCUUAGGCUAUAAAAAGCCUAACUUGUACACUGAUAAAAAUAAAAGAAUAGAGAACAGAAUAAAUAUUUUUACAAAGGUGAUUUUUUUUUGUUUUAUUCCGCAGUGACCAUUUUUUAUUUACAUAUGUUUUAUUUUCUUUUAUUUUCAUUUAUUUCGUAUAAAAUAACAAAGAAAAAAGAAAAGGAAAACAUACCUUUUGUCGGACUUGCCGGAUUGUUGCCAUCUCCAGCGCUAGGAGUUAGGGCUGAAAACCCUAGCAGAGGGCAUUUAGUUUUUUUUUUCCUUUCAUUCUGCUGCAAAUGUUUUUUAGAGAAAAAAAUUGUUUUAAAUAACAGAGCAAAACGGCGCCGUUUUACCCAGGCAUGACCCGCGCGGUGACCCGACCCGGAGGGAGGAUUCGCGCGUUUUGGUCGAAGGGAAAAUUUGCGCAAUUGGUCCCUCCCUUUUGCAAUGCGCUUCAAUUAAACCUGUUUUGUUUUUUUUAAUUUGGCCGCAUAUUUUAUUUUUGUUUCAAUUUGGUCCCUUGCUGCGCAGCAUUUUGGAGGGUAGGAUUAAUUUCCCUUCUAGUCCCCCAUUGUUGUUCGCGCGUUCAAGUUGGUCCUUUUUUUAUUUAUUUUUGAAUCUACCCCAUCUUUUCGUUUUUAAGUUCAAUUUAGUCCAUUUUUUAGCUUUUUCUUUUUUAUGUUUGUCAUUGUACCAUUAUUAUUAUUAUUAUUAUAUUAUUUGCUAUCAUUAUUGUUAUUGUAUUUUCUAUACAUAUAAAUACGCAUAUUUUUUAUAUAUAAUAUAUAAGCAUAUUUUUAAUAUAUAUAUUUAUAAGUACGCAUCUAUUUUAUACAUACAUACUUUUUUUUUUAUUUCCUAACCUUUAUGUACACGUAUAUAUACUUCUAUAUUUUGGUUUCAAAAUUUUUUAUACAUAUGCAUGUUCGUUUUUUCUUAUAUAUAUUAUUUUUCAUUUUUUUUACAAAACGUAUAUAUAUGUGUAUACAUACACAUUUUAAAAUACACACAUGUUUCCCAUAUUUUACAAUUCAAAAUACACAUUUUUUAUAUUAUAUAUAUACAUUCUUUAUAUUUUUGAGUUAUUAUAGACAUUUUUAUUAUUCUAUAUAUACUCCGUUAUUUAUGUACAUAUCAUACAUAUAUAUAAAUUUUUUAAUAUAUGUAUACAUAUUUUCAUGUUUUACCAAUACAUAUAUACUUAUACAUUUUUUUUCUGUAAAUAUAUACACAUAUACAUACUUUUAUAGUUUUAUUUUAUUUUCACGGUUUUCAAAUGCACAUACGUGCAUUUUUUAUGAGUUUUUGAUUGAUAUAUUCCAUUCCAUUUUUUUAUAUGUAUCCUUGUAUAUGUGUGUAAAAUAUAUGCGUACACAUAUUUUCAAAUUUUCUUGUAUAUUGUACUUGUAUGUAUAUAUUUUGUAAAUACAUAUUCAUAUAUGUUUUAAAUUAACGUUUUGUUUCAUAUUGUACGUUAACUUUUAACAUACCUUUUGGGAAAUAUAUUUUGGUUUUGUCAGUAUAUCAAAAUCAUUUUCUCUUGAUUCAAAGUUUUUUUGAAUAAAAGCAAUAUUCAAGUUUGAGAUUUUUGAGGAAAAUUGAGCCCUAACGUAUUGGGUUCUGAUUUUCUUUGUUAAUCUUAAAUAACCGAGGAUAUUCUUUAUUCAAAAUGCAUGAGUAUAAAGAUCAUUUUUGGGAACUUAACUUGUUGUGUCCUAAUGUAUUGGGCGUGACAUAUUACUUUCUCAAAAUGAAGAUUUUCACAUAAAAUAAAAGUGAUAUUCAAAGUUCGGGGAUUUUGAGAAAUUGUACCCUAACGUAUUGGGACUCGAUUUCUUUACAUGACUUGAACAAUUGAUUAUCCUUUUCAAAUUUCAUCAUUUAAGUUGUUUUAAAAAAAAUUAGCCCUCGACAUUAAGACAUUAAAUAAUUAAUUUGGUACAGAUUUUGGGUGUCACGAGGGUGCUAACCCUUCCUCGUGCGUAACUGACUCCCGAACCCAUUUUCUCAAAUUUCGUAGACCAAAAUACGUUUUAAGGUGAACUGAUCACACCUCAAUAAAAGAUCGGUGGUGACUCCAAUUUUGUUUUUUUAAAAAGUCGACAACUACAUUUUUGAUUUAGAAAUGGUUUCGACAGCUUGGCGACUCCACUGGGGACACUAGAGAGUCGAGCCAUAAAUUGAUUAUUUUUGUCUUGUGAUUGAAAAAUCAAAUUUGUUUUAAAAUCAUGAUUUCCCUUUACAUUCAUUGAUUUUCAUCAUGAUAUAUUUGCAUGAUGGGUCCGAGUCGAUUAAUUUGUAUUUGCAUUAUGCAUUGCAUUGGUUGGUCAGUGUUACCUCUUUAAGUGGGAGCGAGAAACUAGUCCUUCGUGAGGUUUUGACCUCCGUGCAGGGUAGUAGACCGCUUUCGGGAUACAUCCGUACCUAUGUCUUCGUGAGAUUUUCAUCUCCGUGCAGCCAUAGGGAAAUGUAUUCCCUUGAACUGAACUCAGUCCAUAUGAGCCUAUAAUGGGUGAGGAUCGAGGAAUCUGCUGGUUCGGGUACCUUUGCUCUAGAAACUAAACCUCAUAUACUGAGAUUUAGGGACUUGCCCUAGGUAGAGCUAUACCAAACCCUAGAGGAGUCCUGAAUAGGUUUUAUUAUUUCCUAUGUACGUUGAAUUAUGAUUUUAUGCAUGAUACUAACUUGUGUGUUUUGUUUUGGCGGUAUGGCAUUUUGACUGCAUGGCAUUUCAUUAUAGAAAAAAAAUGUUGAUUCAUGUUUGGUUGUUAAAUAGAGAGCUUGCUACGGAAAAUAGAUUUCUUGAUAAGGUGAAAGAUAAUACGGUUGUCUGAGUAUAGUCUAAGAAAACGUGACGCGAAAGGUAAUAGCGUAACAAGAGGAGUAUACGACUUUGCUGCGUUGCCCAAGGAUUCAAAUUGUCAAAGAUUAUUCAAGAGUCAUCAAACGUCCUAACCUCUUAAAGAAGCUCAUGGGCAUGAGUGAGCAAAGAGAUACGACCUAGAUCAAACAAAAUGGAGCUAAGAUUCGCAAAAUGCAUCUUAAUGUUCGAAUGGUCGAUGCCUUCACUUGGAGUACGAGCACAAAGCCGUAUAUAUAUAUCCGCUUUGUGUAAAGAGAUUUGUUUUCUAGUGAAGUUUUUCUAAUAAAGAAUUGAACUAGAAUCAACGUCUCUUUUUGCAUUUAUUUCAUGCAUUUGCAUUACAUUACAUCACAUGCAUUAAACACCGUAAAAGGAUCCUAAUUAACUAAAUCAUUGCUCAGUUAACCUGGAAACCAACCAACCAACCAAACACCAUUAUGACACUUGAGCAAAGAUUAAAGAUAUGGAUCAGAGAUUGGAAAAGCUCGAAUAGUACCAGAAGAAGAUGCAAGACCGACUUCAGCUGCAAGUGCAAGAACGGUUGGACAAGAUGCAAUAGGAUAUGUCAGAGAAGAUACAGGAAUCCCAAAAGGAUAUGAUGGCGAAGCUGACCCAACUAUUGACUGGAGGAAGUGAUAAGGGAAAAGGGACCUGUAGCUAAUGUCGAAGAAGGCAACGAGGAUGAACCUCUCUAUCCUCCAGGCUUUACUCCUCCACAUGUACGAACUCAAGCUGAGGUAUACCCGCACAAAUCUAUUGUCACAAUCAGGCCUCAGCAGUUCCAGGCCGGUACUUCAAAUUUCCAAGCUGGAUCGGGCUCUAACCCCGGGAACUACCCUAUUAACUCUGCCAUUCCUGACUUCGAUGAAAUGGCUGAAAAGGAAAAAAUAAAUGAAGAGUUACCAAGGCAGUUAGAAGAGAGGUGUAAAUGGCUCGAAGAGAAGUUCAAGGCGAUGGAGAUCACUGAAAACUAUCGUGGGAUCAACGCUAAAGAACUGAGUCUAGUCCUAAAUUUGGUACUCCCUCAUAAGUUUAAGAUGCCGAAAUUUGAAAAAUAUAAUGGGACAAGUUGCCCAGAAGCACAUAUCACCAUGUUCUGCAGGAGAAUGGCUGGAUAUGUUAACAAUGACCAGCUACUGAUUCAUUGUUUCCAGGAUAGCCUUACAGGGGCAGCAUCUAAAUAGUACAAUCAACUGAGCCAUACCAUGAUAGGUUCAUGGAGGGACUUAGCACAAGCGUUCAUGAAACAGUACAGUCAUGUAACAGACAUGGUUCCUGACAGAAUCACCCUUCAGAAUAUGAAAAAGAAGCCAAACGAGAGCUUUAGGUAAUAUGCACAAAGGUGGAGGGAGGUGGCUGUUCAAGUUCAGCCACUGCUCUUGGAAAGAGAAAUGUCAAUGCUCUUUAGAAAUAUAUUGAAAGCCCCGUUCAUUACGCAUAUGUUAGGAAGUGCUACAAAAAGCAUUUCUGACAUAGUUAUGAAUGGUGAAAUGAUCGAAAAUGCUAUAAGGAGUGGGAAAAUCAAUGCAGAGGAGAGUAACAAGAGGCCAGUCUCAAGAAGAAGAGAAAAUGAGGUGAACAACACGGGUUACUCUAAAUCAGUUACUAUGAGUCAGCCAAGAAAGUUGGUUGCUAACCAACAAGGUUCAUCAAGACAAGAAGAUGGUACAAGACAAAACACUAAGAGGCCCCAAUUCACGCCAAUUCCGGUGUCGUAUAGGGAGUUAUAUCAAAGAUUUUUUGAUGCACAUGUUGUUUCCCCUUUUCAUGUAAAGCCUCUACAACCUCCGUACCCCGAAUGGUAUGAUGUGAACGCACAAUGUGAAUACCAUGCGGGAAUUACGGGACACUCAAUAGAGAAUUACACUGCCUUCAAGAAGCAAGUUGAAAGACUCAUCAACACGGGUAUUGUCAAGUUUGGUGACUCAUCUAGUGCAGAAAAUCCGCUACCCAAUCAUAUUGAUAAUAGAGGUGAGAUUUUCACAUCGACGCCGUAUGUGCAGACACAACCAAAAGGGUUAUUGUUAGAUAUUCACCUGGAAGGUGCUAUAAAUAAUGGGACUGCAGAGGAAACCCCUAUAGUAUUUAGAGUCUGUUAGGGUAAUGUUCAGAACACACUUGUUGCUUUUAGCCUAGAAGCAAUAAGAACUUCUUUGUGAAAUAGGCUCAUGUCUGAACAUUGUUAUUUUAAUGAAAUACAUUAUUGCAAUCAUCUUUGAGCAAAUGUUCUUUCAUUCUUUACGAUUCUUUCAUUCUUUUGGAUUUUUUUUGCCAAACCAUUUUUUUCAUUCAUUCAUAUUAUUUAUAAAUUCAUACAUUAUUUUGUAUAUUCUUUGGUACCUACUAGGGGUCCCCAGAUAUCAAUGACAUGAGUGACGCUGCUAUAGACUCAGAACUUCCUUUUGAGUGAGACAUGUGUUUAGAGGGAUCUCAUGACUUUGAUGAUGACAUAGAUUGCAGCUUAUCUCCAGAUUUGACGAAGGUGAUAGAAUAAGAGGAUAAGAUAGAUCAUACCUCAUAAGAAAUUAUUAGAAAUUGUAAGCUUGGUGAAGAUUAAAAUUGACAUGACCACAAAGACGAAGUGGGACCUUAUGAAUUACCCUAAGAAUUCAAUGAUGUCUUCACAUGGUCAUACCCAGAUAUGCUCGGGUUAAGCACUGACUUUAUAAUCUGAAUAACAACAUGAUGUCAGAAAUUUGCAGUAGGUUCAGCAUUAAUGUUAUGAACGAUGCAGUGAAAUUUCUUUAUUGGGGAAAUGUCCUUCUCUUUGGCUUAUCAUAGCUUUGCUCAUUGAAGUUGAAUUGCCAUUUCUCUGUAUUUUUAUCCUAAGAGGAAGAUCUGAAGGUUCGUCCUAGAGAAUUUCACAAGGGGGAGCUAGUGUUGAAAAUGAUCAUUCCUAUACAAAAGGGAUUUUAGAGGAAGAUAGAUGCCAAAUUAGGAGGGUCCAUAUGUUGUAAAGAAAGUCUUUUCUAGGAAAACUUUGAUCCUGAGUGAGAUGGAUGGUAAAGAUUGUCCAAGCCCUGUAAACUCAGAUUCAGUUAAGAAGUACUUUUCCUAAAAAAGGGGACCAAGGUGAAAGCCUACAAAGGGCGCCUUGAGUAAAAAAAAAUAGAGAGGCCAAGGUGAAAACCCGCGAAGGGAGGCUUGAGACCAAAAGGAUUUUAGUUGAAAACCCAAAAAGGGCGGCUCAAAUGUUGAUCAAAAUGGCAUUUGAAAUUAUCAGAGCAGCUCAAAUACUGAUCAGAAUGGGGCAUGCAGUGGUCUUGCUAUACCUGAAUCAACAGGAAAGGGGUAGGCAACAUCUUGGGGCAUCGACAAAGCACUGUUGAUUUCCUAAACACAUGUUAAAAUCAGAAUGGUCUUCAGAAAGUUUGCACAGAGAAGUUCAGGCUGCGAUACCUGGGGCACCGAAUCCUUAUACUAUUUUUGUUAUACUUGGAACACUUCAUUCAUUUCCAAGACACGCAUUCUUAAAUUAAUUUCUUUAUUAUCUUUGACAAUUUAUUCAUUUCGAGCUAUGUUCAGAACCAACUCUAUUCUUAUCCAUGAUCUUUUUGCAAGCAUGUUGCAUUAGAAUAAUGAUUAAUGGACUAAUAAAACUUUCACAAAGGAAGUUUUGCAUAUUACUCUAGAAAUUUCUAAAUAAUAUAGGAACCUGAAACAGGACUAUUGUUUAGAACACACCAAGUUUAAAGGUUGGAAAUCUGAUAAGGAGGAGUCUAAAUUAAGACUAUCCUUUUAAAUUUUGUUGUCUAAAACAUUGUUUGAACAAAAUGAUAAGAUGUCAUAUUGGUGACAAAGCUUAGAUGAAAGAAAGUAAUGAUCACCGAAUAAUAAGAAGAAGUUGUUCUUGGAGAAUAAAAUUUUUCAUUUGUGCAUUGGCAUUUGGUAUGACACCCAUAGAAUGGUAAAAGACCAAAGAGCUUCACAUUCUACAUCCUUGAAUUGUGAUAGGAGAGGAUUGAGAAAAUGCCAGAUUUUUCUUGGGUUACAGCGGGAGAAAGAUGGUACAAAUGUUACAUCCUAGUGGAUUGAGCUUUGAAGUUCACAGUGGGGGCAAUCUGGUCAAGUGUUUCUUUGGAGACGUUAGCCAAGCAAAAGGUGCUAUAGCACAUUAGCGAUAAAAUUUUAAUAAACUUUGAGUAAUGAUAACCUAAGUGAUAAGGAGGAAUCAUUCUCGAAAAAUGACAUUCUGUAUUCAUUCAAAUGUCAUUCAUACAUGCCUAGUUAGGAGCAUUUGAUUCAUUCUGUUCAUGACAUCCUAAUCAUUAGGUAUAAUUAGGUUCAUAAAGUGAAUUAUACAGGUCAUGCUCCCUAGAGGACAGAUCAGAGAAAUCAUAAAGCCUUAUCUCCCUGAGCAACGGUGGAGCAGGUUGAAAAGCAGCAGAUCUUGUCUUCCCGUACUGGUGACGAAGUAGAUCGAAGAAAGCAGAUCUUGUCUUCAUGUAUUGGCGUGAAGUAGAUCGAAGAAAGAAGAUCUUGUCUUCCCAUACUGGUGGUGAAGUAGAUCGAAGAAAGCAGAUCUUGUCUUCAUGUAUUAGCGUGAAGCAGAUCGAAGAAAGCAGAUCCUGUCUUCCUAUAUUGGUAGCGAAGUGGAUCGAAGAUAGCAGAUCUUGUCUUCAUGUAUUGACGUGAAAUAGAUCAAAGAAAACAGAUCUUGUCUUCAUGUAUUGGCGUGAAAUAGAUCGAAGAAAGCAGAUCAUGUAUUGGCGUGAAAUAGAUCGAAGAAAGCAGAUCUUGUCUUCAUGUAUUGGCAUGAAGUAGAUCAAAGAUAGCAGAUCUUGUCUUUCCAUACUGGUGGCGAAGUAGAUCGAGGAAAGCAGAUCUUGUCUUCAUGUAUUGGCAUGAAGUAGAUCAAAGAGAGCAGAUCUUGUCUUCCCAUACUGGUGGCGAAGUAGAUCGAAGAUGACAGAUCUUGUCUUCAUGUAUUGGCAUGAAGUAGAUCAAAGGAUAGCAGAUCUUGUCUUCAUGUAUCAGCAGUGAAGUAGAUCGAAAAUACAAGUCUUAUCUCCCUGAAGUAGCAGUGGAGCUGACAGAAGUAACCAAUCCUAUCUCCUUGAAGUUGCAAUGGAGUGGAUUAAACCUGCAGAUCUCAUCUCUCUGAAGUUGCAGUAGAGCAGAUCGCAUCAGAUUUAUUUUUAAGUUGUAGCAGAACAAGUUGAAGCUAUAAGUCUUAUCUCCCUGAAGUUGUAGUGGAGCAGAUUAAAGAUAGCAAUUUUUGUUCUUUUAAAAAGCUACAGUGUACGAACCCUAUCUCCUUGACAUUGCAGUGGGGUAGAUUGAAACACUAGUUCCUAUACUUCAGAAGAUGUAGUAGGAAAGAAUGAGGUUACUUGAAGGAAAAAGAACUGAAUAAGUCGAGGCUCAGUAAGACCGGGCACAAUUGGGCUUUUAGUAUUUGCUCUGUUCCCGUUACAUGACAACGAGCAAAGAGGGGCAGCUAUAGGGCCCAAUUUUUUCCUGGCCCGUUACAGAAAUAAAAAACCAAACAAAAACCAAAAUGUUUCAGUCCAAUUUUGCUAAGCCCAAUAACCCAAUAGCACAACCCAAAUCAAUUUAUUUUAAAACUAACCUAGCUACAAUCACCGAAACCCUAAAAUCCCUUAGCUACUGCCUCCGGCAAGUGUCCAAUCGGCACACGUUUCGAAACCAGCCCUAUUCUCCGCGUCAUGCUCUCCACAACUACCUGCGAAAACGGACUAAAAGAGUCCCAAUAUUGUAAAAUAAAAAUACAAAGUAUUUUCUUAGGCUAUAAAAAGCCUAAGUUGUACACUGAUAAAAAAAAAGAACAGAGAACAAAAUAAAUAUUUUUACAAAAGUGAUUUUUUUUUGUUUUAUUUCGCAGUGACCAUUUUUUAUAUACAUACGUUUUAUUUUCUUUUAUUUUCAUUUAUUUCGUAUAAAAUAACAAAGAAAAAAGAAAAGGAAAACAUACCUUUUGUCGGAGUCGCCGGAUUGUUGCCAUCUCCAUCGCGGUCGGAGCGUCGGCAUGGGCGAACGGCGGCGCUAGGAGCUAGGGCUGAAAACCCUAGCAGAGGGCAUUUGGUUUUUUUUUCCUUUCAUUCUGUUGCAAAUUUUUUUUAGAGAAAAAAAAACUGUUUUAAAUAACAGAGCAAAACGACGCCGUUUUACCCAAGCAUGACCCGCGCGGUGACCCGACCCGGAGGGGAGGAUCCGCGCGUUCUGGCCGAAGGGAAAAUUUGCGCAAUUGGUCCCUCCCUUUUGCAAUGCGCUUCAAUUAAACCUGUUUUGUUUUUUUUAAUUUGGCCGCAUAUUUUAUUUUUGUUUCAAUUUGGUCCCUUAUUGCGCAGCGUUUUGGAGGGUGGGAUUAAUUUCCCUUCUAGUCCCCCAUUGUUGUUCGCGCGUUCAAGUUGGUCCUUUUUUAUUUAUUUUCGAAUCUACCCCAUCUUUUCAUUUUUAAGUUCAAUUUAGCCCAUUUUUUAGCUUUUUUUUUAAAUUCUUUUUUAUGUUUGUCAUUAUACCAUUAUUAUUAUUAUAUUAUUUGCUAUCAUUAUUGUUAUUGUAUUUUCUAUACAUAUAAAUACGCAUAUUUUUUAUAUUUAAUAUAUAAGCAUAUUUUUAAUAUAUAUAUUUAUAAGUACGCAUCUAUUUUAUACAUACAUACAUACUUUUUUUUAUUUUAUUUCCUAACCUUUAUGUACACGUAUAUAUACUUCUAUAUUUUUGUUUCAAAAUUUUUUAUACAUAUGCAUGUUCGUUUUUUUUAUAUAUAUUAUUUUUCAUAUUUUUUUACAAAACGUAUAUAUAUGUGUAUACAUACACAUUUUAAAAUACACACAUGUUUCCCAUAUUUUACAAUUCAAAAUACACAUUUUUUUUAUAUUAUAUAUAUACAUUCUUUAUAUUUUUGAGUUAUUAUAGACAUUUUUAUUAUUCUAUAUAUACUCCGUUAUUUAUGUACAUAUCAUACAUAUAUAUAAAUUUUUUAAUAUAUGUAUACAUAUUUUCAUGUUUUACCAAUACAUAUAUACUUAUACAUUUUUUAUUUCUGUAAAUAUAUACACAUAUACAUACUUUUAUAGUUUUAUUUUAUUUUCACGGUUUUCAAAUACACAUACGUGCAUUUUUUAUUAGUUUUUGAUUGAUAUAUUCCAUUCCAUUUUUUAUAUGUAUCCUUGUAUAUGUGUGUAAAAUAUAUGCGUGCACAUAUUUUCAAAUUUACUUGUAUAUUGUACUUGUAUGUAUAUAUUUUGUAAAUACAUAUUCAUAUAUGUUUUAAAUUAAUGUUUUGUUUCAUAUUGUACGUUAACUUUUAACAUACCUUUUGGGAAAUAUAUUUUGGUUUUGUCAGUAUAUCAAAAUCAUUUUCUCUUGAUUCAAAGUUUUUUGAAUAAAAGCAAUAUUCAAAGUUUGGAAUUUUUGAGGAAAAUUGAGCCCUAACGUAUUGGGUUCUGAUUUUCUUUGUUAAUCUUAAAUAACCAAGGAUAUUCUUUAUUCAAAAUGCAUGAGUAUAAAGAUCAUUUUCGGGAACUUAACUUGUUGUGUCCUAAUGUAUUGGGCGUGACAUAUUAUUUUCUCAAAAUGAAGAUUUUCGCAUAAAAUAAAAGUAAUAUUUAAAGUUCGGGGAUUUUGAGAAAUUGUACCCUAAUGUAUUGGGACUCGAUUUCUUUACAUGACUUGAACAAUUGAUUAUCCUUUUCAGAUUUCAUCAUUUGAGUUGUUUUAAAAAAAAUUUUUUAGCCCUCGACAUUAAGACAUUAAAUAAUCAAUUUUGUACCGAUUUUGGACGUCACAAGGGUGCUACCCUUCCUCGUGCGUAAUUGACUCCCGAACUCGUUUUCUCAAAUUUCGUAAACCAAAAUACGUUUUAAGGUGAACUGAUCACACCUCAAUAAAGGAUCGGUGGCGACUCCAAUUUUGUUUUUUUAAAAAGUCGACAACUAUAUUUUUUAUUUAAAAAUGGUUUCGACAAUAUGAAAUAAAAGAAAAAUAGAGAGUAGGGAGAGAAAUUUACCUAAAAGCUGAGACGUCGUUCGUCUGUCGUAAUCGAAGUCGGACGAGGAAUCGGGGCCUCCAAACGCUGGUUUGUUGAGCGGCGCACGGAGGAAAAGUUGCUUAGGGUUUGUAGAUCUAUUAAAAUGGCUUAAUGCCUUGGUUUUUUUAGGUUUCAUGCGUGCAACGAAAUGGCACCGUUUGAACCCCGUUCUAAUGGCUCCAAAGCGAUGUCGUAUUGAGGCUCGACCCGAUUCGAACUAGGUUCCAGAUCUGCGUGUUUUACCUCAUAGGGGAGAAUUUCGCGAAUAGUCCUCCGCUUUUAUAGAACCUUCAAAUUGAUCCUUUUAUUUCUUUUAAAUUUGGCUGCUCAUUUUGUGCUUCAUUUCAAUUAGGUCCGUGCAAGGAUGCUGCGUUUUGAGGGAAGGGAUAUUUUCCCAUUCAGUCCCCAAGUUAUUCGCGCGUUCCUUUGUGGCCCUUAAUGUUAUUUUAUUUUUAUUUUCUCUUUUAAUUUUGAAUUAAAUGCAGUUUAGCUUGUUUUUGUUUAAUUUAAUGUAUUCAAUUUUUAUUUUAUUUUUAAUAUUCAUCAUUCUUUUUUAAAAAAUAUUUAAUUUUACAUCUAGAUUAUUUUAUGUUUAAAUUUAGUAUAUUUUAAAUUUAUUAACAAUAUUAUUUUAAUAUUAUAACAUAUUAUUAUUCUAAAUGUAACAUUAACAUUAUUUUAAAUUUAUCAUGUACAAUCUUAUGCAUUCUUGUUGUAGUUUCAAUAUAAUUUAUAGAUUUUUUUACAUUUUUAUUUUAUAAUACAUUUUUUAACUUCACUUAUAUAGUUCUUUGCUUUAAGAUUUGUACAUUAAUAUUCUUACAUAAUAUUUUUCUAUACAUAUAUAUAAUUUGUGUUAAAUUAUUUUUUAUUAUAUAUAUAAUAUAUUACCGAUUUCAUAUUAUUACAUAUCUUUUUACAUAUUUUUAUAUAUACAUAAUUUAUUUCUUUUAAAACCCUACUUUAUUAUGUACUUUGUUUAUUUCAACUUUUUAUAAUAUUAUAUAUAUUAUUAUUAAACUUUUCAUUUCAUAUAUAUAUUACUUAUUUAGAUUAAUGUAUGUAUAUUAUUUGGUAUAUUACAUAUAUAUAUAUUGUAGCAACGUAAAAAUUUUAGCUUAGCUUGGUCGCUAAUUGUGGCGAUUUAUUGAAAUUUUUUUUGAAAUUUGACGUUUGAUUUUUGAAAUAAAUAGGGAGUUGCCACCGAUCCUUUUUCCUAGGUGUGAUCGGACACCUAUUAGAUCUUUUAUUAAAACAAAUAAAAGGCUAAGUUUAGGUCUACGUUAAAAUCCAGAAAAAAUUUAGGGUUCGGGAGUCGGUUAUGCACGAGGAAGGUAUUGGCACCCUCGCGACGCCCAAAAUUGGUAUCUUAUUAAACACAUGUUGUCUUGAUUUUCAAAAAUACGAAUUCAAUUUGACAUUUAAGUGUGAUCCGAUUGAAGGAAAUGAGAAGUUGCAAGUUUUUUUGUUUUUUAGAAGGACGUCCCGUUUUUAACACGAGCCGAUUAAUUUCACCCAACAUAGGAUGAAAUCAAUGACUUAAUGUUAAAAUCGGUACAUUGCCUUAUUCUUAAAAUUAAAAUGUAAAAAGUUUUUAAAAUGAUAGUAAAAAAAAAUCCAAGAAUAUUAUUGUCAAAAAAAUGCGAAUAAUGAUGUGAAUAAUAAAAUAUAUAAAAUAUAAAAUAUCAAAAUAUCAAAAUAUUAGAAUAAUAAUAAUUAAUAUUGAAAAAUAAAAAAUAAAAUAGAAAUAAAAAAAAUGUACAUAAUAUAUAUUAGAAAUAAUAAUGAUGUUUAAAAAUCAAUACUAUUAAUAAUACUACAUUAAUAUGUACAUAUAUAAAAAAAAUACGUGAUAAUAUUAAAAAUAUGUACAUAAUAUAGUGUUAAAAAUACAUACAUAAUAUAGUUAAGAUAUAUACAUAAGAUAACAUGUAAAAAAAAUAUAUAAAUAAUAUAAUAUUAAAGAUAUAUACAUAAAAUAGUAUAAAAUAUAUAUACGUAAUAUAGAAUUUAAAAUAUACCUAAUAUAUUAAAAGAAUAUAUAUAAUAUAAUAUUAAGAAAUAUAAUAAUAACAAAAAAGGAGAGAGAGGGAGAGGGUGGAUGAUUUUCGGCCACAAGGUCGGCCAUCGUCCGGUCACUGGACCGCCGCCGGCGCCACCGUACACGGCAGCCGGACCUCAAAAAAAACUUUUUCGGUAAAAAUGGGUAAGCUUCCUCCUUUUAUUUUUUUUCACUUUCGUAUAAAAGAAACAAAAUAAGAUUGAAAGGAAAACAAUAAGUAAACAAAGAACUUAAAAUGAGAAUAGACAAAGAAACCUCUUUUGCUUUGAUCUUUAAUUAAUCUUCAAAAAAACUAGCUUCUCCAAAAACUAGCCUUCACAAUAACUCUUCUCCUUAAUUACUUUAAAAAGAAACCUCUCCAAAAAUCCUUUACAAUAACUUUCUCUCCCAAAAACUUUCCAAAAAAAAAUCCCCCCCCUUUUACAAAAUAUGAUAAGGCUUAUAUAGCUAUUUACAAAAUAUUUUUUUAUUGUUUAUGUCUUCAUUUGUAGGUACAAGUGGUGGUGGAGCAAGUGUGGUUAGUGGAGUAGGUAAUGGAGCAAGUGUGGCUAGUGGAUUUGGUGGUGGAGAAGGUGUGGCUAGUGGAGUUGGUGGUGGAAAAGGAGUGGCUAGUGGAGUUGGUGGUGGAAAAGGUGUGGCUAGUGGAGUUGGUGGUGGAAAAGGUGUGGCUAGUUGAGAAAAGUUUAAGUUGUGGGCUAGGUUUUUUUAUUUUGAUUUGGGCUUAGGGUUUGGGCCAUUGGGGUUUUGAUGUAAAUUGGGCUUUGGGUAGUUAAGAUUUUGGGUUUUGGGUUUAAUUUUGGUGGGUUAGGUAAGGCUAAAUUGGGUUUUGAUGUAAAUGGGCUAAAAUUGGCCUACAACAGCUGCCCCUCUUUGCUUAUUAUCGUGUAACGAGAAUAGAGCAAAGAUAUAAAGAAAGGCCAAUUUUGCCCGGUCUUGCUAAGUAUGGACUUCUUUGGUGCUCUUCUCAUCCAGGUAGUCUCUUUCCAGUCCAUCGCAUCUUGUAGCUUUGGUUCAAUCCACUGCAAAUUCGGAGAUAUGCCUUAUAGCUUCAAUCUGUUCCAAUGUAAUUCAAUAUGCUCUUCUAUCGCUUCAGUGAGAUAAGGUUUUGGGUCUUCUCUUCUGCCACUUUAGAAAGGCAAGAUCUGAUAUCCUCGAUCAACUCCACUGCAACUUCAGGGAGACAAAAUCUGGUGUCUUCAAUCAGGUCUAAUAUUGAUUCUUUACUCGGCAUGUGAUCCUGAGCUCAACUCAUUUCUCGCAAUAUGAAUUGACUCUGUAAAACUAGACAUUAAAAACAGAAAUUGAAAAUAGCUCAGCACGUGAGCCAAGGCUCAACUCACCUCUCGCAAAAGUAGAUUUUGAAAAUACCUCGACAUGUAAACCCAAGGCUCAACUCACAUCUCGCAAUAUGAGUUGAUUUUUGAAAAGCAGAAAUUGAAAACGCCUCAGCGUGUGACCCGAGGCUCAACUCACCUAUCGCAAUAUGAGUUGAUUUUUUUGAAAAGCAGAAAUUGAAAAUAGCUCAGCACGUGAGCAAAGGCUCAACUCACCUCUCACAAUAUGAGUUGAUUCUUUUGAAAAGCAGAAAUUGAAAAUAGCUCAGCACGUGAGCAAAGGCUCAACUCACUUCUCGCAAAAGUAGAUUUUGAAAAUACCUCGACAUGUGAACCCAAGGCUCAACUCACAUCUCGCAAUAUGAGUUGAUUUUUGAAAAAUAUAAAUUGAAAAAAAUAGAAAUUGAAAAGCAGAAAUUAAAAAGACCUCAGCAUGUGAGCCGAGACUCAACUCACCUCUCGCAAUAUGAGUUAAUUUUUGACAAACAGAAAUUGAAAUUACCUCAGCGUGUCCUGAGGCUCAACUCACCUCUAGCAAUAUGAGUUGAUUUUGAAAAACAAAAAUUAAAAGUACCUCAACGUGUCUUGAGGCUCAACUCAUCUCUCGCAAUAUGAGUUGACUUUCCUUGAAAAGCAUGAAUUAAAAACAUCAAAAUACCCAAAACCUAUCCUUUGGUAGAACUCGGGUGUCUUUUCCUUUGAUUCAGUGCGACUCUCAUUCAAGAUUUCUUGCUCUACUGGAGUACCUGUAUAUGCUAUGUAUGAUGUUAUCAUGAUAUGCACAUGUUUGUCUUAAAUGCUUUUAUGCCUACAUGAUUAUGCAGUGCUCCUUAAGCAUGUUUGUCGUAUGUCCAUUUAGCCACGAUUGUUGAGGGUCUGUGUUCAUUGCUUUGAUUCUCGACUUUCUCCUCAGGCCUUAUACCUACCUUCAAGCUUCACGAGUAAUCGACGUUCCUCAGAUAUCACUCUUCUGCCCCCGAUUGAACUUUGUUCUUACUUUGAGACUCUUGUGCUUAUCAAAUUUUCAUCCAGGUAAUGCUUAACAUUUCUCUUGUUUAGAGUAUGUCAUUUCUCCAUUUAUCAUGUAAAUAAACACAUAAUGAGAUGCAUGAAAAAGGUCAGGUAGGGAAAAAUGAUAUUUCAUAUUCAUCUAUUUCAAAUGUGGCAAACAAAGCAAGUUAACCAAUUAGAGUAAAAAAUGUCAAAAAGAAAGAAAGGAUCGUAUUCAACGGAUGCAAAUACUUUAGAUAUUCGACACAUGAACUCUUCCACGUUCCUCAAUCAAGAAUCUUUUCGAGUCUGGCUCUUUGCGUAGAAGAUUUCGAGCUUUCAGAAAUGCUUCAAAUACUGUAGUCUCACUGUUUGACCCGCUGUUAAAACGCCACGCUCUUUAAGCCAGGUUUACCUCAUUAGGACGCCCUCUCGGGUUUUCAUCCUAAUCUUUUGUGCUAAUCAAGACGCCCUUUGCGGGUUUUCGCCUUGAUCCCUCUUUUUUUUUGGAUGCCCUUUUCAGGUUUUCAUCUCAAGCAUAAUAUUUCUUCACAGCAUCUGAGUUCACUGGAUUCGGUAACUUCUUUCCAUCCAUCUUGGUAAGGAUCAAAGCUCCUCCUGAAAAUGCCUUCUUUACGACGUAUGGUCCUUCCCAAUUUGGUGCCCAUUUUCCUCGCAGGUCCUUUUGUAUUGGGAGAAUCUUCCUCAGUACGAGUUCUCCUUCGUGGAAUUCUCUUGGCCAUACUUUCUUGUCAUGGGCCGCGAUCAUUCUCUUCUGGUACAUCUGCCCGUGACAAAUUGCUCUUAGACGUUUUUCUUCGAUGAGGUUCAACUGAUCAUAUCGAUCUCAAACCCAUUCUGCUUCUUCUAACUUUAAUUCCAUUAAGACUCGCAGGGAGGGGAUCUCAACCUCAAUAGGUAGCACAGCUUCCAUUCCGUAAGCCAGAGAGAAAGGAGUUGCUCCCGUAGAUGUUCGCACAGAUGUGCGAUAUGCAAACAAAGCAACUGGAAGCUUCUCGUGCCAAUCUUUAUAUGUUUCAGUCAUUUUCCCAAUGAUCUUCUUAAUAUUUUUAUUGGCUGCUUCAACAGCCCCGUUCAUCUUUGGGCGAUAGGGCGAGGAGUUAUGAUGCUUUAUUUGGAACUGCUCGCACACUUCUUUCAUCAUCUUAUUGUUCAGAUUCGUGGCAUUAUCUGAAAUGAUUCUUUCAGGCAAACCAUACCGGCAAAUGAUUUCCUUUUUCAAAAACCUGCAAACUGCAGUCCUCGUCACAUUGGCAAACGAAGCGGCUUCUAUCCAUUUUGUGAAGUAAUCGAUGACCACAAAAACGAAUCGAUGUCCAUUUGAUGCUUUUGGAGAAAUUGGCCCUAUGACAUCCAUGCCCCACAUAGAAAAAGGCCACGGAGAAGUCAUGACAUGAAGGGGUGAAGGGGCUACAUGAAUUUUAUCGCUGUAGAUUUGACAUUUGUGGCAUUUUCUGGCAAAAUUGAUGCAGUCAUUUUCCAUUGUCAGCCAAUAAUAACCGAGUCUCAUGAUCUUUCUGGCCAUAUUGAAACCAUUGGCAUGCAUUCCGUAAAUUCCCUCAUAGACCUCUUCAAGUAUUUUUCUGGCUUCAACAUCAUCCACACAUCUCAAAAGCAUCUGAUCCUUUCCUCUUUUAUAUAGGAUAUCCCCAUCAAUAACAAAUCCCGCUGCCAUUCUUCUAAUUGUUCUUUUAUCGUUCUCAUUCGCUUGUUCGGGAUACCUUUGAUUCUUGAUAUAUUCUAAGAUAUCAUGGAACCAAGGUCGUCCGUCUACUUCUUUCUCAAUGCUACAACUGUGUGCAGGGACCUCGUAUAUGCUCAUUUUGAGGGGCAUUAUUUCUACUUCUCUACUUGCUUUGAACAAUGAAGCCAAAGUGGCCAGGGUAUCAACCAGUUGGUUCUCUUCUCGUGGGAAGUAAUGAAAAGUUAUUUCUUUGAAUUCCUUGAUCAAUCCAGCUACUAAAUCGCUGUACUUAAUCAAUUUUGAGUCCCUCACUUCCCACUCUCCACGGAUUUGGUAAAUCACUAGGGCUGAGUCCCUGUACACCUCUAAGAUCUUGAUGUUUCGUUCGAUAGCUGCACGAAGCCCCAUGAUACAGGCCUCAUAUUCUGUGAUAUUAUUGGUACAGAAGAAGUUCAGUCUUGCGGUGAACGGAUAAUGAUUCCCGUCUGGUGAUACCAGGAUUGCUCCUAUUCCUUGUCCUAAAGCAUUUGACGCACCAUCAAAGCACAUCUUCCAUGACUUCUCUUUUGAUGACUCGGAUUCUAUUUCUGUGAUGCACAUUAAGUCUUCAUCUGGGAAAUCGAAUCUUAAAGGCUCAUAUUCCUCUGUCGUUCGAGUUGCUAAGAAGUCAGCUAUUGCGCUCCCUUUUAUCGACUUCUGACUUACAUAGGUAAUGUCAUAUUCCGAAAGGAGGAUCUGCCAUCGUGCCAUUCUUCCUGAUAGUACCGGUGAUUCCAUCAUGUAUUUUAUUAGGUCCAGUUUUGAAAUUAGCCAUGUCGUGUGAUACAACAUAUAUUGUCUGAGUCUCCGAGCUACCCAAACCAGAGCGCAACAAUAUUUCUCAAUGGACGAAUAUUUUACCUCAUAUUCAGAGAACUUUUUGCUGGGGUAGUAGAUCACUUUUUCUUUCUUUCCUGACUCGUCGUGUUGCCCUAGUACGCAACCCAUUGAACUUUCAAACACAUUCAAAUACAAUAUCAAUGGUCUUCCAGGAGUUGGCGGUACUAGCACUGGAGGACUGGACAAAUAUUGUUUUAUCUUAUCAAAGGCCACUUGGCAUUCCUCGUUCCAUUCUCCCGGGUUAUGUUUUCGAAGAAGCUGAAAGAUUGGGUCGCAUUGGUUGGUAAGUUGAGCGAUAAAUCGGGCGAUGUAGUUUAAUCUCCCUAAAAAUCCUCUAACUUCCUUUUGCGUGCGCGCAUGUGGUAAUUCUUGGAUGGCUUUUAUUUUAUCUGGAUCAACUUCGAUACCUCUUUCACUGACAAUGAAGCCUAGCAACUUUCCCGAGGUAGCCCCAAAUGUACAUUUGGCUGGAUUAAGCUUUAGCUAAAACUUUCUCAGCCUUUCGAACAACUUCUUGAGGUUCACUACAUGCUCUUCUUCCCCUCGCAAUUUAGCAAUCAUGUCGUCGACGUAGACCUCUAUUUCUUUAUGCAUCAUGUCAUGGAAUAACGUUACCAUAGCCCUCUGAUAUAUUGCCCCAGCAUUCUUUAACCCGAAUGGCAUCACCUUGUAGCAGAACGUUCCCCACAUCGUUAUGAAGGUAGUUUUCUCCAUAUCCUCAAGGGCCAUCUUGAUCUAAUUAUACCCCGAGAAUCCAUCUAUGAAAGAAAACAAUGAAUGUUUUGCUGUGUUGUCCACAAACGUGUCAAUAUGUGGCAAGGGAAAAUUAUCUUUUGGGCUUGCUCGAUUCAGGUCACGGUAAUCCACGGACAUUCGUACUUUGCCAUAUUUCUUUGGUACUGGGACUAUGUUAGCCACCCAUUCUAGAUAUUUGGAGGCUUGUAGGAAGCCAGCAUCAAAUUGCUUCUUGAUUUCUUCUUUUAUUUUCAACAGCAUUUUGGGUCUCAUCCGUCUUAAUUUUUGCUGGAUGGGCUUGCAUUCUGGCUUUAAUGGGAGCUUAUGGACCACUAAAUCUUCAUCUAGCCCUGGCAUGUCCUGGUAUGACCAUGCGAAAACAUCUUUGUAUUCGCGGAGUAAAAUGAUCAAACUAUGUCUAGUACUCUCUGAAAUAGAAGUCCCAAUCUUCACUUCUUGUUUCCUCUCUUCAAUGCCCAAAUUUAUUAUUUCCACAGAUUCUUCAUGAGGCAAAAUCUGUUUAUCCUCUUGUUCCACCAUUCUUAACAAUUCAGGAGACGAGACAUAAUCUUCAGCAUUUUCUUCGGCUUCAAAUUCUCCUAAGCAAACAGCCUUCUCAAAAUCAAUUUCAAGAUUCGUAACGGGCUUAUUCAUAUCGUCAAUAUCUGAGCACCUGAAAGUUGAAUGGAAAAGGAAGCUAUAGAGGGGCAUCCAAGUAUUGGAAUCAACAAAGAAAUGUCAUGUCAUGGCAAUGAGGCAAAUGUGAGUAUAGGCUAUGAAAUGAGAAAAUGAUUAUGAAAUUAGUGAUAAUGCGAAAAAUCGUGACAAAAUGCAUCUUCAUUGAUAUUCACUUAAAUGAUAAAGAGCGAAUGCAAGCUCCUACAAAAGAAUUCUAUUAUAUCUAAGGACACAAUAGAAUGUUAAUGUUUGAGCAUUACUCUGAAGACUUAUAAACUACAAGAAGGUCCUCGGCAGUCCAAUUGUUCAACAUGAAACCAGGGGGACAAAGGCGUAUCCUUGAGACAUCUUUACUUGUGUCAGCUCCUUUGUCAAUGACAUUUAUACUGAUGUUCUGAAAACCCUUUUCGAUCAUUAACAUUGUGCCUUGUGCAUUGUCCUGCCUCGGGUAUAUCAUUCCCACAGACGUAAAUGUUCUUGACAAAGGAGGGAAUUCCAUAGGCUCCCAUUCUGGUUCUCGGCCUAAGGUUCUCGCAAUCCUUCUUUCUUGAUCUUUCUUCCACUGUCUUCUUCUUUGACGCAUGUCUGGCUGGAACCCCAAACCGUAUCGGGCCUUAUGAUGCACUGGUUUUAGAGCCCUGACUAUUCCUUGUAGAUAUCUCCCUAAACCUCUUCUCACUCGAGCUCCCCUUCCUACAGUCAACUUGACACCCAUUCUAGUAUUUCUCGACAAUUUAGGCACGGGAAUUUUGUUUCCCUCAGUGAAGAAUGUGGCAUUGACGAAUUCAAGGGAUCGGAAGGAGCAUUCCACUACGUCCUUGCUCACUUCAAGGUAUGGCGCAUCAGCAGAGAUAGAUGCGACAAUGUCUUCUUCUCCCUCGACAGUGACCAAACAGCCAUCCAUGAUAAAUUUCACCUUUUGAUGGAGGGAUGAUGGGACCGCUCUAGCAGAAUGGAUCCAGGGUCUUCCCAAAAGGCAGUUAUAUGAGGAUGUAAUGUCCAUGACUUGGAACUCGACAUCAUAUAUGUAGGGACCCACUUCCAGAGGGAUCUCAAUUUUUUCCAUGACUUCAUGCCUUGUCCUGUCGAAUGCCCUUACCGUAGAAUGACAGGGCCUUAAAUGGGACAGAUCCAUCGAAAUUCUGGAAAGUGUGGCCAAAGGCAUAACGUUGAGUGCCGAACCAUUAUCGAUGAGCACGUUCGGUAUUAUGUAGCCCUUGCAACGGGUUGUGAUAUGCAAUGCUUUCACUGAGCCUCUACCAUUGGGCGGUAUUUCAUCAUCACUAAAAGAAAUGAAAUUAUCCGCAUUCAAGUUGUUCAUCCACCUAUCCAGUUUUUCAAUGGAUACAUUGUUUGCCACAUAAGCUUGAUUUAACACUUUCAGCAGAGCGUUUCGGUGUGGUUCUGAAUUCAACAGCAGAGAUAAUACCGAGAUUCGCGCUGGCUGCUUACUCAAUUGUUCUACCACGUUGUACUCACUGUGUUUGAUAAAUUUUAAGAAUUCCUGUGCUUCCUCCUCGUCCACAGGAUUUUUAGCUUCUUGUUCAGGCGCAGUUUCAUGCUCAUCAUCGGUCACAUGCAUCGGUGCUUUUCCUUUCCGUUUCAAGUCACUGUUCUUCUUUAUCUCCUUCGAAUAACAUCUUCCACUAUGAGUGAAAUGACCUAAUUCCCCGAUUCUUCCAGUCAUGGCUUUGGGUUUUUCAUCUUCAGGUGUGACGAUAUUAAUGUCAUAUUUCCAUGGUACUGCUUUAUUGUCCUUGUAAGGGAAAGAAGAUGGUACUUCAAUUAUCAUUUUUGGUUUCACCGGCUCUUUCAUCGCAUCGUAAUAAAUUACUAACGGUUGAUCAGCGCUAUAAGGGGGACCUGAUGACUGGCUAUCAGAGGCGCAUACUUCUCUUUCAUUGGUCUCUUCCCUUUUGUUAAGGAUCUUAAUCUCCUUAUUAUCCAUCCGGUCUUGAAGCAACCUUUUAAAUUCCUCACACGACUGAAUGUCGUGUCCCACAAUUCCAUGGAAAUUGCAAAAACUUUGACCUUCUUCUCCGAGAAUUCUAUCGGGGUGACAAAGCAAUCAUUUCUUAACCAGUACCUCCCAGAUUUUCUGCAAAGGCGUCCUUAUUUCCAAAACACAUCUUCUGACUUUCCAUUCGUCCACUUUCCCCACUAUACUCACAUCCCUUUCGAUAUGGUUAGGGAAUGGGUUCCCAGUUGCAUUACUGGCACUAUCGAAUCGUAGGAUACCUGCAUCAAUGAGUCCUUGAACUCUUCUCUUAAAGGCUAGGCAGUUUUUCGUGGAAUGUCCCUGGUUUCCCGUAUGGUAUGCACAACUAGCGAAUUGUAUGUUUUAACCUCAGCGAACGAGUAUGGAAUAUGCAAUGAAUGAAUGAAUGCAUGAAUGUCAAAUGACUGUUAGUCAUGAAAGAAAUGCAAGAAAUUGGUGUUAAUUUCAAGAUAGCCCCUAUUUAGGCAUUUCCUUAAUCAAAAGAGUCUAUUACACAACGUUUCGGUCACUCGUGUAAUUGACUCCUCUAUCAGAAACCCCUUUUUGGCAACCAAUCUCUAAUCAACCCUUUCCUAACAAGAUGUAUAUGAUGCAUGAUGAAAAAUAGAAAUACAGACAAACAACAUUGGUUAGCAAAACACAUAUGAUCAGAGAAAAAUUGUGGAAAAUCUAACAAAUUAAGCUACUUGGUCCAAUGGACUCGAUUCCCUUGCAUAGAAAGUGAAAGUGCAAAAGGUAAGAGGCGUUCCUCCCGUGCACUUAUUUUGGUGACUACUAAACGGACGGAGGUUCAGCAUGGCUCUAGUUAGGUGGCUCGUAUGGUUCAUUAUAUGCGGUUUUGGUUCUAGAUAGGUACUCGAAUUGCCCGUACUAUCAUCUACUAAGAUUAACACGGAGCCUCGGUCAUAGCCUAUCACAGGCUCACGAGUUCAAUUCGAGGGGUUACAUUUACUUAUGCCUAUGCGGAGGGACAAGUUAACUCACGAAAGCAUAAAUCAUAUGUAACCCGAAAGUAUUCACUAGCCUGUGCGGAGGGACGAGUUAACUCACGAAGGCGUAGUGUUUACUUUCACUUAAACGGACGGAGCCCGGGUAGAGAGCUCAUGUUAUGCGAAAAUGCAAGUGCACGGUGUGUGGGGAACAACUCAUAAACCUUUACGUUUCACUUAAAGAAACUAAACCAAAAUUAAAACCAUAAAAAUUAAAAACUGAAAAACAACCAAAUAAGCAAGUUAGAAGAAAUAUUUACAGCACGAUACAAAUGCAUGAAUUUUGAAAAUGAGAUUUUCGGAUCACGACCAAAUAUUUACUUUGAACAAGGAAAUUUGAAAAUUUUGACAAAACGUGUUUAAUUCCAGACACGACUCUCAAAAAGGCUUUCCCCAGCGGAGUCGCCAGCUGUAGCGACGUAAAAAUUUUAGCUUAGCUUGGUCGCUAAUUGUGGCGAUUUAUUGAAUUUUUUUUUGAAAUUUGACGUUUGAUUUUUGAAAUAAAUAGGGAGUCGCCACCGAUCCUUUUUCCUAGGUGUGAUCGGACACCUAUUAGAUCUUUUAUUAAAACAAAUAAAAGGCUAAGUUUAGGUCUACGUUAAAAUCCAGAAAAAAUUUAGGGUUCGGGAGUCGGUUACGCACGAGGAAGUUAUUGGCACCCUCGCGACGCCCAAAAUUGGUAUCUUAUUAAACACAUGUUGUCUUGAUUUUCAAAAAUACGAAUUCAAUUUGACAUUUAAGUGUGAUCCGAUUGAAGGAAAUGAGAAGUUGCAAGUUUUUUUGUUUUUUAGAAGGACGUCCCGUUUUUAACACGAGCCGAUUAAUUUCACCCAACAUAGCGAUGAAAUCAAUGACUUAAUGUUAAAAUUGGUACAUUGCCUUAUUCUUAAAAUUAAAAUGUAAAAAGUUUUUAAAAUGAUAGUAAAAAAAAUCCAAGAAUAUUAUUGUCAAAAAAUGCGAAUAAUGAUGUGAAUAAUAAAAUAUAUAAAAUAUAAAAUAUCAAAAUAUCAAAAUAUUAGAAUAAUAAUAAUUAAUAUUGACAAAUAAAAAAUAAAAUAGAAAUAAAAAAAAUGUACAUAAUAUAUAUAUUAGAAAUAAUAAUGAUGUUUAAAAAUCAAUACUAUUAAUAAUACUACAUCAAUAUGUACAUAUAUAAAAAAAAUACGUGAUAAUAUUAAAAAUAUGUACAUAAUAUAGUGUUAAAAAUACAUACAUAAUAUAGUUAAGAUAUAUGCAUAAGAUAACAUGUAAAAUAUAUAUAUAAAUAAUAUAAUAUUAAAGAUAUAUACAUAAAAUAGUAUAAAAUAUAUAUAUACGUAAUAUAGAAUUUAAAAUAUACCUAAUAUAUUAAAAGAAUAUAUAUAAUAUAAUAUUAAGAAAUAUAAUAAUAACAAAAAAGGAGAGAGAGGGAGAGGGUGGAUGAUUUUCGGCCACAAGGUCGGCCAUCGUCCGGUCACCGGACCGCCGCCGGCGCCACCGUACACGGCAGCCGGACCUCAAAAAAAACUUUUUCGGUAAAAAUGGGUAAGCUUCCUCCUUUUAUUUUUUUUUACUUUCGUAUAAAAGAAACAAAAUAAGAUUGAAAGGAAAACAAUAAGUAAACAAAGAACUUAAAAUGAGAAUAGACAAAGAAACCUCUUUUGCUUUGAUCUUUGAUUAAUCUUCAAAAAAACUAGCUUCUCCAAAAACUAGCCUUCACAAUAACUCUUCUCAUUAAUUACUUUAAAAAGAAACCUCUCCAAAAAUCCUUUACAAUAACUUUCUCUCCCAAAAACUCUCAAAAAAAAAAUCCCCCCCUUUUACAAAAUAUGGGAAGGCUUAUAUAGCUAUUUACAAAAUAUUUUUUUAUUGUUUAUGUCUUCAUUUGUAGGUACAAGUGGUGGUAGAGCAAGUGUGGUUAGUGGAGUAGGUAAUGGAGCAAGUGUGGCUAGUGGAUUUGGUGGUGGAGAAGGUGUGGCUAGUGGAGUUGGUGGUGGAAAAGGUGUGGCUAGUGGAGUUGGUGGUGGAAAAGGUGUGGCUAGUUGAGAAAAGUUUAAGUUGUGGGCUAGGUUUUUUUAUUUUGAUUUGGGCUUAGGGUUUGGGCCAUUGGGGUUUUGAUGUAAAUUGGGCUUUGGGUAGUAAGAUUUUGGGUUUUGGGUUUAAUUUUGGUGGGUUAGGUAAGGCUAAAUUGGGUUUUGAUGUAAAUGGGCUAAAAUUGGCCUACAACAUAUAUAUAUAUUUUAUUUACUUUAAAAUUCAUUGUGAUACUAUAAUUUCACAUAGUAAUUCUUUUUAUCUUCCUUUAAAUCUAUUUCAAACUCGUAUAUAUAUUGUUUAUGAUAAAUUUUAUGCAUGUAAUUUAUUUUAUAUUAAUAAUUUUCAAUUUCCUCCCUUGCAUGUUAUUCUUUUUUUUGUUUUCAUUUUUUAAGCUUGUUCGUGUUAAUUUACUUGAUAUUCCUUUUAAUUCUUUAGCUUUUAAUAUUAAUAUUUACCCAACAUAUAAUAUGAGAUUCUUACUAUUGUUAUAUUGUAUUGUUUAUUUAUAUUUAUUGAUUGUUUGACAUUCAUUAGUAUACGCUUUAUUUUAUGAAUCAUCAUCUCGCAUUGUAUAUUAUUAUUCAAUCGUUUUUAUUCGUUCAAAAGAUUACGUUUAAUAUCAUUUAAGUAUCGAAAUUGAUUUAUUCAAAAACUUUCAAGAUAGCGUAAUAUUCGGUAUUUGGGUUCUUUGAUAGAAUUGAGCCCUAACGUAUUGGGUUCCAAUUUUCCUUGUUGAAUCUAAAUAAUCGAGAAUAUUCUUCAAUCAAAAAUACAUAAAUAAAAAGCUCAUUCUCGGGAAUUCAAUACGUUGUGUCCUAACGCAUUGGAUAUGACACGUUGUUUUCUUGAGAUGAUGAUUUUUCUAAAUAAAAAUAAAGGCAAUAUUUGGUAUUUAGGAAUUUUGUGAAAUUGAACCCUAAUUUACUGGGUUUUGAUUUUUCAUUUGACCAAAUAAUCAGAUAUCCUUCUCAAAAUGCAUAGGUUUUAAAAAAAAUCAAAAGAUAAACUUAAUUUUGAAGAUAAAAAAUGUAGCGCCCUAACUUACUGGGUGUGACAUUUUAUUUCUUUAAAAUAAGAGUGUCUUAUUAUUUAAUUCAAUUUAUUCAAAGUUAAAAGGAUCGUAUUUUAAAACCUUUUCAAAUUUUUGACACUAAGACAUUAAACAAUCAAUUCGGUAACAAUUUUGGGCGUUACGAGGGUGCUAACCCUUCCUCGUGUGUAACUGACUCCCGAACCUGUUUUCUCAAAUUUUGCAGACCAAAAUCGUUUUUAAGGUGAGCCGAUCACACCCCAAUAAAUGAUCGGUAGCGACUCUCAUCUUUGUUUUUAAGUCGACUACUAAUUUUUGUUUUUAAAAAGUGGUUUCGACAUGUACAUUCAAUGUAGAGUCACAUACAGCCUGCGACAAAAAUAAUAAUUAUACACCGCUGUGUGGGGUGACCGAAAAUUCAUAUAUAGACUUAUUUCGAACGUUCUAAUUUUCCAUUCCGAAUGUUCUAAUUUUCCACCAAAAACAAAGUCGCUUUGGAAUUAAAAUUUUGGUCCUAAGGCCCGCUGGAUUUUUCACAACCACUAUCAUUAGACUAAAAUUAUCUCUCCACGUAUGAUCGGGUUUAAAAAAAUUUAUUAAAAUUAUUUAUUUAAUUUGUUAUUAUUGUUUAUAAUAGAAUAUAAAGUCUUAAAAUAUAAUGAUAUCAUCAUGGAGAAAAAUAUUUUAAUUUAAAAAUGUAUAAAUUUUAUAUAUUAUCUUUUAAAUAAUUUAAAUUAGGGAUAAAUCUCGAAAUCAUACAUGGAUUUGAUUUAAUGUGUAAUUGUAUACAUGAACUUUAAUUUGAUUUAAUAAUUUACAAGAAUUUGGUCAAAAAUAAAAUUUCAUGUAUAAAAUUCUACAAAAUCAAAGUUCAUAUAUAUAAUUGCACAUUAAACCAUAGUUCAUAUAUAGUUUUGAGAUUUAUCCUUUUAAAUUAUAAUGAUAAUUUUUAUAUAUUAAAAUUAAUAUAUUUAACCUUCCUUUAAAUGAAAGAAGCUACUUGUUGAGUUAUUAUAUUUAUUAUAUGUGAUUUAAUUUUAAAUUUUAUUUAUCAAUCUUCACAUAAUUAUUAGAUGCUUUGAGUAAUUUAAAAGAGAUAGACACGAACUGGAAUGAGGUGAAGGAAUUUAUGGCCAUAAAGAGUAAAGGUAUAUGUAUCAACUAAAAAAUAAAAAAUCAUUUAAAAAUAUAAAACUCUCACGGAAGGACAAUAUCUUUAGUUAUUGAAGGGAUCUGUUGAUUAUCAAAUGAAAGAUAUUUUAAAAACUUCUCUUAAAAAAGUCUGAUAAUCAACAAUGCUGAUAGACCAAUAAUUUGAAGCAGUCAAUGAACUUGUAGAAAGGGUAUAGCAAGAGGGAUGGAAGCUUGACGCCAAAAGUUAAGAGAUAUCUCCAUAAUGGUCACUUGUGUUGAGUGGUCUUGGGUGAUUGAAUUUUCUACAAAUGCCAUUAAAUUUCCCACAAGAAUUUUUCUACAAAUGCUUUUCAAUUUUGAAUCAAGUUGGUUUAUGAUUGGAAUUACUUGCUGUAAUAAGUUAGUUAUUUCAUUUUUUUUAUUUAAUACCAAAAUUAAAUAAAUUUUUAUUAUUAUUCUCAUUAAAAACCCAUUAAAGUUUCAGUUUUUCUAUUUAAUAUUGUAACUUUAAUUCUAUUGAAUGUUUAGGUUACUCUUUGUUUUUCAUUAAUACUUUUGGUUUUUUUUUACUAUAAAAAGCUAUUAUAUAUUAGAUAUUACUUAUUAAGAUAUCAACAUUGUUAGAGCAAAAAAAAAAUCUGUGUGAUGGUACAUAUGUUUUUUUUUUGGUGAAGUAAAAUAACAAGAUAAAAUCCGAACAAUUAACGCGACUCGAAUCCAGGUCACACUUGAGGUGUAAUUAGGUGAGAAAGACAUUUUAUAUAAUAAAAUACAUGUGAAAAAAAAUAUUGUUUCAUUAAUUAUUAAUAAAACAAAAAUAUGAUUCAUUUGCAUUUGGUAAAAUUAAAUUAAACAAUAAAAUGUUUUUUUUUUAAUUCUCGUAGAAGUAUAUUUCAUUGAAUAAUUCAAUUGCUUUUAUUGAAAUUAUCGUGGUAUAUACGAAUGUUGCUUAGAAGUUUUUUUGUAACAAAUAUUUUUCAUUGUCAUAUAUUGCAUAUGAUAUAAAGGCAAUAUUUGAAUGGAGCAUUGGUUAGUUUUUCACGGUGAAUCCUCCACAAUAUUCCUUUGUUUGAAGUUGCGGAAAUAUAUAUGUCUCAUGUUUUUAUAAGAUGCAUGUAUUUAAGUUGCGGAAAUUGAAAAGUCUUGACCUGAGUAGCAAUGGAAUUGUAGGUGUUGUGAAUAACCAAGGUUUGUUGCUUUUCAUCUCUGCAAUGAUUAAUCUCUGAAAUUUAAUUUAAGUUUUUAUAAUUAAUUCGUUUAUUUUACUUUUCUAUAUUAGAACAGUAACUUUCUCUUGCAUGCAGUCUCUUUAUCAUCUGCUUUCAACAACUUAGAAAUCCUUGACUUAUCCCACAAUAACUUCGAUGCCAGUAUCUUAUCAAGUAAGCUUCAUCUCUCAAUUUCUAUCUAUGUCUAGUAACUAAUUGUAAGUUUAUGCAAAAAUAAUAUAAAAAUACCUACAUAAUUAACGGGAGAUUUGAAAUGCAUUUUACUAGUUUUUUUUUUUUAAAUAGUUAAAGUUGAUAUUUAUGUAUAUGGGAUAAACCCAAAUUUACGACCAACAAGAAAGAAUAGAGAAGAUUAGGCAUAUAAAUUUAUGUGGGAAAACUCUUUCAAUCAACAGGAUAAAAAAGGAGACUUCAAUAAUGAGCAAACAAACGAAGAGAAUAAGAUGGAGAUAUUCAAAAACAAACCCUAACCCUAAAAACAAAGUUCUUUGGCUAAAAUACAAAAUUCCCUCAAAGCUCUCUCGAAUUUUUCUCUUAAUCUUCUCUCAAUCUUGAUGUUAUGUGUAGAGCCCAAUUCUUGCCCGGGCCUUAACACAAAAAAUAAACAAAAUAAACCAAAAAAAAAAGUCCGUUACAGCAGUGGCCCAAACCCACAAAAUUAACCCUAGCCCGAAGCCCAGUAGAGAAGCAAACCCUAAUUUCCCUAAGGGCGCGCCACACGCUCUGUCAGGCUCCCUCGCGCACGCCACCGCCACCGUCGUCGCUUCCCAUCGCCACCUUCCCAUGCGCGUCAGAACACCUACAAGAAAACUGUAACACCCCUUAACCUCAAACCGUCGCUGAAACUGGGUUACGAGGCACUACCAGACAUAUCAAACAAUUUACAAUUAAUUCCUAGAUAAAUAACUAACAUAUUAAAAUAAAACAUAAAUUCUUAUAAAUUUUAACAGUUGACUUCAUUCAUUUUUUUUUAUAAAUUUCGGCAGCAUUUCUGCUUAUUUUUACAUAAAACCCCUGCAAAUUUCAAGAUUAUAACCUGACCAAUUCCAAUGUUUCAACCAACAUUUAUAUCCUCAAGCAUAAUUAAAAUCAUACUUAACAUUUUAACUACUAUCAUAUAGAUUGCAUAAAAAGAUUAAUCAAAUAACAUAUAUUACAUCUAGACUAAAUACUUUGUAACAUAAUACAUCAAAAUUAAGUCUUCCAUACAUGCCAUAAUUUUCGAGUGAUGAUUACAAAAUACCAAAAGUUGUGGAUAGUGUAGAUGAGUUCCCGACGAUUUCCCGAAUUCCAAGCUGAACUGGUAACACUAUAAAACUGGGAAAAACAAAGAGAAAUAAGCAUAUAGCUUAGUAAGUAGACAUAUGACAAAUAAACAAAUUUUUAACAUGAUUCCAUAGAAACAUAAUUUUAUUCACACAUAAAUUUCCUUGCUUGUUCAAUUUCCAGCAAGCUGUUUUUCUGUGUCACGGUCACUAAUUUAUUUUUAUCUGGAGCUGCUGGGCUCCAAAUUAAGUUCCGUAAAUUUUCCUUGAAACUAUACUUACAUACCUUUCUAUCAUAAAAUUUUUAGAAUUUUCGGUUUAGCCAAUUAGUACAUUUUAUUCUUUAAACUUUCCCUGUUUCACUGCUCAAUAGCUCUGACCUCUCUUUACUUAAAUUUACUUAACUCUUUGUACAGAAUUCAAACAAUGUUCUUGUUUGUUUCUCUUGAAAAUAGACUCAUUGAUAAAUUCAAGCAUGUAAAUUACAAGCCAUAAUUAUUUUUGUACAAUUUUUUGUAAUUUUCCAAAUUUGGAACAGGGGAUUUCGAAAUCAAUUCAACCCUGUCUCACUAAAAUUCAAAUAUUUCAAAAUAUAUAAAAUCUUUUGCUUGCUCUGUUUCUUUCAUGUGAAAAUAGAAUCAUUUAGCUUCAAUUUCAUAUAUUAUUCAUUCUCUAAUUAAACUUCCACCAUUUAUGGUGAAUUUUCAAAGUCGCUCAACUGCUGUUGUUCAAAACUGUUUUAUUUCAAAAUUUACUCUUUUGUAGUUUUGAUAUCUCAUACCAUCUUAUACAUGGGUCGAUUAAGUAUCAAACUCACUAUUCCUCACAUUAUCUUGUCCAUUUCAUAUAUACAUUCACUUUUCCAAUUUCCCUGUUGAACACUCGGAAUAUUAUCCGUUACUCGGUGGAUUAAGCACUUAGCAACCACCUUAAAUUCAGUGAUACGUGGAAUCAGCACAUAGCAACCCCUUUCACAGUCAAGGAUACGGUGGAAUCAGCACUUAGCAACCACCUCUAUAUUCAGUGAUACGGGGAAUCAGCAUAUAGUAACCCCUUUCACAAUCAAAGAUACGGUGGAAUCAGCACUUAGCAACCACCUCUAUAUUCAGUGAUACGGGGAAUCAGCACAUAGCAACCCCUUUCACAAUCAAAGAUACGGUAGAAUCAGCACUUAGCAACCACCUUUGAAGUCAAUAAUUCAGGGAAUCAACACUUAGCAACCCCUUGGGAAAUCUGCACUUAGCGACCCCUUUUUAUUCAAUGUUUUCCGAUCUAUUCCGAGUGUUCAAUCGGAAACCUUGUUUUUCAACACUUUAUCACCUUUCUCAAACUUAACCACAUUUUUCUGAUCUACAUCAAAUAUUUAUUCUAUAUUCAAUCAAAUCUCAACAAUAUAUUGAAUAACAUUAAAAUAACGCAUUAAUUCACAUGCAUACUUACCUUGGUGUAAAAUAUUGUAAUUUUGCAAUUUACUUCACGAUCUUUUCUUUUCCCUGAUUGAGGUUGUCUUUUCGUCUUUCUUGAUCUAUAAUAGAAAUUUUAGUUUAUUUAAUAUUCACAUUUAUUACAACAGUCCUCGACUCAACUUUUUGCAAAAUUAUGAUUUUGUCCCUAAACUUAUCAUAUUUACAUUUUUCCCAAAGCUCGAAAAUUAAAUUUCACUCCUUAUUCUUAUGUUUUACAACAUGCUGAACACUUUUUCCUUCUAUGGAAACAUCAAAUUCUCACUCUAACACGUACUUAUGAACAUUAAAUAUUUUUACCGAUUAUGACAAUUUACCCGUUUUCACUUAAAAUCGCUUAGCAAAAGUUGUUUAACAUAAUUUCUAGCUUCAUAUUCUACCAUAAAACAGAAAAAUAAACACAUUUCACCUAUGGGUAUUUUUCCAAAUAUAAACCCUAGGUUAAAAUAACAGUAGAAAUAGGUAAACCGAGCUACGAGAAUCUUAAAAAUGCGAAGAACAUUAAAAACGGGCUAGGAUGCACUUACUAUGAGCUUGAGAAAGUGAAGAAACCCUAGCUAUGGCUUCCUUCAAAUUUCGGCAGCAACUAAUGAGGAUGAACACCAUUUUUUCAUCUUUUUCCCAUUUUAAUUCUAUUUAUUUACUAAAUGACUAAAAUGCCCUUACUUAAAAAAAUCUAUUUCACCCAUUUCUUAUGUCUAUUUUUUUCCAUCAAUUAGCUAAUGGUCUAAUUACCACAUAAGGACCCCCAAUUUAUAAUUUCAUAACCAAUUAACACCUUUAACACAUAAAAUUCAACUUUUGUAUUAUUUACAAUUUAGUCCUUUUGACCAAACUGAGUGCCCAAACGUCAAAAUUUUUGAAUGAAAUUUUUACGAAAUCUUUCCGUGAAAUUGUAGACCAUAAAAAUAUAAUAACAAUAAUACUUUCCCUCGUCGAAUUUGUGGUCCCGAAACCACUGUUCCAACUAGGCCCAAAAUCGGGCUGUUACAAAAACAACAAAACAGAAACGACAAACGUACAAUCCAAAGCACAAAAAGACAAAAGAAGAGAGAUGUAGUUUUUUUCCGGUUAUAAAAGGCCGAAUGGGGCGAUUGUAUUUCUUCUUCUGUCAUUUUUGUUACAGAUUAGAAAUAAAAAGGAAAACAAAGGUUGCCUUCUGGUUUCUCUGAUUUAUUCAUUUAUUUCUUUUAUUUAUUUUUAAUGAAUCAGUUUUUUUAAAAAAGAAAAAGAACUCUUAAAAAGUAAAAAAUGAAGAGGAAUACCUGGGGUUGCCUGCGAAAUCCAUCGUCGGAGCCAUUUCGUUUGCCGAAAUCGGACGAAAAGGGGGGCAUGGGGGCCUUUCCUUCUCUCGGUCUUAAGGCCCAAAAGGCUAAGCCUUUGGGCGUUUGAAAAAUGGGCCAAAAAUGCGAUCUCCGUGUCGCUCCGACCACCGCUUACGGUAGGGUCACGGCGGCACAAGCGACGGCCCUAUUGGCCGGAUUUGAGGGCUGCGUGGGAGAGAAUGUUUGAGCUUUCUAUUUUUUUUAAAUAAGGGUCAAACUAUUUUUUUUUAUUUUUAACAUUUAUAUUGGGAAUAAAACGACGCCGUUUUGGGUUUAGGCAACAAUGGCCAAAACGACGUCGUUUCACGCUUGACCCGAAUACUCAACCCGUUUAGCAGAGGAUCCGCGCGUUUUCAAGGCCGAAUGGGCUAUUUGCGCUAUGGGUCCCUCCGCUUUGAUGCUUGGCUUCAAUUCGGUUAUUUUGUCCCUUUUUAGCAUUUUUAAUCUGACCCCGUAGAUUUUGUACCAGUUUUGAUUUGGUCUAACGCGAAACGACGCACUUUAAGGGUUAGGGAUUAAUUUCCCAAUUGGCCCCUGCAUCUUUGUGCUUGCUCCAAUCGACUCCAAAUUAUUUUUUUAUAUUUCAAAUCUAACCCACUGAUUUUAUUUAAAUUCCAAUUCAAUCCUUAGUCAAUAAAAAUUCAAAUUUCACCCUUUUUUAAUAAAAAACGAAAAUGGUCAUUAAAUAUUUUAUUUAACAUCCGUUUAAUUAUUUAUUUUUAAUUGCUAACCAAACUUAUAUAUCUUUCAUUUCAUUUAUUAUUCAUUUUUAUGUGUAUUGAUUUGUAUGUAUUAUUUGUGCCUUUAUUUUCACUAUUUAUUUAUUCGUUAUUUUCAAAUAUUUUCAAAAUUUAGAUUCAUUAGUAUUAUGUUUAUUGUGAUUGUAUUAUUGUUAUUGUUACAUUAUUACUUGCAUUAUUAUUAUUCAUGUAUAUUAGCAUUAAGAUUUAUUAGUAUUAAUGUUAUAUGUGUAUUUUAUGAUGUAUAUUAUGUCAUAAUUAUUUCGAAUGUAUGUUGUAUUAUCGUUAUUAGUCGUGCACGACCCUUUUUCUGUUUUAAACAAUUUCUCCUUCAACACAAUCAAAAUUACACGAAUAUUAUCUUUAUAUAUUUUAUUAGUUCUUACUCAAAUUCAAAAAAAGGAAAAUUUUUAUAAAUAAGGCAAUAUUUUACGUUUGGAAAUUCGAGAAAACGUACUCUAACGUGCUAGGUUUCGAUUUCUCGUUUGACCAAAUAGCCAAGUAUCCUCUUAAAAUUUCAAAGUAUGGGUUUUGGAAACCAUAAGGUAAUUUUGGUUUCUAGGGUUUAAAGUAUCGUAUCCUAACGUGCUAGAUGUGAUAUUCUUUCGGAACAAGAGAAUCUUAAAUUCCAACCCAUAUUAUUUGAAAUUUUUUUUAGGAUUGUAAUUUUUAAAACUCUUCAAAGUUUUCAAUAUUCGACAUUAAGACACUAAUUAAUCAAUUAGGUAUCAAUUUUGGGCGUUACGAGGGUGCUAAUCCUUCCUUGUACAUAACCGACUCCCGAACCUGUUUUUCUGAAUUUCGUAGACCAAAAGCAUUGUUUUAAUAAAUCCAAACCAUUUAUUAAAAACAAUCGUUUUAUGAGGUGACCUGAUCACACCUCAUUAAAAAAGAUUGGUGGCGACUCCAAUGUUCGUUUUUACUUUCAAAUACCAAGUCGACCCCCUUUUAUAAAAAAAUGGUUUCGACAUUAUGAAUAUAUUUAUUCUAGGGUUACUAGUGCCCUUUUUAUAGGCUAAGAUUAGAGUUCUAAUAUUACUAAAAUAUCUAUAGAAUAAUCACAGUUUAACUAGGAAAAGUAACCCUCUUGAAAGUCUAAUAACACAGCUACUCUAAGUUAGAAUUUGUCGCGUUAUCACGACGUACCAAGCUCCCCGUUGUGACAUCGCCUCAGCUUUGCUCUUUUUCAAACAUUGUCGUGUCGUUGCGACAUCGCAUGAUUCCUCGUCGCAAUAUCACCCUUACUUUGACUCUGAUCCGACCCGAAAAUGUGAGACACAUUCCACAAUAUCUAAAUAUAUAUUGAAUUUAAAAAUAAUUGUACAAAGGAUAUGUAAUCCUUGAAGAUUAGAUACAAGUAAUUACCAUUUUAUAUUAAAAGUUAGAAAUAUAAAUUAAAUAUUCUAAACUUUUUUUUAUGUGAAUAAGUCAUGUGUUGAUAUAUUUUAUUGCUCUUGAAUAGAAUUGAAGAGUUUGAAAAACUUGAAGACGUUAGAUUUAAGCUUCAAUGGAAUCAGAAGCCUCCGGCACUUUCAAGGUAUAUCUAACUUUGAUAUUUUAUAUACAAUCAACUAAGUCCUAUAAAAAUAUAUUUAUGAACAAGUUAAAAUGAAUGCUUGAAACAAAUAAUUAUUAUUUGAUAUUAUACAAACAAAUUCUCCUUGAAAUUGUAUUACAUAAGUAUUUUACAGAUGAGAAAUUGCAACCCAUGAUGAGUUUGGAAGUGCUUGAUUUGGAUGGUAAUUUCUUGAAGAACAAUGAUUAUCAAGUUUAAAGUCUUUGAUUAUUAGCCAUAACGAAUUGGAAAUUUUCAUAAAAUAAAAAUAACAAGCUAUAUGUAAAUUACAAUUUCAUCAACCUUUUUUAACUGUUAAAAGAAUUAUAUCCAAAUAUAUUCGUUCUUUUGGUAUUUAGCUUUUUAGGUUGUAAACUAAAGUCAUAAUGAUUUUUUGUCCUCCAAUUUUAAAAACAAAAAAUCAUUUUACCUCUCAAUUUAAUUUUUCAUCUCUUCUAGUCAUUAAACUUCAAUUUUUUUUUGUCAAAUCACCCCAAAAUGAAAAGAAAAGUUAAUAUUUGUUAAUUUUGCUAAUGUGACAUAUAUGUGAAUUGUCAUAUAGAUGACAUAUCAACAUUUAAUUAAUUUUUAAAAUUUAAGUAUUUUUUAAAUAUUUUUUAUUUUUUGAAAUUUAUUUAAAAAAUUAAAUAUUGAUGGAUCAUCCACGUGACAAUCCACAUGUAUGCAAUAUCAACAAAAUUAAAAAAAAUUGUUAAAUUUUCUAUUCAUUUUAGGAUGACUUGAUGAACAUAAGUUUAAGAGAUUAAAAAUCAAAAAAUUAAAUGAAAACCUUUUUUAAGUUAAAAAGAGUUAAAUAAAUUAUUAAUAACUAAAAUAAAAUGUUUUUAAUAAUUUUUUUAUGGAGAAAAGUAGUUGAAUUGCAUGAACCAAAAUUACUGAUUUUUUGUGAUAUAACUUUGUUUGACUGACAAAAAGGGUAUUUGAUUUAUUUGAAUAGCAUUCAAUAAUCUCACAAAAUUGAAGAAGUUGGAUAUGAGUCGCAAUUAUGUUGAGAGACUUGGUAAGUGUCCAUAUAUUUUACUUUAUCAAAUUGCUACAUUUAUUAUACUAAUAUCUAAAUGCUUUGUAGAUGAGGAAAGGUAUAAUUUGACGAAUUUAGAAGUGCUUAAUUUGAAUUACAACUCUUUCGGAAAAAGCUCAUUGGCACAGCUUAGUGGGUUUUCCAAUCUAAAGGAAUUGAGUAUGCAACAAAACCAGGUGCAAUUAUUUAAUAUAUUUAAUUUUCCUUUAAACAAAAUUAACUAUUUAUUAAGUUAUAUUUAUUCUCUAUGAUUUACUUUUAAAUUUUAUUUGUCGACUUUUAGAGAUUGAACAAUUUAGAGAAGCUAAACAUUAGAUAUCUAAUGAACUGAUGUCAACCACUAAUUUGACUCUCAAAAAUGGAAGUUUAGAAAAGCAUUUUAGUAGUUCUUUUAAGAAAAAAAUUAUGUCUAAAUAUAUAAUGAGUUUAAAAAUAAUUGUAUUAAAAUCUGUAAUCGUUGAGGAUUAGAUACAAGUAAUUGCGACUUUAAUAUUAAAAGUUGGAAAUAUGUUGUUAUUUUAAAAUUAAAUGUCCUAUAUUAAUUAUUUUUAUAUGAAUAAGCCUUGUGUUGAUAUUUGAUAUAUUUCAUUGCUCUUGAAUAGAAUUGAAGAGUUUGACAAAGUUGAAGACGUUAGAUUUAAGUGGCAAUAGAAUUGAAAGCCUCAAGCACUUUCAAGGUAUACUUAAAUUUGAUUUUCUUUAUACAAUCAACUAAGUCUUUAAGGCGUUGACCUUAUAUAUUUAUAAACAAGUCAAAGAUGCAACUUUGAGAUAAAUAAUUAUUCAUUGAUAUUAUACAAAUAAUUUUUUUCUCGAAAUUGUAUCACAUAAAUCUUUUACAUUUAUUAAAAGAGAGAACCGAAACAAACUACUUGUUCAGUUAUUAUAUUUAUUUUAUGUGAUUUAAUUAUAAAUUUUAUUUUUCGAUAUUCACAUAAUUAUCAUAUGCUUUGAGUAAAUUAGAGUCAUUGAGAAAAAUAUUUUAAAUUUAAAAAAAAUGUAUAAAAUUUAUAUUUUAUCUCUUAAAUAAUUUAAAUAAUAAUAAUUUUUAUAGAUUAAAAUUAAUAUACUAUCUCUUUUGAAAUAAUAUAAAAAUUAUAUUAAUAUAUAAAAAAUAAAUUAUAAAUUGAAAACUUAUCUCUUAAAUAUAUAAAGUAAAAUAUAUGUACCAAAAUAAUAGGAUUUCAAUUUUAAUUUUUUUUCUAUGUGUUAUCAAUUCUUUAAAACAUUUGACUAUUAAGUUCAAAAAAUUUUAUUUUAAUUAAUACUUGUGCAUUUCACGGAAAAAAAACUAGUUAAUAUAUAUAACCAGCUUUGUAGAUGUGGAAUUACUUAUUUUACAUUCUAUAAAUAUAGCAGCACCUAUAUAAAGUAUACAGUACGCCUUUUAUUAAAUUAGUUCUUUAUAAUAAUUUGUUGUCUUAAAUUUUAGCCUAAUAAAUUCUAUUUCUAAGUGAAAUAAAAUUAAUAAAUUUUAAUUAAGAUAUUAUUUCAAUAAAAUAUUUAAAUUUCAUAUAAAAUAUAUUAAUUAUAUUUUAUUAAAUAAAAAUAGUUUUUAAUAAAUGAAGUUACAUUAGUAAAUUUUAUUAAAGAUACAAUUUAAAUCUCAUUAAUUAAUUUUUAUUAAUAUAUUUUAGUUUUUUUAAUUUAAAAAUUAAAAUAUGAUCUAAAUAUUAAAUGUUGUUAUAAGUGUAUAAUAAUUACUUAUCUAUAACAUCCAAUAGUGGCAAUAUAAAAGUUGAAUAUAAGUGAAUUUUUGUGACUAACAAAAAAUGUAUUGAAUUUAUUUGGAUAGUAUUGAAUAAUUUGACAAAGCUAAAGCAGUUGGAUUUGAGUGGCAAUAAAAUUGAGAGCCUCCAAUCUUCUCAUGGUAUGUGUUGAGAUGUUUUACUUUAUCAUAUUCUUACAUAUACAUACCACUAUCUUAUUUAAUAUUCCAUUAGUAAUAAAUUUGUUUAUCUCAAUGCUUUGUAGAUGGUGAGAGGCCACUUAAUUUAACCAAUUUAGAAGAGCUUAAUUUGGAUUUCAACUCCUUCACAAACAGCUUAUUGGCACAACUUAGUGGGUUUUCCAAUCUAAAGUCACUGAAUAUAAGGAAUAACCAGCUUAAAGGAUCAAUAAAUAUUAAAGGUGGAAUUACUUAAUAUAUUUAAUCUUCCUUUAAAUGAAAUAAACUACUUGUUGAGUUAUUGCAUUUAUUCUAUGUGAUUUAAUUUUAAAUUUUGUUUGUCAAUUUUUACAGAAUUAUUAGAUGCUUUAAGCAACUUAGAGGAGCUAGACAUGAGCGAGAAUGAGGUGAAGGAAAUUGUGCCCAUAAAGAAUAAAGGUUUAUGUAUCAACUAAAGGAAAUCUUACUAAUUGUUUUCCAUUAGAUAUCUAGUGAACUGAUGCCAACCACUAAUUUGACUCUUAGACAAUGGAAGUUUGAGAAAGCUAAAGGUUGCUUCAUUAAACCGUGUGUUCACCGAUGGAACUGCUUCUCUAAUACAGCUUCUAGAGACAUUCUCAUCUGUUAAUACAUUAUAUUUGAGUGGCAAUUACUUCAAAGACACAUUUUCUACUCAAGUUAUAAUAUAUAUGUAUGUGAAUAUAUAGUUUUAUAGUUUGGUCCCAUUUAAAAAUAUUAUUUACUUAACGUAAAUCAUCUAAAUAACGCUUAUAAAUUUGUAAAGAUCAACUGCAUGUAUCGAGCAAAAUAGAGGAAUUGGUGCUGGAUUAUUCAUCUCUCAGCAACAACAUUCUUCAAAGCUUUGGUGGACUGGCUUCUCUCAAAGCCUUGUAUUUAGGUUCCUGUGGGUUGUCUGGGACAUUACAUACCCAAGGUAUAUUAAUAAUUAUGACAUAAUUAUUUAGGCAGUCUCUUGAUUAAUUAUUUUUUUAUCCUCUUAGAAAAUUGGAGUAACUUGCACAAAUUUAUUUUAUAGGAUGGUGUGAUUUACGGAAGCUUGAGACGUUGGAUCUUAGUGAAAAUUCUCUUGGGGGAGCACUCCCUUCAUGUUUGGAAAACUUGUCAUCUCUUCGUUAUUUGGAUAUUUCCGGUAAUCAAUUCAUCGGAAAAGGUGCCUCCACCGCUCUAGCCAAUCUCACAUCGCUUAGAUUCAUGUUUCUUUCACGAAAUCUAUUCGAAGUUCCAUCAAUUUUCAUGUCAUUUGCCAACCACUUACACCUCAAAGUCCUCUUUAGCGAUCAAAACAAGUUAGUCAGAGAGCCUACCAUUCAAACAUGGGUCCCAAAGUUCCAACUAAAAGCCUUCCUUUUCUCGAAUUGCACAACAAAGGAACUCCACAUUGAAAUUCCAAAAUUCCUCUACUACCAAAAUGAUCUGAGUAUGGUUGAUCUUUCAUACAAUAAUUUUUUAGGGAAGUUUCCUUUUUGGUUGUUAGAGAACAAUACAAGAAUGGGAGCAUUUUUAAUGAAGGGUAACUCUUUUAUGGGCCAUCUCAAUCUUCCAUCUCAUCCGAAACCAAAAAUGUCCCUUGUUGAUAUAUCUGACAACAAACUAGAAGGUCCAAUUCUAGCAAGCAUUUGUUCAAUCUUUCCACAACUAAAUGGGUUAAACCUAUCAGACAAUUUCUUUCAAGGAAAUAUUCCUCCUUGUUUAGGUAGUUUGAACACUACAUAUUUAAUAUUAGAUCUGUCACAUAAUCAUCUAUCUGGCGGAAUACCAGAAAUGUUAGCUCAAAGUGACUCGUUGGAGCUUCUUAGGUUAUCAAAUAAUGAUCUAAGUGGGAAGAUAGCCCCAACGAUCUUUUGCUCAUCUUCAUUACAAUUUUUAUAUUUAGAUGGCAAUAAGUUUGAUGGAAAUAUACCUGACAUUGAUAUCUCAACUUGUCAUCCGUAUCCUCUUAGUGAUAUGGAUUUAAGUAACAACAAUUUGUCUGGAGAGCUCCCAAGAUGGAUAUGGAAUAUGUCAUCUUUAAAUGCAUUAUUAGUAUCCAACAAUCAGCUCAAGGGUCUUAUUCCGAAGGAAUUGUGCCAUUAUUCCCUUCAAAUUUUGGACCUUUCAAAAAACAAUUUUUUUGGCCCAAUACCAUCUUGCUUCAAUGUACACAGUAUCAAACAUCUCCAUUUGAGCAAAAAUAGGUUAAGUGGUACCUUGACAAAUGCAUUCUUUAAUAGCUCUUCCUUGGUGACUUUAGAUCUUAGUGAAAACCAGUUGACUGGUGAAAUUCCAUACUGGAUUGGAAAUCUUUCAACUUUGAGUGUUCUCCUUCUAAAAGCCAAUUAUUUUAUUGGAGAAAUUCCCAUUAAGAUAUGUAAAUUGUAUUCAUUAAGCAUCAUUGAUCUUUCUCAAAACAAGUUUUCUGGUCUGAUACCUUCGUGUUUGAGUCGUUUAACUCUUGAGCCAAAUGAUAAAAAUCUUCGACAAUAACCUAUGGGUUGGAUUUUGAUGGAAUCUUGGAGGGAGCUAAUUAUAUUGGAAUGACCAGAUUGGAUUUGUCCGAUUUUGGAUUCAAUCUACAUUUCUUUAUUGAGAAUCUAGAAGAAAAGGUGGAUUAUACAACAAAGGGAGCAUCUCGCACAUACAAAGGAAACAUUCUUGAGUACAUGUCUGGAAUUGAUUUAUCAUGUAAUAGAUUAACAGGUGAAAUUCCCAGAGAGAUUGGAAAUUUGAGUGAAAUCCGAUCACUAAACUUGUCGCACAACAAUUUGACUGGAUAUAUACCGUCAACGUUCUCAAAGCUCAAGCAAAUUGAGAGUUUGGACCUGUCUCACAACAACUUAAUUGGAAGAAUACCUGUUCAAUUGACGGAGUUGUACGCCUUAGCAAUCUUCAAUGUGUCAUACAACAACUUGUCAGGGAGUAUUCCGUCUCCGAAAUUUCAAUUUGGAACCUUCGACGAAAGCAGUUACGUGGCGAAUCCUUUCCUCUGCGGGUCUCCCCUGCAUAAAAAUUGUAGCAACCUUGAUUCACUCCCGACAGCAGCACCAAAGAGCUCAAACGAGGAAGAAGAAAGUGGUUUGAUGGACAAGUAUGUUUUCUGGGUGACCUUUUUUGUUUCUUACGUAAUUGUGUUACUGGUUAUUGUUCUCAUCCUGUACAUAAAUCCUUAUUGGCGACAAGC
Molecule: long non-coding RNA, 110289 nt
Filed under: Gossypium barbadense (sea-island cotton)
Lineage: Eukaryota; Viridiplantae; Streptophyta; Magnoliopsida; Malvales; Malvaceae
Description: long non-coding RNA (GBAR_LNC018279)
Source: RNAcentral